RNAcentral lists this long non-coding RNA (92035 nucleotides) under Capsicum annuum. RNAcentral describes it as "long non-coding RNA (CANN_LNC022003)". The record is from RNAcentral. Lineage: Eukaryota; Viridiplantae; Streptophyta; Magnoliopsida; Solanales; Solanaceae.
GAAAAGAACCCAAGACCUCUAGAGCUAAGGGUAAGCCUUUAGCAUAAUCUACUACACAAUAUGAGAGCUCUUCAAAGCCAUCAACCGGAGUUCCUUGUUUAAAGGCGUGCCAACUAAAAAGUUCUAAAGCCUCAUGGUUAGUCAGNNNNNNNNNNNNNNNNNNNNNNNNNNNNNNNNNNNNNNNNNNNNNNNNNNNNNNNNNNNNNNNNNNNNNNNNNNNNNNNNNNNNNNNNNNNNNNNNNNNNNNNNNNNNNNNNNNNNNNNNNNNNNNNNNNNNNNNNNNNNNNNNNNNNNNNNNNNNNNNNNNNNNNNNNNNNNNNNNNNNNNNNNNNNNNNNNNNNNNNNNNNNNNNNNNNNNNNNNNNNNNNNNNNNNNNNNNNNNNNNNNNNNNNNNNNNNNNNNNNNNNNNNNNNNNNNNNNNNNNNNNNNNNNNNNNNNNNNNNNNNNNNCCCUACACCACCCAACCCCCAUAACCCAACAAAAUAAACACCUCCAGAUUCAACAUUCAACAACGAUUUUACUUUCUCUAUACGAGAUUUGAUUCCCACAUGAUAUUUUGCAAUACUUGUAACAAGAGAAAUCUUGUCAACAAUUUCCUGAAUACAUUCUUCAGCGUUCCUGCAUCAAAUAAAAUAGAUCAGAAAAACGAAAUAUUUGAAACAUGAUCAUUUAUGAAAGCAUUACUCAUGUUCCAGAAAAUACAACAUUAAAACUUCACUAAGUUAGCAAGAAACAACACCUCAAUUGAGAACGAAUCUUUUGUAAUAUCUUAGCUGGAAUAGUUGUCUUUCUAUGCCACACAGUGUGCACAUCCUCACCAAACAAACACAGGUAAACUACAUUACAAACGACCUCAUUUGACCCACAUAAAGUAUACUUGCAGAGUAUUGCGAGUUUAGCUGCAGUUAAAACAACUCAUACAAGCUAAGCUCGUACAAUGUUUAUAUAGCUGAGCUCCGUGAUUACAUUAUCCUACACUUCUAAUGAAGUAUAGUAGGGCCGUCACAAUAAUGAACUUAACAAGAGUUGGGGUCGAUCCUGUGAAGAGUGGAAUGUCAAAGUGUGCGUCAAAUUGUGUGAUAAGCUACAAUUUCGAAAAUGAAUCCUGAAAUAAGGAUUGGUUUUCAGUUACUACUACAAUUUAAACUAAGAGACACUGAGGCAAUGAAUCAAACAUGUAACAUUCAAUUAUCAAAGAGACUUCUAUUAGAAUUAAAGGAACUAUGACUGUUCCUCCCUUGUGUCGCUAUACUAUGGAGAUGAAGGUAGUGAAUUCAACAUAAUUAGGUUAGUGUUACGGCGUCAAUAUCUGUAGAUUUUGAGAAUGAAGAGAAAGCUUCUUUGCAUAUUUGUACAUACCACGAACAAAGGCAUUUAUACCUAAAGUCCUAUGACCAGACAAAGGAAAAGCCAGCUUUAGGAUCUGAAAAAGCUAUCCCCCAAUGCUAGGGAAAUGGGCACAGAAGAAACAGAUAUGGCAAAUGCUCUAUAGGAGGGAAGUAAAAAGGGACUAUAGGAGACAAAAUUAGAUCGAGGAUGAUUGGUGUAAGACUUCACUCAUUUUAUGUGAGAAAUAGGCAAAUCUACAACAACUUCUUACCAAGCAAAAUCCACAAGUGAGGCCUGGGGAGGUUAAAGUGUACGCAGACCUUACCACUACCUCGAUGAGGUACAAAGGUUGUUUCCGGAAGAUCCUCGGCUCAAGUGUAGCAAACAGUACAGGACAUAUGACAACUAACAAGGAAAUGGUGUAAAAUCUACGGGAAAACCAUAAUCAGCCACAACAUAAUGCGAUAAUCGAAAUAUAAUGAACAACAACAAUGAUAGAUAUCUACGGCUAAACCCUAAGCUAACUCUUCAAUUUUUUUAAUUUUUUUUGGAUGAAGUUGUAGUAUUGAUAAGCAUCAAGAAGAUGCAUAAAGUUUUACAAAGAAAGCGUAACACCCCGCAUUACGGGCUAGAACGAAAACCAUCAUUUCUACGUGUAGAUGUUCCAAAAGCCAUAAAUCCUAUGCAAAUUUGGUAUGUUAAUCAAUUAUGUAGUGUGGGAACCUAUUUGAGCAUGAAUUGAGAUCAUAGAGGUCCCCUAACUCAAGGUCAAGUUGAAAGCUUUCCUAUCGUUCGAGUUUUAGUGAGCGUCGAAACUUGAGUCAACUUCAGUAGACCAUAACUCCUUGUAUAUGACGAACUGGGUGGCCUACUAUAUAUCACAUGAAAGAUCUUCGAAUUAGCUUUCCAACGAUACCAAUUUCGCCCAAAUCCGAUAUCGGAGCAAAAAGUUAUGCCCAUUUUACUCCAGCAUAUCAGCCUGGAAACUGCCUAACGACAUAUCUGACGCCUUAUCACAUUUCUGACGACAUUUCUGACAACUUAUCAUAAAAUGUCGUUAGACUUGGGCAGAAAGUCAUAAAUUCCAAUAUUUUGUGACGACAUGAGCUGACGGCUUGUCACAUAUGUGAUGACAUCAGCCCAAUGUCGUCAGCUGAUAAAUUCAGUAUUUUCCAAAUGGUUUUGAAGGGGUAUUUUGGUAUUUUCCUUCACCCCAUAGCUCCAUAAAUACAAGAUUAAGCCCCAAAUUUGCCAAAACAUACUCCUUUCUCUCAAAUACUCUCAAGAACCAAACCAUAGGGCCUCAACCUAAGAUUCAAGAUCCUUUAAAAUUUCACCAUUUAAUUCCAAAAUUGAUUCAAGAAUUAGAAUCCCCAAACUAAGAUCUUCAAGAAUCAUCCAUCAAAAGCACAAAUAGAGUCCCAAAAGCAAGUGUUCAUCCAAAGUUCAUAAACUAAGAUACGCGGGGUUUUCCUCAAAUCUCAUGGGCAUAGAAAUCAUGAUUUUAAGAAAGAGGUUUUCAGAUUUAUGAAUACAUUCAUGUUUUAGAAAUCUUGACGGUAUUGUUUUAGUCUUUUGACCUUCCCCCAAAUUAAUUUGAAAUUAUACAUAUAUAUGUAAGUAUGUGUUUUAAGAUUGAUGAUUGAAUUGAGAGCAUGAUUCAUGAAAAAUCCCUCUCUUGUGAUGAUUUUCAUUUACUUAUGAUAUACUAUGAAAUCGUUUGAAAGAGUCUUGAAAAAACAUGCUAUGAAAUAUCUUGAAUAAUGUUAGAUUUGGAUUAUGAUUCCGAUUCCAACAGAGAGAGGGUUGUUUAUAUUGAUGAAUGUUGAAAAUAUUCAUAUAAUGAAAGAGUGCCUGAAUUUGCCAAAAGCACAUGACCACCAUAUGUUUGAAGGAUUCUUGCAUAGUUUUGACUUAUGUUUCAGAACAUGAAAUCUCUUAUACUAUUUGCAAUGUUGGGUGGUCUGAAUUGAGUUUUAAUGAAAGAAUUAUGCUUAAUGCAUUAUGGCUUAGAAUUAUGACUUGCAAGUCUUAGUAUGACGAUACCAAAAUAGACAUUGCCAUAAUAGACUCAAACAAGCUUAGAAACCAGAUUUUCAUGACUUAAGAUUUCAGAAUGAUAUGUGUUAAAAAUGGAUAAAAAUUGGGCACAAAGAGAUGUUAGGUGGUCCCCUGAAAAAGGCACGAGUUUCAGACAACUCAAUGCCCAAAACCGUGAUUUGCCGAUCCGGGUAUAUUAUUAUACGCUGGCCCAGUGCCCUGUGGUGUAUUAGACUUAGACUUGUAGGGGUGUGCCACCUAACUCAGAAGUAAUACAAAGAUCAGAAACUGCUUUUGACAGAAAGGUUUUGAUGUUUUUCCAAGAAUGCCCAUGUGUUUUGAAAAUUAUAUCUUUCAUGAUGUUUAUGACUAGCUCUCAACUAUUUUAUUUAUAUAAAAGCGUGAUUUUGGAUUGCUUUGCGUACCAGUACAUCUGUAUUGACCCCUCCCCCUACUUCUCAGGUUCUGAGGCUCAGUCUAAGGGUCCAAGUAAGCAGUAGAUAAUUCAGACAGCAGAUCAGAUUUUGCAGUGGUGAGCCUUCUCUGUUCCAGAAGGCCUGUCCUUUUAGAUUAUGUCAUUUGUUUCAGUUUUGGUCUACUGGGGGCCUUGUCCCAGUUUUCAGAUAGUUGUCAGAUUUUCAUGUAGUAGAGAUUUCGUAGACGGUUUCAAACGAUGUUUAGUUGAUAUUGGAUUUUAUUCCUGUUUGCAUUGGUGAUGGACGUGUUGACGCGGAGUAUUCAAGGCGAGGUGCCUUGGUGUAUGCUAUUUGCGGAUGAUGUAGUGCUGAUUGAUGAGAUGCGGAGGGGCAUGAAUGACGAAUUGGAGGUUUGGAGGCAAACCCUUGAGUCGAAGGGGUUCAGGUUGAGUAGGUCUAAGACGGAGUAUUUGGAAUGCAAGUUUAGUGUGACUUGAAGCAGGAGGACGAUAUGGUGGUGAGGUUGGACUCCCAAGAUGUUUGUAAGAGAGAUAGUUUUAAGUAUCUUGGGUCUUUGAUCCAGGGGAAUGGUGAGAUUCUAAUCGUAUUGGAGCAGGUUGGAUGAAGUGGAAACUCACCUCGGGAGUGCUAUGUAAUAAGAAGGUUCCCCUUAAGCUUAAAGGCAAAUUCUAUAAAGUGGCAGUCCGUCCGGCCAUGUUGUAUGGAGCGGAGUGUUGGCCAUUCAAGCAUUCCCACAUCCAAAAAGUGAAGGUGGCGGAAAUGAGGAUGUUGCGUUUGUUGUGUGGGCUUACUAGAGGGGACAAGAUUAGGAAUGAGAUUAUCUAGGAGAAGAUAAGAGUGGCUUUGGUGGAGGACAAGAUGCGGGAAGGAAGGCAGAGAUGGUUUGGACAUGUGAUGAGGAGGGACGCGGAUGUCCCAGUGCGUAAGUGUGAGAGACUAGCGUUGGAUGACUUUAGGAGGACUAGAGGUAGGCCAAAGAAAUACUGGAGGGAGGUGAUCAGACAUGAUAUGAGCAGCUGCAGCUUACUGAGGACAUGACCCUAGAUAAGAAGGUAUGGAGGUCGCGGAUAAUGGUAGAAGGCUAGCGGAAGGGUGUGGGUUGUAGCAAGCCACCAAGAGAGUUCUUAUGUAGCCGGGUUAGUAACCUUAGGUCUGUGUCUAUAGGUGUUUAGGGCGGCGAGUAUGUGUUACUUAUACGUGGGGUCCCAUUCAUAUUUUCUCAGUUGCUAUUUGUUACUUCGUGUUGCCGUAUCUCUCGUAUUUUCGUAUUGCUAUGAUUUACUUUUUAUUAUUCUUUACGCCUUUUCUGUUAUGUAUUCCAUCUCCUCGUCGCUUAUUCUUUAUCUUGAGUCGGGGGUCUAUCGGAAACAGUCUCUCUACUUCUUUGGAGGUAGCGGUAUGGACUGCGUACAUCUUACCCUCCCCAAACCCCAUUUUGUGGGAACACACUGGGUUUGUUGUUGUUGUUGUUGUUGUAUUGUUAAACUAAAUCUAGAAUAUGACCAUGUUUCCGUAGCAGAUUUUGUUAAACUAAAUCUAGAAUAUGACCAUGUUUCCGUAGCAGAUUUUAUUUUCGCAUUUCCUAUUUAUAUAUAUAUAUUUAUGAAUGGUGUAUAUGAUUACAAGUUAGAAGGGCUCUCAGACCUUCAUGGUUCGGGAUGUCCGUCACGGCCAGGGCCCCGGUUCGGGUCAUGACAGAAAGGUUAAAACUCCGUACACUGCACAAAGACUAAUAGAAGCUGGGAGUUUAAAACCAAGACCAAAAACUCAAGGCUACCAAGCCAUUGAGCGGGACCUAAUAAAAUCUAAAAGGGGGACAACCUCAUUAACAGGGGAUAAUUUGCUCCAACUAAAAAGGUUAACUAAACACAGAGAAUUGAGAGCACAGCUAUGAGUUGAAGUCCCACCAAAGCAUUUGUUGUUCCUCUCUGUCCAUAGACACCAAAAAAUACAUGCAGGGAUCAUUUGCCAGAUCUUCUUGAUGGCUCUAUCUACUUUCCAUAAGCUCCAACUUUCAACUGCUCCUGUUAAGUUGUCUGGGGUUGUCCAACUGAUUCCAAAUAUUGCUGUAAACACGUGCCAUAGGUCUGCUGCAACAGGGCAAUGCCAAAAAAGGUGGUUAACUGACUCUAAGUCUUUUUGGAACAUAUGACAUCUGUUCACCAGAGGGAUCUUCUUCAUUUUUAGAUUAUCCUGAGUUAGUAUGGAAUCUCUGAGGGCUGUCCACGUAACUUGACUUUGGUGGGUAGUUUUGUCUUCCUAUCCAUUUCCAAGGCCAAGUAUUAGUCAAAAUAUCGACAGCAUUCAUGCUAUUACAGCCUAACUUAUAGGAAAAUAUAGUUAACUCACCAGUAAAUGAGGUUCAGCUUUCGAAAGAGUGCAUAAUGGCUUCUUCAGCUCUACUUCUCCUUGAAUGUCGUAGCAAAUUAGGUCUAUCCAAAUGGACAAUAGUCCCUUCAAGAAUUUAUUCUCCCUUGUGGUAACGUCAUUGAGAGGUCCGGUAAUAGAACUAGGUAGAAAUUACCUCUUCCUCCUUACAACCCUCCCCCUGAUGUGGUGAUGGAGUAUUACUAGAAUUGGGCUUAGAGUUUUGAAAGAUUACAUCCAUAUUGAUAAAAGAUCUCCUAUAGAGAGGAUGAUAACAUUGGUAACGUUUCUCUGCGGAGGAUACCUAACUAAAACACAUUUGCGAGCUCUAGAAUCAAGUUUUAUAGCAUUCCUAAUGUGAACAAAGAAAACACAAGCAAUCACAUGUGGAGGAACAAUAUAUCCAUACUUCUUUUUUGAUAACCCAAUAUAUCCAUACUUCUUUAAAGCGUCUCAAAGACUUUGAAAAAGUGGGGUUUCUUUUAUAGGCAAAAGCUGAAGCCUUUUAAUGGCAUUCUACUGAUAAGAUAGGAACCUACUUGAAUAGCAUCCCCUAGUAAGUAUUUCGUCGAUUCAUAGUACACAUAAGAGAUCUUGCUACUUCCAACAAAUGCAUGUCUUUCCUUUCAGCAAACCCAUUUGUGCAGUAGUGUAAGACUGUAAGUCCUUCUUUGUACCUGAAUUUGCUGUACUUGAGCUGAGGGUCUUUCGGAAACAGCCUCUCUACCUCCACGAGUACUGGUAAGGUAUGCGUAUACUCUACCCUCCUCAGACCUCACUUGUGGGAUUUCACUGGGUAUGUUGUUGUUGUAGUGUAAGACUGUAAGUACAACUAGUUUGAUAGACUAUCCCAUUGAAGUCCAAUAAGCACCAGAUUUCUUAUCCACGUAGUGUAUCAACAUUUUUAUUUUAGCACCAAACAGGGUAAACAUCAACUUAGCAGGAUAAAACUUCAUUUUUGGCUUUUAACAAAUAUAUGCCCAUGCCAUCCUUUUUUCAAUCAAGUAAAAGAUUUCAUUAAUAAUAACAAGGCAAAAUUGGUCAUAUACAAGUGGUUUACCAACACUGAGGAGAAAGCUAUAGGAUAUGGUUCUCUCCAAAAGACACUCAAUCCUCUAUACAAACAAGAACUACAUGGGUGCACCGAAGAGAAGAGGAUCGAAGACUACUCCUCAAUUGAGCAAAACUCAACCCCACCCUUUCCGAAGCUCUCAUAUUUCUAUCUUUCCAAAUGAGCCAAAUUAAAUCAACAGUAACUUCUAAGCCUUGUGCUUUCUUCUCCUACCUCCGUUCUUCCAGCAGAACAUCAACUCCUUUACAGAUCUUGGCAUUACCCAGGAAAUCCCACACCAACUAAAGAUAUCUCCCAUAGUCUCAUGGUUAAUUUGCAACGUAAUAGAAUGUGGUCCACAUCCUUACUCAUCUCCUUACAUAGGAAACAUCAGCUUAUUUGUACAACCUUUCGUUUCCUAAGAUUCUCCGCCGUUAAAAAUGCCCAUGCGCAGGGGAGGAGCUACCCUUGAGAUAGGAGGUUCAUCCGAACUUCCUUCGAUGGAAAAUUAUACUAUAUAUACAUGGUUAAAAUUAUUUUUAUGUAUAGUAGAUGUUGAACUCCCUUCGGUUGGUUCGUAUGUUCACUAACCCCCUUAGUGUAAAUUCGGACUUUGCCACUGCCCAUGAAAAGAAGCACGCAUUUCUUGGCACCUUAGGAAUCCAAACCAUACCAUGUGAAAAACUGACCUCUGCCCUAACCAGAAGCUUCUCAUAGGACUUAACUGAGAAAAAAUAGUUAUCCCCAAUUCCCAACUCAAAGCAUCGAGUUUGUCAACAGGCUCACAUUGCUUGUAAAGUAAAACUAGCAAUAGAUGAAGCUUGGGCACCUCUCAAUUCUGGACAUUCCUCCUGAACUCGAAAUCCCACCAAGUUCCAUCCCCUUGUGAUCCCCAUGAAUAUUGGCCAGAUUCCAAACACCAAUUGAGGUAGCAAGAUUGAUAUCAACGAUGAGGGUGUAGGCUAUCAUGAAUUAGAAACUUUCGAUCACCCAUGAAGAGUUCAAAGUACUAGGGAAGAUUCAUUAAAAGAGAUUUUAAAGUUCAUAACAUGCUCAAAUGAAUUUAUGAGGGAAGUAAUGACAACAACAUAGGCAUCAAGGACUUGAAGCAUUUCUCCUACCAUCAUAAGUUUGAAGGACUUAAAGAAAGUACAGAAGCAAGACUUCAAGACCACUGGUAUGUUCAAGUGGCUAUUUUAAUAAUUUGGCCAUUCUUGUAAUUUAGCAUCAAUAAUAGUCAUAACAUCAUGCUUGAUUGUGCUCCAACAAUAUUGAAAGAAAGCCAAAGAGAAGCCAUCCGGCCUUGGAGCCUUGUCGCCCCCACAACACUCUACCACCCCACACACCUCCACCUCUAUAACCCUCUCUAGCUUCUAGCUGUUCUUCUCUUCAACCUGACUGGAAUCUAAUCCCACCAGUUUGGCCUCCACUCCGCUUUCUUUUUGAACGAUCUUUAUAAAACCAAAUAAUUGCUCUCUCUGUACUUCCUCCUCUCCCUAUUAAGUCUCCUCCCCCACCUCCAUAGACUAUCAAAUUCCUACUCCUAUUUGUGACUGCUACCUAUGAAAGAACUUAGUACUAGAACCACUCUUUUCCAACCACAACUCCCUCGAUUUUUGUCUCCAAUUAGUCUCUCGAGCAAAAGUCAAAGAAGCUAAUCUCCUUUUAGAACUUCUUUUUUCUCCUUUUCUCUUUUACCUAACUCCCUUCUCACCACUAUUCUUUCUAACUCCUCUAGUUCAUUCAUAAUCUUUCUCAUUUUCACCUCUAACCUCUCAAACGCUUCCUUAUCCUGUACCCUUAUGUCAUUCUUAAGCAACUUUAAUCAUUUAGCAAGUCCAAAAGAUGCUCUCCCCUCUAAUGCAUAACUACCAGGGUCGGACCCACGUGGUCCGUGCCGGGUGCUUGAGAACCCAUUGAACCCGGUAAAAUUUUUAAAUAUUUAUAUAGAAAUACAGCAAAAUUGGUUAUAAUGUAUUGUUAAGCACCCAUUGACACAAAUGACUGUUGGGUGUUUUGGCUUUGGUGUGGAACUUAAGCACCUUGAUAUCUAAAGUGAUAUGGGUUCGAUUCCUAGUAGCAACACACUUUUUUUCCUUAAAGGAAGUGAGCACCCACAACCUUCAAAUCUUGGAUCCGCCCCUGAUAACUGCUCCACUCCCAAACUCUAUAUCCAGAAUGUGUCACUCGCAGCCAAGUCAUCUUAAUGCAACAAUAAAAAGAAGUGCCAAACCACGUCACCAUACAAAGAAACAGCUUAGAUAAAACUAGAGGAAGAUUUAGGAUUUAUGGAACAAGGGAGCAUUAGAUAAAGGAUAAGAAAAGAAAGUAUUAAGUCGGAAUUGAUCCCUAUUCCUCUAGGUAAAUAAUGUAGCAUUCAACGAAGUGCACCAUACAACCACUUUGGAGCAUGGAAGGCAGCAGAUAAUAUUAGAUUACUUAAAAAAAAUUGGUAAUUGUAUAUUAUAUCAAUGAACUAGAACCGUACUUAGGUAGUAUUGAAACCAUAUUUACAUGAAAGCUGUGAAAAUCUAUUAUCCACUACCUAUAGUGAGCCUAAAACAUCAGUGACAGAGAAAGUAACAUUAGAGUAAAUAUGAUUACACCAGAAACAUACCAGUAAGAUGAAGUUCAACUUGAUCUUAUGCACAUCAUCCUUUAUAUCUCAAAAAAUUUGGAGUUUCUUUCCUUCCAAAUUGUCCACUAAAUGCAUGCAAGGACAAUUCUCCAUCUACUCUUGCCCUUAGCCUAUGAACCUAUUUCCUCCCAGCUACCGAGAGCUUCCGAAACCUUUCCUGGUAUAGUCUAGGAUUUGCGUAUGAGGUUUAAGACAAUACUCCAUAGCUGAGUUGUAAAUCGACAAUGCACAACGAGAUGGCUGACCUUCUCUAUUGUUUACUUACACAUGAAGCAUCUUGAGCAUGGAAGACCUCUACUCAUCAAAUUUUCCAACAUAAGGGCAGCUUCUUUUGCUAGUAACCACACAAAACAGGCUACUUUGUGAAGGACUUUAGUCUUCCAAGGUUGUUUCCAUUGCCAGAUGGUUCGAUUGAUUCAUCAAUUUGGAUGUUGCAAUAGCCUUAAAUAGGCCCUUGGUGUUGUCUGGCCACCACGGAACAUCUUCACCUAUUUGUAACCCGGAAAGUUGUUCAAGUGUACUGAAGAAGUCUGCCCCUCUUUGCACUUCCCAAUCACUAAUUUGUCUUCUAAAGUUAAUGUUCCAACCUUGAAGUGCCCACAUAUCUGCUAGUCUUUUGCUGGUAACUAAUUAAGAUGAAUAUAUAUGGAAAGACCAUUUCCAGGUUUCCAACCACAUACCAAUUGUCCUUCCAGAAACUAGUUUUGUUCCCAUCUAACACUUUUAUCUUGGAUCGAAUACUCUAAUGGAUCUUCAUAGACUAACCCCAGAUGGUGUAUUAACGUCCUUGGUCAUCCAGUUAUCCUCCUGAACAUAUUUGCCUUUAAUAACUUUUCCUUGCAGUAGUUAAUGCUCACUAGUAAACUUCCACAGCCAUUUCAUCUUAGAGAGCUUUGCUUUGUACUAUCCCCAGACUUCUAUGUUUCUUCCAAGAGAUUAUUGUUUUCCACUUGACCAGGUGGUAUCCUUUCAUUUCUUUGUUCCCAUGCCACAAAAAAUUCGACCUAUUGAUGACCCCUAUUGGGAUAGGGAACGAGGACAUCAUGUAUGUUGGAACGGCAUCAAGAAUUGGGUUAAUGAGAGUCAAUCUGCCACCCAUAGACAAGUAUUAUGUCUUCCAAUAAGACAUAAUACAUAGAUGGAUACUUAACUUGGCCUCAUCUGGCAACUAAACACUCCUAGUCUGAAAAUGCACCUCUAGACUCCUAAUUCAGAGAACGAAAAAACUGACAGUGGGGAUGUCCAAGUUAGUUUCAGCAAACCAUUGGCUGGAAAAUGGACAUAAAAAUUGACAUUAAUUUAGUUAUGAACUAUUAAUAACCAACUUUAUGAAGUAUUAACAGCCAAAGAGAAAUUAUUCUUUCCCACAAAGUGCAACUUUUAGAGUAGGCCUAACCUAAGGACCAAAAUAGAGAUAUCUCAGGGAUCCAAAUGGCAUCAAAUAGCACGAUCACAGAUGACCUAAAUCCUAAAACAAGCUCAAAAUAUUACAAGUACACGUAAAAACAUACGUUAAAUCUCACAGCAGCUUUAAUUUGUUUAUUCCAAAAACUACUACUACUACAUAACAUAUACUAGUUCUUUUGAGUUGCUACUCACCAACGGAUAAGUUCCAAAGGAAAACUGUCCCUUUUAAAUCCCGCAAUGUUGAAUGCUUUAGAGAAAGCGUCCGUCCAUCUCUGCAACUCCACCGUGUAAGAAAAAAUGAUAUCAUCUGCAAUGUAUUGGGCCAACGUUUGAUCAAUGAUGCCUGACACCUGUGAUGCAGUUACACAAUAGAACACCGAGUAAAAUUCCUGUCCUUGGUUGUCAACCCACUCCAUUAUCUUACUGAGUUCCUCCAAGCGCUGUCUCGAUGAAGCAUAGUACUCGGAAAAGAUGGUAAUAGCAAUCAUUGAUUCCUCUAUGGCUUCUGAGAUUUCUGUUUUAAUUGGUUCUUCUUUUCUUUCAUAUUCGAACUCAGGUUUGAAUACGUUGAUUCCCAUGUCUUCCAGACGUUUGUAAAGUUGUGUAACAAAAUUCCCCUCCAAGUCUUGUCGUCUGAAAUUCAGGAAAACAUCGUAUUUCCAUUUUUUGACAGUUGGAAUUUGGGAAUCCAUAUUCCAAAUUCCAAAGGAUGUGUAUGGUCUGGUGGUGACCCUUUUUCUUUUAGUUUAUCACUUAUAUUGGCACAAUUGAUUUUUAUUUUCUCUGUUACAAGAAUUAUUUUUGGCCUCAUCAGACCUCUUAAACAAAGUAUGGUCAGUGCACAACUUAUUGUAAGUUCCUUUUUUCUCUUAUAAAAGCACCGACACAUUUUGUUAUAGAAGGUGUUUGGAUUAGAUUAUAAUUUGGUUAUAAUAGUUUAAAAAUUAUUUUUAAAUUUUAGGAGUGUUUGAUAAUUUAAAAAAUUGCUUGAAAAAAGUCAAUUUUUAUUUUUUAUAAGUCAACAACUAGAAGUUGAUCAUUACCUACUUAUUUUUUUAAGCUUAUAGUCUAUUGAAAGUUGACCAAAUAAAUGACUUUUGUAUCCCUUGUAAUUUUUACUUGUUUCAAAAUUACCCUUUUAUAGUCCAUUUGAUUUUUUUUAGCUUAUAAUCCAUUAAUAUUUGUAUUAAUUAAACAUUUUCACUUUUUGUAUUUAUGACAAACUUAACUCUAGCCAUAUUAGUACCUCGUUUGUAUGAAACUUUUAAUUUAUGAAAUAUGAUUUUUAUGUAUUAUUUCUCUUCUUUAAUAUAUUUUUUUAAAUUUGGACAAUUAUUAUUGUACAACAUAUAAAUUUCUCUAAGAAAAAAAACUCACCAACAAAGAUAUUGGGAGAACACUCACCGAAGAUAUUCAAAGUCAUGAACGAUUAGUGAACGAUUCAUGUAUAUUUGACGACGCAACAUUCGUAUUCAACAAUGUUUUAAUAGUGAUAUAGCCAUCACUCAAUCAACGAGCAAUAUAUUUUUCAAUUAAGAUUCAUUUUAGCAAACAAAUAGUAUCAUUUGUGACCAACUAUUUAUCUAUUAAUGUAAUUAUAAUAAUUAGUAACAUAUAUAUUUUGUUUGAUGAUUUAAACUAUUUUAACCAAGAAAAAAAAAAUUACCGCACAAAUUUAAUAGUCAUUAAUGAAAAUAUUAUAUUAUAUAAUAUUUUUUCUCUCUAUAUAUAUAUAUGAAAUUGCAACUUUAUUGAUAAACGUCGUGUUAUCAAAAGUGGGGUAGGGGGGGGGGGUAUUAAUAUAUAUCUUAAUUUUAAUUUGAAUCAUUUUAGAAAUAAAAAUUAAUAAUAAUCAACUCUACAUAUUGUUAACAACUUUAAGAAUAUUUCGGACAUUUUGAUAAAAAAAGUGGUUAACAGCACUUGUUUAUCAAACACAUCAACAACUUUUUUUUAAUUUCAGCACUUUUAUCCAAACACGUAACUGCUUAUUUUUAACAUAAAUUUUUGCACUUUUAAAGAAUUUUUUAAAAAUCACUUUUUUUCAGCUUAUCCAAACGGACCCAUACUAGUGUUUCAAAAUUCAUGCUAACCAAGUUGAUUCAAAUAACUAUAUCUAGUACCCUUUUGGAAUGGAUUCAAAAAACUCAUUUCGUUUCAAUUUGUUUUUUUUAGUCCGUUUAAAAAAAUAUUUUUUUUUAUAAUAAUAAUUCUAACUUUCUUCAUGACAUGUUUAAUAUUAUAAAAUUAAAAUAUAUUCUGAUAUAUUUUAUGUAUUUCUAAUUUAAGUAAAUAAGAUUCUGAAGGCUUAUUUAAUUUCUUAAAUUUUAUGGUAAAUCAAAAUUAAAUAAAUAAAUUAAAAGAAAGGUAGUAUAAUAUUUCUUGAAGUUUUAGUAGUAGUAGUAAUAUUUUUGCACACAUGUAUGCGGAUUCUGGGUAUCUGCACAAGUGUGAAGUGAGAAGGAAGAAUCAUCUGACAACAAUCAGUACUCCAUUGACUGAAAGUAAAACAAAGACUCAGCUUCCCACCACCUUAAAAAGAUACUACCAUGUCAUUUUCAAUGGACGGGGUAUUAAUAAUAUUAUUAGGGGUAGUUUGGUUUGAAAAUUGUUAUUUCGGGAUAAUUAAUUAUUUUGAGAUAAAAUAAAAGAAUAUAUUUUUUUUGUUUAGUUGGAGGGAUUAAUUCAAUCCGGGAUAACUUAUUCCAUCAUUUUUCUAUUAGUCCUGAGAUUAUUUAUUCCAUAUACAUGGUGGGAUAAGUUAUCCCGGGUAAUCCCGAGGUAAUUAAUCUCGGUAUUAGUUAUCUCGGGAUAACAAUUUUCAAACCAAACGACCCAAGGGUCGUUUGGUGUGAGAUAUAAGGGAUAAGUAAUUUCGCGAUAAAAUGAUUCUUUAUUUUAUUUUAUAUUUGGUUGGAGGGAUAAGUCAAUUCCGUGAUAAUUUAUCCCACCAUUUACACUAUAAUGAUGGGAUAACUUAUCUCAUAUGCAUGGUGGGAUAAGUUAUUUCGGGAUCUCAAAAUAACUAAUUGCGGAAUUAAUUAUUUCGGGAUAACCAUUUCCCAACCAAACGAUCCUUUACGGGUCGUUUGGCGUGAGGGAUAAGAACAGAUAGUCUCGGUUAAUUUUUUUAGUACUCCUUAAUCUUUUAUUUAGUUGUAAAGUGUGGAAUCAGAAUUAAUAAUUAGUACUAAAAUAAGUUAUUCCUAUCUUUGAAUGGUCUAGUAAUAUCAGGAUAACUUAUCCCGAUAUAAAAUAAUAAAAAUAUCCUCCUUAAAUUCUCUUUUAUACCUCACUUUUCACAUUCAUGUAUGUUCUCAUAUAUUUUUAGUAUCCGUUUGGCCAUGGAAAUAAUUUUUUUCUGGAGUUGGAGUUAGAGUUGAAAAUGAAGUUGGAGUUGUGUUUGACCAUAUCUUUUUUUUUUUUUUUUUAAGUUUUGAAAAAUCUUUUUUAAAUAUGAUUUUAUGCUCUCAACUUUUAAAAAUUAUCAAAAUCACUCAACUACUAAUUUAUCUACUAACAUACAACCAAAUGUCGAGAAAAUAAUUUAUAUGUCUACAAUUCAUAAAAUAAUUAACAACAAAGUAAUUAUUAUGAUUGUUAUUCUUCUAAAAUCUGAAUAAAAAUAUCACAAGUACGAGCUAAAUGAGUUUAUCUAACCAUAAUCGAUUGAAUAGAGAAAAAUAUAUUUUGAUAAAUAUUAUUGAAGGAUAUAAAUAUAUUUUAUAUAUUCUUAAAUUUGUUGAUGAAAAUUUUAAUUACUUUCACUUGAAUUAGUUAUUUUAUUGAAUUUGGUCUUUCUUAAAAAAUUUACGGAUGAAUUAUUUCUGAAUAACUAUUUUUUUUGCUUUUUUUUUAUUGAUGAUAUUGAUUUUUCUUGAAUAUUAUUGUAUUGUAAAUAUGAAUCGUUUCAUUAUGUUUGAUAUGCGACUUUAUUGACCACUUUUUAAUAAUUUAUUAAAAUCAUAAUAGCCAUUAUAUAACAUAUACAAAAAAUUAGAAUGACAAGAAAAAAAUAUUAAAUUUCUCAUUUUUAAAUAACAUCAUGUACUAGACCUUAUAUUUCUACAAUAUAGUUCAUUCAAAAUAAAAGUUGAUAUAUUUCCGCCAUAGAUUGUCAUUUAUUAGUUUUUUACUUCACGUUAGUAAAUUUUGAUUAAAAGAGAAAAAAGAGAUUAGAAUAUCUGUAACAAUUAAAAAUGAUGUUAUACCAUAGAAAAUAAAUAAUAAUGUUUUGGAGUUAUAUAUAAUAAUAAUGAAAGUUGAAAAUGGAAGUGAAAAAUUGUGAAAACAACAAAAAGUUGUUUUCACUUUUUGGAAGAGUAAUAAUACAUAAAUAUGAAUUGUUAGGCAUAAAACAUUACCACCUUGGGUGUUAUUAGAUUUGCGAACAAUGAAUAAUGAUUAGGCAAUCAUGGAAAAAGAAAAUGACCAUAUAAGAUUGCUAAUCAUUGGAUAAUGAUGUUUGAAUGAUUUUGUGUAAUGGUUUCUUGUACAUAUAAAAGUGUUGCAGUUGCAGGUUUUCGUUUUGCAAUUAGCUUUAAAUUAUCAGAUUUUUAUUUAGCUCGAAUUUUGACAAAUUUAGAUUUUAGGUUCAGGGUUUUUAGAGUAUUAAUUUAGUGCACGUGCGUUGCUCGUGUACAUCAUGUCAAGUCAUUAUCAAAAAGAAGAAUAUAUUAUUAAAAAAUAGAUCAAAUUAGUAGUCUUUUGAUUAACAAAAACAAAAAAUAAUAAUUAGCAACAAAAUUGUUAGCUACGGACAUGCCAAUUAAUUGACCUUUUAAAAGAUUUAUAUGAGGUAAAAAGUUUAAUUAGUUUUAUAGUCCCUAAAUUCUAGAUACGUAAUUCAAAUAAGGAAUUGUUUGAUAACUACAUUUUAAUGAAUGUAUAUAUUUUGAUAGUUCAUGUGCAGCUUGAUUGACAAAGUUAUAUCUAGAAGUAAUACUAUAAACUUGCAGCAACUAAUCACGUGUUAGGAAGUUACUCAAACAAAGUCCACUUAGUACACCAAAGAAAAAACAGAAAGUUUAAUGUUUUUUGGCUAAAACAAAUAGCAACAUUCAUUAUUUUGAAGCAUAAAUGAGUUCCUUGAAAUAUUUCUCAAGGUGAAAACCUAAAGGCACCACAAAUUUGUAAACUUACAUAAAAUUAAAAAAUAUAGAACAGAUAAGUAGCAAAAUCUUUUAUAAAACGCCAUAUAGCAGAUCCCUACACUUUCUGCAAUGAACAAUAUUUUAAAAAUAAAUUAAGUGAGUUUUAGUUUUAAAAAAUAUUUCUUAUUAAUAUUUAUAUAUAAUUUAGUUUAUGAAAAAUAGUAAAAGGAUAUUUUGUCUAUUGCGCACGGACCUUGCAUGUGUAGCAUUCAGUUAUUUUAAAAUUACAAUUUUAAUAAUUAUUUAUUUAAUUAAUUUAAAAUUUUAAAUAUUACAUAAAUAAUAGAUUAAGAAAUUUAUAACCUAAAAAAUUAAAUUAUUUAUCAAAUAAAUAUUAUUUGAUAUUGAAUAAAUUAUAAGAAAAGCUGAGUUGAUUCGUAGGAUGAUUGUACUUAAAUUUUGGUUUAUAGCAAAACUACUAUCUUUCAAUCUAUUACUUAUUUAAGUCAUUAAAUAAAACAUCAUAUUUUUUGCAUCUUUUUAAAUUUAAACAAAAGAUUGUCAAGUUCAUAUAAAUCCAUGUUGAAAACAACACAAUAACCUAAAAUAGUUAUAAUCACAAUCACUUAUUUCUGAAAAAAAUUAAAUUGAAUGAUUAAUAUAAAAGGAAAAAGAUAAACAAAUAUAAUAUCACAUAAUGUAUUGUUGAUUGAGAUAGACACAUAAACAUUAUGUGCUUGCAACAAACAACAACAAUAACAACAUACCCAGUGUACUCCCACAAAGUGAGGUCUGGGGAGGGUAAAAUGUACGCAGUCCAUACCAUUACCUCCGAAGAGGUAGAGAAACUGUUUUCGAUAGACCACCGACUCAAGAAUGAGAAUAGUAUACCAAGGCCGUAAUGAAACAAGAGACAUGGUGGAUAACAUAAACAGAAAUAAGGGAUAAGAAAUAAUACCAAUAAAUAUCAGAGAAUUACGAAAUAAGAGAAAAUACGAGCAAUACGCAAUAAAUAUAAGAAAACGGAUACUCACCUUGUAAUGACAUACUCUCACAAUACCUAAGCCACCCAUCACACCCAAACUCUCCUAACCCCUAGCCACAAGCCACACACUCACACUAGCCUUCUACUCUAAUCCGCGACCUAAACACAUUUCUAUCUAGGGUCAUGUCCUCAGUAAGCUGAAGCUGCUCCAUGUCAUGUCUAAUCACCUCCCUCCAGUAUUUCUUUAGCCUACCUCUACUCCUCCUGAAUCCAUCCAAAGCUAGCCUCUCACACCUCCGAAUAGGGGCAUCCGUGUUCCUCCUCAUCACAUGCCCAAACCAUUUAAACUUGCCUUCUCGCAUCUUGUCCUCCACCGAAGCCACUUUCACCUUCUCCUGAAUAAUCUCAUUCCUGACUUUAUCUCCUCUAGUAAGACCACACAUCCAAUGCAACAUUCUCAUUUUCACCACUUUCAAUCUUUAGAUAUGAGAUUUCUUGACUGGCCAACACUCUGCUCCAUACAGCAUAGCCGGACGGACUGCAACUAUGUAGAAUUUUCCUUUAAGCUUAAGGGGUACCUUCUUAUCACACAACACUCUCAAGGCAAGCUUCCACUUCAUCCAACCAGCUCCAAUACGUUUAGAGACAUCCUCAUCAAUCUCGCCAUUCCCCUGAAUCAUAGAUCCAAGAUACUUACAACUAUCCUUCUUACAAACAUCCUGAGAUUCCAACCUCACCACCACACCGUCCUUCUAACUCGAGUCACUAAACUUGCAUUCCAAAUACUCCGUCUUGGACCUACUCAACCUGAACCCCUUAGACUCAAGGGUUUGCCUCCAAACCUCCAAUUUCUCAUUCACCCCCCCAUGACUCAUCAUCAGCACUACAUCAUCCGCAAAUAACAUAUACCAUGACACCUCACCUUGAAUACUCUGUGUCAACACGUCCAUCACCAACAUAAAAAGGAACGAGCUUAGGGUAGAACCUUAGUGCAAACCUGUCUUGACCGGAAAAUGCCCUGAGUCUCCUCUCGCUGUCCUCACCCGAGUUUUCUCUCCAUCAUACAUAUCCUUAAUAGCUCUGAUGUACGCCAAUAAAACUCCUCUUACCUUCAAGCAUCUCCAAAGAACCUCCCUAGGGACUUUGUCAUAUUUCUUCUCCCUAGGGACUUGCAACAAAGCUGUAAGGCCCCGCAAAGUUCCCUCGUAGUCUGAGCCUUUAGAGCAUGUCAAGUGAAGUGUAAUUACGGCUCUAAAAGAUUAAGAAAUGACUUUCAAGUGAUUAGUGUCUAAACCUUGUUGAAUUUUCCUAAAAAAUGACUUUCUAUCGUAUGGAAAAUUGAAUUAUUUUUCCAACGAUACCUAUUUCGUCAAAAUCUGACAUCGGGAGAGAAAGAUAUGGACAUUUUACAUAAAGUAGUUGAAUUGACCAGGUGCGACAUAGAGGGCCAACGGACCGUCGCCCAAACCAUCGCAGAGGGGACAGUGAGUCCGCUUACUGGCCAAGCACGACGAUGGGACCUACGGACCGUCAGACUAGCGAUGAACCGUCGCACCUCACUGUCGCAGUUGAGGCAGAAAGUCCAAAUCUGGUCCAGGUGCGACGGUCAGGACCGACGGACCGUCGACCCAGCGACGGACCUUCAUACCCCACCAUUGCAUAUCCCAUUCAGUAUUUUUGAGUCAUUUUAAAAAGGGGUUUUUUGGUCCUUUUCCACCCUUUUAACACCUUGAUAUACCCAAUACGAAUCAGAUAACUUCAUUAUUCAUUCAAACCAUCUCAAGAGCUAGGGUUUCUCCCUCAAGAAUAAAUCCAAAUCUUCUUUCAAGAAAUUCAAGAAUCCUCCAUAGUUUUUUACAAAUUGAGUUAAGAUUCAAGGUUCCCAAGUUAAAGGCUUCAAGAACCCCCCCCCCCCCUUAGGAGUAAGAAGAAGAGUCUCAAGCAAGUUUGUUCAUCUAAGUAACAAUCUAAGGUAUGUGGGGUUUGAGGACACUUCUUUCGUCCUUGUGCCUAAAAGUUGUUUUAAAUAUGAGAAUAUAUGAUUUUCCAUGCUUUUCUAUGAAAUUGAAGUAUGGGUUUAUACCUUAUGUUAUUAUUCCUUGAGAAUUUAAUAGCUCCAAUGUUCUAGAAAUUGAAGUACAUGAGUAUGUUAAGAUUUUAAGGCAGAUUGCUGAAAAUUUCAGAUUUCUAUAUGAUUUAUGAAUCCUUAUGACAUCUAGUAUGCAUUUUGAUGUCUUAACUUGAGAUUUGAUUAUGGGUCAUUAAGCCCUACUUGAGAUUUACAAUUUUAUGAACUUUUGUGCUACAAGCACCCAUGAAUUGAGUACUUUGAUAUUAUUGAGAAUGAUUUGGCCUUUUGGUCAUAACAGAGUUGAAAUCCACAUUGAGUAUGGUUUAAAGCAAAUAGAAAUUUGUUUUGGUUUUCAUUAUAGACCCUUGAGUUAUUUUGAGGUGGAUUUCCUAAGAGUUCUGAGCUGAGUAUGGGAGUAGUAUUUAGCACCGAGUUGAGUAUGAUUCUAAGGUCUCAUACCCUUGAACUACGUGCUACCGUAGGUUCGAGAUUAAUGGGCCCAAGGCCAAGACAGUGAUCACUAAAGAUGAGGUUCUACUCCGAUGGCAAGGAUAGAACAAUACUACUCAAUGUGGGCGAUACGUUGGACUCCAUGUAGCUCACAUUGUUUAUAUUGGUUAGAAGAAAUUCCUAAGUUAUAUAAUCCCGAGUUCCAAGUGUCCCGAGUCUGAAAGAGUUUUAGAGUUCCCAAGGGUUGAAGUUCCUAAAAGUUCUAAGUCCUUAAGUUUUAAAGAAGUUUUACUCUCCAUGAGAUAAAAACAUGAGAAUGAAAAGUAUUGUUUAAAGUUCCUUUAGCCUUCAAUUAUUGAGAAUAAGAGGAGCGUAGAGAUUUUAAAGUUAAGUAUAAUGGCUCACGAUAUUUGUGUUACAUGCUUCACUAUUCAUGAUUCAUGAGUUUUACAUUUUAGACUUAUUCGAGCUAUGUGAGUCAUUCCUAUUUGCAUGCAUGAUUUUAUUAAAGAGUAAUGAUAUUGUUUUAUGUAAAUGCAUAUACCCCACAUAUACUCAGUUUGUUCCCAAAGUGUUGAUCCAUAUAUACGUCUAUGUGCUACAUUGUAUUAUAAUGUAGGUCCAGGUGCUCAGUCUUAGCAGUGACCGUGAUUCUCGAGUGCCUUUGCCUACAUCCCACAGUUGGUGAGUCCUCAUGGUUCGAGGACCUACUUUUCUUAGAUUCCCAGUUGUCAUUAUUUUUAUAUCAGUUCGAGUCAGUUGGGGGUUUGUUCCAAUGGGUUUUCAGUUUGAGUAGUAGAGGCUUUGUCAGACUACACUAGCAAUUGUGUUUUAGACUUUUAGUAUGUUAGAUUUUAGACUAUGUUUUCCAGUUAUUUUAAUUUUGAGAUGAUGUGUUAUAGCCUUAUUGCUUGACUUGAUAUCCCAAAGUGAGAGAUAUAGAUAGUAGCAGGCUUAAAGGGUUAGCUUGGGGAUACUUGUAGCCUUAAGCACCAUGUAUCGCACCGGGAUGAGAUUUCGGGGUGUUACAAACUUGGUAUCAGAGCCUAAUGUGUAAGGAGUACUAGGGAGUCUAACAAGCCGUGUUAAGUAGAGUUUUGAUUAUCUAUGUGUAGCGCGCCAUAUCUAUGAGCAAGAGGCAACAAAAUAUUUUAGGAAAAGUUGUUUCUUUCUUUCAGAUUCUAUCGUGCCUACAGCUGUCCCUCUCAUCUAAUAAUUUGUACUCUCCUAUUUCAGAAAAUGCCUCCCCGAAGAGCGAACGCCCGUAGAAACAAUAAUGAGCAACCCCAACCUGUUGAUCCCUUGAAUGAGAGUGUGUCACAUAUUGAGUUUCAGGCGGCCUUUCAGGUAUUAGCCUAAAAACUCACCGCCCAUGUUCAGGCUAAUAACCUGGCUGCAAUUCCAAAUCAGCAGGGAGGUGAUUUAGCUACUGCUAGAAUUUGUGGUUUCAUGCUGAUGAAUCUGCUAGAGUUUUAUAGGUCUAAGGCAGGUGAGGACCCACAGUUAUACCUUGAGAAGGUGAGAAAGAUCACACAGGUGAUGUAUGUUUCUGAGAAAAAAGUUGUUGAGCUGGUAUCUUACAGAUUGAAAGACAUUUCUUAUGACUGGGUUGUAGCGUGGAAGAAGGGUAGAGGUGAGGAUGCUACUCUUAUGACUUGGCAGGUGUUCCAAGAUACAUUUUUGGACAAGUUCUUCCCACUUGAGAUUAGGGAAACGAAGAUUGAGGAGUUUAUGAACUUAAGGCAGGGAUCUAUGACUGUUAAGGAGUACUACUUGAAGUUCAACCAGUUAUCCAAGUGUGCUCCUGAUUUGAUUUUUGACACUCGAGCUAGUAUGAGCAAGUUCGUGACAGGUGUUUCUGGUUUGGUACUUAAAGAGUGUAGGACUGUGAUACUGAAUAGGGAUAUAGAUCUGUCUAGAUUGAUGAUACAUGCACAACAGAUAGAGAAGUAUAAGAUAAGAGAGAAAUAUAGAGUGAGGGAUAACAAGAGGGCUAGAUCCGAGCAGCAUAAGUAUGGUCAGGCUAGGUCCCAUGGAGGGAACCGCCCGCAGUUCUAGAGUCGUUCAUCUAUACCAGCGCCUUCAUCAGCUAGUGCUCCCGCACCUAGAAAUAGGUAGGAGUAAUGGAACAAGUUUUCUAUGUCUAGGUCAUAAAAUAGUUUAAGUAACAGAACCCUCUAUCCUUCUUGUGCUAAGUGUGGUAGGAACUAUCUCGAUAAGUGUUUAGCAGACCAGAGGGGUUGUUAUGGUUGUGGCAAGCUGGGCCACGGACUUAAAGAUUGUCUGCAUGCUAGGCAAGGAAACAGAGAUGCCCGACCCCUAAAACAGACUACUAGUGCACCAGCUCCCGUACCUCGUCCCGCUCCUGCUCAGGGCGCUUCAUCUAGCACUGCUGGCGGUCAGUGCCAGAAUAGAUUCUAUGCCUUACCAUCCCACCAGGAGUAGGAGGAUUCUCCCGAUGUUGUUACUGGUACGCUCCGCAUCUUUUGCUUUGAUGUUUAUGUGUUGUUGUUCCCUGGGUUAAGUUUCUCUUAUGUGACCCCAUUAGUCGCUUUGAAUUUUGAAGUGAGUCCCGAAAAUAUUCCUGAGCCUUUCCUAGUUUUCACACCAGUAUGGGAGUCAGUUGUUGCUAAGCAAGUGUAUAGAAAUUAUCCUAUUACUAUUUUUCAUAUAGUCAUACUUGCUGAUUUGAUAGAGUUGGACAUAGUGGAUUUUGACCUUAUUCUGGGUAUGGAUUGGCUUCAUUCCUGUAUGCAUCUAUAGACUGUCGUAACCAAUUUUUGAGUGGUCUGGAAAUUCAGUAUAUCCCAAGAGUUAUUUUAUCUCUUAUCUCAAAGCCAAAAAGCUAAUAUCCAAAGGUUGGAUCUAUCACAUAGUUAGAGUUAAAGACAUUAAGUCCGAGGCUCCAACUAUUCAUUCGGUCAACAUUGUUAAUGAUUUUUCUGAUGUUUUUUCGAAAGAUCUCCCAAGGGUACCUCCCAAUAGAGAGAUAGAAUUUGGGAUUAACCUUUUUCCCAACACUCAGCCUAUUUCUAUUCUGCCAUAUCGUAUGGCACCUGCAGAGCUUAAGGAGUUGAAAAAGCAACUCAAAGAUUUUUUAGAUAAUGGUUUCAUAAGGCUCUGUAUCUCUCCUUGGGGCGCACCUAUUCUAUUCGUGUGAAAGAAAGAUGGUUCGUUGCGUAUGUGCAUUGACUAUCGUCUGCUUAAUAAGGUCAUAAUAAAAAAUAAGUAUCCUCUUCCGAGAAUUGAUGACCUGUUUGAUCAGUUGCAAGGUGCAAUUUAUUUCUCCAAGACAGACCUUAGAUUUGGCUAUCACCAGCUUAAGGUAAGGGAGGGUGACAUCCCAAAAAUGGCCUUCUAAACCCGUUAUGGUCACUUUGAGUUUCUAGUCAUGUCUUUUGGGCUAACCAAUGCUCCAGCUGCCUUUAUUGACCUCAUAAAUCGAGUGUUCAAGCAGUAUCUUGAUAUGUUUGUCAUAGUGCUCAUAGAUGAUAUCCUUGUGUACUCUUGUACUAAGAAUGACUAUGCAGAUCACCUUAGAAUUAUCUUGGAAACUCUCAGAGAUCACUAGUUGUUCACCAAACUCAACAAAUGUGAAUUUUGGCUAAGGUCGGUAGCCUUUCUGGGUCAUAUCAUUUCAGCCGAAGGCAUUAGAGUUGAUCCCCAAAAGACAGAAGCUAUAAGAAAUUAGCCUAGACCUAUCUCUCUAUCAGACAUUAGGAGUUUCUUGGGUCUAGCUGGCUACUACCACCAUUUUGUUGAAGGCUUCUCUUCUAUUACGUCUCCCAUGACCCGGUUGACCCAAAAAAAAUUAAGUUCCAGUGGUCAGAUUCCCGUGAGAAGAGUUUUUAGGAGUUGAAGACUCGACUUACUUCAAACCUUGUAUUGACUUUGCCUGAGGGUGUGGAUGGUUUUAUAGUGUAUUGUGAUUCCUCUAGAGUUGGUUUGGGUUAUGUGUUGAUGAAAAGAGGUAAGGUUAUAUCCUAUGACUCUAGACAGUUGAAGCCGCAUAAAAAGAACUACCCAACCCAUGAUCUUUAAUUAGAUGAUGUGGUCUUUGCUUUGAAAAUAUGGAGACACUAUCUUUAUGGUGUUCAUGUUGAUGUGUUUACUGAUCAUAAAAGUAUACAAUAUAUGUUUACAUAGAGGGAGUUAAAUCUUAGGAAUAGGAGGUGGUUAGAGUUGCUAAAAAACUAUGACAUGAGUGUGUUGUAUCACUCGGGCAAGGCCAAUGUAGUGGCAGAUGCCCUUAGUAGGUUGUCUAUGGGUAGUGUUACUCUUGUAGAAGAAGGUAAGAAAAAGUUACCUUGUGAUGUGCAUCGUUUAGCUCGACUGGGUGUUAGGUUGUUGAUUCAGCUGAGGGAAGUAUUGUGGUGUAGAGUAGUUCCGAUUCCUCCUUAGUUUCAGAAGUGAAGGAGAAGCAAGACAGGGAUCCUAGUUUGGUCAGACUGGAGGAGCCAGUUAAGGACAAAAAGGUAGAGGUUUUCUCCCAAGGGGGAUAUGGUGUGUUGAGAUUAUAGGGUAGAUUGGGUGUUUCAUAUGUUGAUGAUCUGAGGCAGAGGAUUAUGGCUGAGGCACAUGGCACACGGUAUUCUAUUUAUCCCGACACUACUAAGAUGUACCGCGACUUGCGGGAAAUCUAUUGGUGGAGUGGUAUGAAGAAGGAUAUAGCUGAGUUUGUAGCAACGUGUGCAAUGUUCCAACAAGUUAAGUUAGAGCACCAAAGACCUGGUGGUGUGAUUCAAGAGUUUGGUAUACCCUCUUGGAAGUGGGAAGAUAUAAAUAUGGACUUCAUGACUGGGUUACCUCUUUCGCAUCAUUAUCAUGAUUCUAUUUAGGUGGUUGUAGACAGGUUGACUAAGUCCGUCAUUUCUUGCCCGUGAAUACAUCUUAUACAGCUAAGGAUUAUGCUAGAUUGUAUAUUCGGUAGUUAGUCAGGUUGCAUGAAGUUACCUUGUCCAUCAUCUCGGAUAGAGGUACUCAGUUCACUUCUCAUUUUUGGAGAGCUUUCCAGAAAGGUCUUGGUACCCAAGUUCAUUUGAGUUCUGAUUUUCAUCCGUAGACAGAUGGUCAGGCUGAGAGGACCAUUCAUACUCUAGAAUAUAUGUUGAGGGUGUGUGCACUUGAUUUCAAAGGUAGUUAGGAUGACCAUUUUCCACUAAUUGAGUUUGCAUAUAACAAUAGUUACCAUGCUAGCAUCAAGAUGGCACUAUUUGAGACUUUGUAUGGUAGAAGAUGUAGAUCACCCAUAGGUUGGUUUGAAGUGGGUGAAGAUUCUGUGAUUGGGCCUGAUGCAGUAUUUGAGGCUAUGGAGAAAUUUAAGUUGAUUAGAAAAAGGUUGAAGAUAGCUCAGAGUCGUCAGAAGUCAUAUGCAGAUGUGAGGAGAAAAGAUCUUGAGUUUGAGGUGGGUGAUUUGGUGUACUUAAAGAUUUCACCCAUGAAAGGGUUUGGGAAAAAGGGGAAGAUUAGUCCCCGUUAUGUUGGCCCUUAUAGAGUUUUGAGUCGUGUUGGGAAAAUAUCCUAUGAAGUUGAGUUGCCCGUAGAGUUAUCAGCUAUUCAUCCCAUUUUUUAUAUCUCCAUGCUUAAGAAGCAUAUUGGUGAUUCCGUUGUAGUGGAUCCUUCAGAGAGUGCUGAUGUUCAGAACAGUCUUUCAUUUAGUGAGAUUCCCGUUGAGAUCCUAGAUUUCCAUAUCCGUAGACUGAGGAAAAAGAGGUUCCCUCGGUUAAAGUUUUGUGGCGGAAACAGUCAGUUGAGGGCGCUACUUGAGAGGCAGAAGCAGACAUGCGAGCCAAGUAUUGGCACCUUUUCUCUACAAAUUCAGAUCAAGCAGAAGGUAUUAUUCUUCCUUGAUUCAACCUUUCUAAUCUAAAGUUCAACUAUGUAUCUAUUCUUACAUGAGUUCUUGCAAUUUUCGAAGUAUUAAAAAGUUUAGAAAGAUAUAGAGUCCAUUUGGCGAUUUGCUUCAGCUGUACCACCCCUGAUUUCUCUGUGCUUUGAGCCUAACUAACGACAUUUAAGGACGAAUAUUUUCAAGGGGGAGAUAUUGUAAGGCCCCACAAAGUUUUCUUGUAGUCUGAGCCUUUAGAGCGUGUCAAGUGAAGUGUAAUUGCGGCCCUAAAAAAAUUAAGGAAUGACUUCCAAGUGAUUAGUGUUUAAACCUUGAUGAAUUUUCCUAAAAAAUAAUUUUCUAUCGUGUGGGAAAUUGAAUUAUCUUUCCAACGAUACCUAUUUCGUCAAAAUUCAACAUCAGAAGAGAAAGAUAUGGCCAUUUUACAGAAAGCAGUUGAAUCGCCCAAGUGCGACGUAGAGGGCCGACAACCGUCGGACUAGCGACGGACCGUCACCCAAACUAUCGCAGAGAGGGUAGUGAGUCCACUUACUGGAUAAGCACGACGGCGGGACUGAUGGAACAUUGUAUCUCACCAUUGCAGUUGAGGCAGAAAGUCCAAAUCUGGCCCAGGUGCGACGGUCAGGACUGACGGAUCAUCGAUCCAGCGACGGACCAUUGCACCCCACCGUCGCAUAUCCCGUUCAGUCUUUUUAAGCUACUUUUAAAAAGAAUUUUUUGAUCUUUUUCCACCCUUUUAACACCUUGAUAUACCCAAUACGAAUCAGAUAACUUCAUUAUUCAUUCAAACCAUCUCAAGAGCUAAGGUUUCUCCCUCAAGAACAAAUCCAAAUCUUCUUUUAAGAAAUUCAAGAAUCCUCCAUAGAUUUUUACAAAUUGAGUUAAGAUUCAAGGUCCCAAGUCAAAGGCUUUAAGAACCCUCCCCCAAGAGUAAGAAAAAGAGUAUCAAACAAGUUUGUUCAUCUAAGUCACAAUCUAAGGUAUGUGGGGUUUGUAUAAGGACAUUUCUUUCGUCUUUGUGCCCAAAAGUUGUUUUAAAUACAAGAAUAUAUGAUUUUUCAUGAUUUCUUAUGAAAUUGAAGUAUGGGUUUAUACUCUAUGUUGUUAUUCCUUGAGAUUUUAAUAGCUCCAAUGUUCUAGAAAUUGAAGUACAUGAGUAUGUUGAGAUUUUAAAACAAAUUGCUGAAAAUUUCAGAUUUCUAUAUGAUUUAUGAAUCCCUAUGACAUCUAGUAUGCAUUUUGAUGUCUUAACUUGAGAUUUGAUUAUCGGUCAUUAAGCCCUACUUGAGAUUUACAAUUUUAUGAACUUUUGUGCUACAAGCACCCGUGAAUUGAGUACUUUGAUAUUAUUGAGAACGAUUUGGCCUUUUGGUCAUAAUAAAGUCUAAAUUCACAUUGAGUAUGAUUUAAAGCAAAUAGAAAUAUGUUUUGGUCUUCAUUAUAGACCCUUGAGUUAUUUUGAGGUGGAUUUUCUAAGAGUUUUGAGCUGAGUAUGGGAGUAGUAUUUAGCACCGAGUUGGGUAUGAUUCCAAGGUCUCAUAACCCUAAACUACGUGCUACUGUAGGUUCAAGAUUUAUGGGCCCAAGGCCGAGACAGUGAUCACUAAAGAUGAGUCUCUACUCCGAUGGCAAGGAUAGAACAGCUCUCCCCAACGUGGGCGAGACAUUGGAAUCCAUGUAGCUCACAUGGUUUAUGUCGGUUAAAAGAAACUCUCAAAGUUAUAUAAUCCCGAGUUCCAAGUGUCCCGAGUCUGAAAGAGUUUUAGAGUUCCCAAGGGUUGAAGUUCCUAAAAGUUCUAAGUCCUUAAGUUUUACAGAAGUUUUACUCUCCAUGAGAUAAAAGCAUGUGAUUGAAAAGUAUUGUUUAAAGUUCCUUUAGCCUUCAAGUAUUGAGAAUAAGAGGAUUGUAGAGAUUUUAAAAUUAAGUAUAAUGGCUCACAAGAUUUGUGUUACAUGCUUCACUAUUCAUGAUUCAUGAGUUUUACAUUUUAGACUUAUUCGAGCUAUGUGAGUCAUUCUUAUUUUCAUGCAUGAUUUUAUUAAAGAUUAAUGAUAUUGUUUUAUAUAAAUGCAUGCACCCCCAUAUACUCAGUUCGUUCCCAAAGUGUUGAUCCACAUAUACGUCUAUGUGAUGUAGGUCCAGGUGCUCAGUCUUAGCAGUGAAUGUAAUUCUCGAGUGCCUUUGCCUACAUCCCACAGUUGGUGAGUCCUCAUGGUUCGAGGACCUACUUUUCUUAGAUUCCCAGUUGUCAUUAUUUUUAUAUCAGUUCGAGUCGGUUGGGGGUUUGUCCCAAUGGGUUUUCAGUUUGAGUAGUAGAGGCUUUGUUAGACAAGACUAGCAGUUGUGUUUUAGACUUUCAGUAUAUUAUAUUUCAGACUAUGUUUUCCAGUUAUUUCAGUUUUGAGAUAAUAUGUUAUAACCUUAUUGCUUGACUUGAUAUCCCAAAGUAAGAGAUAGAGAUAGUAGCAGGCUCGAAGGGUUAGCUUGGGGCUACUUGUAGCCUUAAGCACCGUGUGAUGCACCGAAAUGAGAUUUUGGGGCGUUACAAAAGCCUUAUUAAAGAAUAGAAACAACGAAAUCUUACGUAUGGUGAAAGAUGUCCCUCAAAGCGUGUGAUGGUCUUUGAAAUUGAAACGAUCUCUAACAUCCACAAUAGUUGAGAUAUAAUAUUUGAUAAGUUUAAAUUUAAUUGAGCAAAAGAUACGGAUGAUUGUAUAUUGCAUACAACUAUACGUAUUUGAGGCUGAAGCAUGCACGAACCACAAUGACUCUAUCUUCUUUAUAGUACAAUAAUGAAGUACACAUGAAUCACCAUGAUUCUAUCUCCUUUAUAGUACAAUAAUAUAAUUAAAUUAACAUAACGAAUGUGAAUAAUAUCAAAUUAAAAAGAACAUAACACUAAAGUAGGACUACAUUUGUUGUCACCGAUAUACCUCUUCAAUACAUUCAUAUAUAGUUUCUGAAAGACAGAUUUUUUGUAAAAUCAAAAUCACUAUACUCUUUCUUUCCUCUUUUUUUUUUUUUUUGCCUGUGUUUAAAAGAGAUAAAUUGUUGACUUUUCUUUGAACUGUGCUAUUUCUUGUAAAACUCUUUUGGUUUGUCUUUUUUAUCAAAAAAAAUUUCCUUACUGAAUAUUCAAGUAGUAUUUUUCAAACGAAUUAGUCCUAGUAAAUUGGACUUCUUUUUCUUUUAUCAUAUAUACGCCCAAUAUUUUAGGAAAAGUGAAAAGGCACCAUAACAAANNNNNNNNNNUCAGCAGGAGCAAUUUUCUUUGGGAGAAAAAUUAAUGAACGAAUUAGUCCUUGUAAAUUGAAAUUUUUUUUCUUUUACCAUAUGUACGUCCAUUAUUUUAGGAAAAGUGAAAAGUCACGGGAACAAAAAAGAAUUUCAGCUGGAGUAAUUUUUUUUUGGAGAAAAAUUAAUGUGAGGAAAAAAGUAAAAAAAAUUAUUUUGUCUAUUACGAAUUAUUUUAGUGAAAAGAAAAAAGUUAAACAAUAAUUUAAAAUUAUAGACAAAUAAAAAUAUAAAAUUAACAUUACUUUUAUAGAAAUUAAAAAAAGUUAUGGACCAAGCCUAUUUUAUCAGUACGUUUGAUAUGAAUUUUGGCCUAUUUUUUGGUUCAAGUUUUUUUAAGACAUUUGUUAUGAAUUUUUGCCUAUUUUUUAGGGAUCAAGCCUGUUUGAAAAAAGAAUUUUUUACCUUUUUUUUUAUUUGUUAUAACACAAAAAUGACACAAAAAGGAUGUAUAAGAAUUUUUUUAAAGAUAAAGUAAUAAAGUAAAGGAGCGGAAAAAAGCUAAAUUAGGACAUUUAUUUUUGAAACAUUUUAAGAAUAUAAUAUUAUUAAUAUUUUAAUAUAUGUUAGUGUUUGUGUGUAAUUGUAAUUUAAUCGGGAAGACUAUUUUCUUAAAUUAAAGAGCAAAAUUCUACAAUUGAAUUAAGGAAAAAAAAAGUAUAUACCAGUAUGGGAAAAAGAGACAAAAAUAAAAGAUAAAAUCCUCAUUCCUAAGGUUUUAGUUUAUUUAAUUUUGAUAAAUAAUUUCUUAAAAAAAAAAAUCUGCCAUAUUUAGUUUUUUUUUUUUAUGAAAAAGUUUUAGAAUUUUAUAUAAAAAAAAGCUUUAAAACUUUAUUAAUAUCCUACUUUUUUUUAUUCUUCCACAAAGAUUGAUUGCUCCUUAACAACGUGAGUUCUUCAAACUAUUAUUUUAUAGCAUGUGAUAUAUAAUAUUUUCUUUAAUUUGUUUAGUUCAUCAUUUCUUUUGUUUUAAUUUUUUUUAAUAUGAUUUUGAAAGAAUUUUGUAAUGACCAUCCAAUUCAAUUUCUUUUCGAAAUAAGAGAUCGUGAUUACUACUGCUUCAGGUUAUUACGUAUGUUUUCAACAAGGAUUUAUAUGAACUUGAUAUUUUUUACUUAUGAAUCAUAUUUACAUUAAAUUUUUAUUAAAAUUUUAAAAUAAAAUGUAAGGAACAAGAUGCUUGAUUUUAAAGACUUAAUAAACAACUGAUUUGAAAGAUAGUAGUUUUGUCAGAAACCAAGUUUAAGUACAAUCAUAUUACUUGUCAACUUAGCUUCUGAUAAUUUCAUUUAAUAUCAAAUAAUCUUUGUAUAAUAAAUAAUUUUAAUUUUGAAGGGUCUAAAUUUUUAAUCUAUUAUUUUCUUAGUAUUUAACAUUUUGAAAUUAAUUAAAAUAAUUAAAUUUUAAUUUUAAAUAAGCAAAGGCUCCAGUGCGAGGCACAUGCAUGCUUUUAAAUAAUUUAUUUAUUUAUUUAUUUAUUAAUUCGGUAUUUUUAAAAAAUAAUAUCAAAGAGAGACAGAGAUAGUAGCAGGCUCGAAGGGUUAACUUGGGGCUACUUGUAGCCUUAAGUACCGUGUGACGCACCGGGAUGAGAUUUCGGGGCGUUACAAAAGCCUUAUUAAAGAAUAGAAACAAUUAAAUCUUACAUAUGGUGAAAGAUGUCCCUCAAAGCGUGUGAUGGUCUUUGAAAUUGAAACAAUCUCUAACAUCUACGAUAGUUGAGAUAUAAUAUUUGAGAAGUUUAAAUUUAAUUGAGCAAAAGAUGCGGACGAUUGUAUAUUGCAUACAACUAUACGUAUUUGAGGCUGAAGCAUGCACGAACCACCAUGACUCUAUCUUCUUUAUAGUACAAUAAUGAAGUACACACGAAUCACCAUGAUUCUAUCUCCUUUAUAGUACAAUAAUAUAAUUAAAUUAACAUAACGAAUGUGAAGAAUAUCAAAUUAAAAAGAACAUAACAGUAUAGUAGGACCACAUUUAUUGUCACCGAUAUACCUCUUCAAUACAUUCAUAUAUAGUUUCUGAAAGAUAGAUUUUUUGUAAAAUCAAAAUCACUCUACUCUUUCUUUCCUCUUUUUUUUUUGCCUGUGCUUAAAAGAGAUAAAUUGUUGACUUUUCUUUGAACUGUGCUAUUUCUUGUAAAACUCUUUUGGGUUGUCUUUUUUAUCAAAAAUUUUUUCCUUACUGAAUAUUCAAGUAGUAAAUGAAUUAGUCCUAGUAAAUUGGACUUCUUCUUCUUUUAUCAUAUAUAUGCACAAUAUUUUAGGAAAAGUGGAAAGUCACCAUAACAAAAAAGAAUUUCAGUAGGAGUAAUUUUUUUGGAAAUUAAUGAACGAAUUAGUCCUUAUAAAUUGGACUUUUUUUAUUUUACCAUAUGUAUGCGCAUUAUUUUAGGAAAAGUGAAAAGUCACGGGAACAAAAAAGAAUUUCAGCUAUAGUAAUUUUUUUUGGAGAAAAAUUAAUGUGAGAAAAAAAGUAAGAAAAAUUAUUUUGUCUAUUACAAAUUAUUUUAGUGAAGAGCAAAAAGUUAAACAAUAAUUUAAAAUUAUAGACAAAGAAAAAUAUAAAAUUAACAUUACUUUAAUAGAAAUUAAGAAAAGUUAUGGACCAAGCCUAUUUUAUCAGCACACUUGAUAUGGAUUUUGGCCUAUUUUUUGGUUCAAGUUUUUUUAAGACAUUUGUUAUGAAUUUUUGCCUAUUUUUUAGGGAUCAAGCCUGUUUGAAAAAGGAAAAUUUUACCUUUUUUGGGGGGGGAUCAAGUCUAUUUUAGUUAAAAAAUAUUUUUUUGCCUUUUUUUUUUUUUAAGGUUUGCCGUGAUUUUAUUUUUUUUGAUUUGCUAUAGCUUUUUGCCUAUUUUUAGGGUAAGUAGUUGGAAAAGUUUUUUAUUUUUAACUAUUUAUGAAUUUAAUUAUAAUAAAAAAUUCCUUCCCUAUUUAAUUUUUAAUAUCAUUAAAAUAAUUAAAAAAAUAAAAGACAUUUUAUCUAAAGCAAAGACUUUUAAUAAAGGGCAAAAAGUUCAAAUUACUUUUCUAAGGGUCUUUACACUUUUAAUAUACUAGUUUAGGUGUACGUGCUUUGCACGUGUAUAUAAUUAAUUAACAAUAAAUGAAUAUCAAAAGAACAAAUUAUUGUGUGUACGUUAUAUUAUUAAGUUAAAAAUUUUAAAAAUCAAAACUAAUUUUAAGACAAAAAAUGUGAAGAACAUGAUAAUUCACCAUACAUUUUCUAAUGUCUCUUUUAAUUAUUAUAGACAUGUGAAAUAUAUUAAAAUAUACUUUAAUCUUGUAGUUUUAAAUACACUGUAUGAAAAUUUAGAAAUAGAGUAUUUUAAAAAAAGAUAUUGAAAUGAACUAAAAAAAAGGUAAGAUAAACAAUUGAAUUCAUGUAUUUUUUUCGUAUGCUAAAGAAAUAAAAUAUUUGUGUGCUAGAGUAUGUAUGUAUACAGGAAGACAAUUCUUUGUGUAAUUUCUUUUACACCGACCACUAAUUGAGCCAACAAAUACUUUUUUUUUAGAGUUUUUUAACGUUGCAUGCCAUAUAGAGUUUUAAAAUAGUACAACUCAUUUAGGUACACAUUUAUAGUGCUUUAUAGCUAAUUAAGAUUUAAUAUCCUUUUUUUAAUUGCUUUCAAAGUUCUAAAUAUUUUUUUAAAAGGUCCAAUUAAAAAAAUAAGAUUAAAUCACAAUUAGUACAAAAUUUUCAAAAAAGUUUAGAUGAAAAUACAUGAAAAAAAUUCAUGAUAUUCAAAAUUAAGGAACAAUAUGGAACAAACUAAAUAACCAUUAUUAUGCCUUAUUUCAGUGCUCAAUUAACGUGAAGUAUCUAACUACAAAAAAAGCAAAUAAGAUCUAUUAGAAAAAUAAUAAUUAGCAUCCUAAUGAUCUAUCUUUAAAUUGUCAGAAUCAUUUAUGAAGGUUCGAAUCAAUUAUUAUACUGUAUUUGUAUUAUUGGACGGAAUUCGCUAUUUAGGAGAAGAAAUCAAUUAAGAAAAAACACUAUAAAAAGUCAAGUUACAAGCCAAACAAUUAAUAAAUAAAAAUCAAAUCUCCUAAAAAUCUAAUCCCAUGAAUAAUCCUCAGAACGUAGUACACGUAGUUUUUUAACCACAAAGCAUAGAUAAAAAAAUCUUUAAUUAAUAAGAUAACUAAUUAUUAUGCAUUCAGAAUGACUUAUCAAUUUUUCGUAACGAUACGACGAUUCGAAUAAUUUAUCCAAAAUCAUAAAUAAGUCAAUUUCAUUACUAAUUAUCAUGAAUUUUGAAUGACCAAUCAAUUUCUCGUGACAAAAUGCAACGAUCUAAAUAAUCUGUUCAAAAUUGUAAAUAAUUCAAUUUCAAAUUACUAAUUGUAUAUGAAAUACUAUAAACAAAAUUCACAAAGAAAUUUCUCAAUUUAUAAUUGUUUAUCAAAAAAUACAUCAUUUAUUAUUAUAAACUUCAAAACCAGUCUAAAAUUUUAGAAAACAUACCUGUGGACAAAUUCAUUACAAGAAUCUUUAAUUUUAAUAAAGAAUAUGAAUGAUAUAUUUAUGAUGGAAAACAUAAGAGAAAGUAAUAAGACAAACACUAAGAUCUAUUAUAAAAGAAAAAUUCGUAAAGAAAGAAAACCUAGAAAUACAAAAGUGAUAAAAUUUAUGAGUGAGAUUGUGCAAUGAUAUUUUAUAUAUAUAUAUAUAUAUAUAGGAGAUCCUAAACCAAAAAGGAAUUAAAAAAGUAAAUAUUGUCUAAACCAAAAAGAAAUUAAAAAAAUAAAUAUUAUAGAUUCCAACAACUAAAAAAAAACCUAAUACAUGAAAACUUUUUAAAGAAAAAGACAAAUAGACUCUACUUUAAGAAAACAUUACGUAAAUAAAAAAUAUAAAAUUUUGUAAAGUAUAAUUAUAGAGCAUUUUAGCAUGGUAACGUGAUUUCGAUAAAUAUGGUAAUUUAAGAAAAAAUAAUAAUUUUGGAAUUUAUGCUCUUAAAAAAUAUUAUAGUAUUUAUACGAUUGUAAGAGUUUUGACUACUAAUAAAAAGAGAAUCUAAAUCUCUAUUUUGGAUCACCUGGUUUUUAAAAAAUUUAAUAAUCAAAAUUUAGUAUAUUUAUUUUAUUAGGAUUCCAUAUAUAUUCUAUUGGUUAUUUCUUUCCAUAUAUUUCAAAAGUCCUUAAUUUCGAUCUCAUAUAGUUUAGGAGUGUUUAAUUUCUAUUCAUAUAUUUUUAGGAGUCCUUAAUUUGAUUAAAUAAUAAUUUUUUUUUAAAAAAAAAAGGUGAAAAGACAAUUUUGUCUAUUGUAGAGACUUUUAAUGAAGGGUAAAAAGUUCAAAUCACUUUUUUAAGGGCCUUCACACUUUUAAUAUAUUAUAGAUAUAGAUAGAUUAUAGAUUAUAGAUAUAGAUUAUAGAUAUAAUGACCCACUUUAAUUGAAAUUUGACGUACUAAGUCAUACUUUUAUGGGGAUUAUAUAUUUGAACAGAGUUUAACCAUUUGAAAGCUUUAUGAAAGGCAAGUUUAUAAAUUGAUGCUUGAGCUUCGAUUUGAGGCAAGUUGUGACUUUCUUAGACUCUUUUUCGAAAUAUUUAUGUGUUGUUAUGUGUAAUGGGAGUAGUGGGAAAUUAGGGUGGGGUGGGGUCCUGUAUAGGUGAAAUGACGAGCAUCUAUGUAAGUCGGUGUUAUUUGAGGGGUUAAAAUAAUUCAAUUGUAUGUCUGAAACUAUUUUUCCCUAUUUGCUAGUACGAUGAACUGAUUUGCUAUGAUAAAUAAAUUAUUUGAAUCGGAGUUGCACACCUACAUAUCAUGCAUUGUAUUUUGCAUGGGGUUGGAGUGCACGCCUGCACAAUAUUAUUUAUUUAUUUAUUGAGGUCGGAGUGCAUUUUUGCACAAUAUAUUUAAUGAGAUCAGAGUGCACGCUUGCACAGUACAUGGACCUUGUGAGUCUUCAUGGGUCUUGACCUUGAAAUCAUUGCUCGAUAGGUGCGUACACAACAUAUGCAUUGCAUUGCAUUCAUUCGUUCCUGGUUCAAAUUAAGUAAGGUGAAAUUGUUGACUUUGUAUUGUUUAUUAACUACUUGACUAUUUAUUACUUGAUUUCGCUACAUUGAGAAAUUCUUGGACUGUAUUACGAUAUUCUUAUGCCUUUUAAACUUUAUUAUUCAGUUAGAGUAUAGUGGCUUUCCUGAGUGCAGGUUGUAUGACUGUUGUAGAUGAUUGACAUGGUGUUACUCGUCACCACUUUGAAUUAGGAUUUGUCGACGACACUUGCUGAGUAUACAUGAUUUCGUACUCACCCUUACUUAUUCUGUACCUUACAUGCAGUUACCGAUCCGACAACCUACGGACAUUGACUCCAGUGGUUCCUUCUUUGCUAGCAUCAUUGAAGAUUCGAGGUAGUUGUUAUUGAUUUUAAAAACUACUGAAAUCUCCUUCAGCCUUAUCUUUAUGCAUUUUUCGCAUUUUAAGAUACUCAAACUUUUCUUUGAUUUUGUAUUUAGUGGCUUGUAUUAGUGGCUUCCAGACCUGGGAUCAUCUAUGUUUUGACUACUAAUCUACAUUUUGAAAUUAUUUGGGAUUUGUUAUGUUGUUAUUUUCCUUCCACGUCUAUAAGUUUGGGAUAUUGUAUUUGGAGUUGAGUUCCUGACUUAUCUAUCACAGAGGGUGGGAUAUGCGCCAUCAUGAUCCCGAAGUCGGACCGUGACACUUAUUCAAACAUAACUUAUCCCAGCAUAACUAAUCCCAACAUAACUUGUUUUCAAACCAAACGACCCCUUACUUUACUUUUACUUACUCCUCCCCAUUUAUGUGUAGGUUGAUCGAGCACGGAGUUUAAGAAUAAAAAAGGACUUGAUAAUUUUUAUUAAAUUAUCCUUUAUUAAAAGAUGUACUGCUACUAUCUUUAAUUAAAUGGGUCCUUAUAAGUGGAACCAAUAAUGAUAAAAGUGAAAUUGUGUCUUUAAACAGUUAUUAAAUAAGAAAAAAUGACAUUCUUUUGGGAUGAAUAAAAAGAAAAUGACGACAUAUAAAAUGGGACGGAAGGAGUAUUAUGGAAGAGUGAAUGAAGAUAUGGGUAUCGAUAUUGUUUGCUUCUAUGUCAUUAUUUAAUUUUAAAUGGUAGUUUAAUUGAUGAUUUACGAUUCUUUUCAUUUUUUAAAUAAAUAAUUUUUGUUUUAAUAAAUACUGAAAAAUUAUACCCUUUGUUCUAAUUUAUGUGGUGUUUUUGAAUUUUAAGAGUUAAAUUUAAAUUUUGAACAAGAAAUAUUUAAGUUCUUAAAAAUAAAAUUUAGAUGUUCGGCACUAUAUAAAAAGCAUUAUAAGUCCCAAUAAUUAAAAGUUUUAAAAUAUUUAAAAAGUGUUUUUACCAGCACUUAAAUUAGAGAUGCAUGUUUUCACAAAAGUGAUAUGAGAAAAUUUUCAAUCACAGUACUUUUUUGUGCAGUUUUUAAAUAUUUAAUAAUUCAAAAAAUUAACCAAAUGAACUUUCGAGAAUUGAAGCAUGACAAAUAUUUUGAAUGGCGGAGCAAUGAGUCACCACCAUAUUUAAAUUAUGUGACUAUUUUUCAAAAACUAUGCAAAUUAAUUUUAAAAAAUCUAUUGGACUUAACCAUGUUACUUUAUAGUUAACUUACUUUUAUUUGUACUACAAAAGAUAUAUAAGAGAAAUUACAAAUAGUUCAAGGCAUUAAAUUAUGAUAAUAAGUUUGUAACUUUUUUUAAUUUUUAUUUUAGUAAUUUCGAAGAGAACAGUUAAUAAAAUAAAACAGUAUUAGUAUAAUUUUUAUCUUUCAUUUCAAGUAUGAAAGCUAAUGUCGAUUCUAUUAGGUUGUACUUGAAAUUUAGGGCAAUAACAAAUGAUAUUUAAAUUAAUUGAAUUAUAAUUAUCUUUGUUAUUAAAUUAACUUACUUUUUCUUGCUAGAUCGUGCUUGUACAGGCUUACAUCGUCUAGUAAACUAUAUUAUGGGAAUUUUUGUUAUUUAUUGUUAUUAUAAAAUCUUUAUAUUUAAAUUUUGAAUUAUAAAAUAGAAAAUGUAGAAUUAACAAUAUAUUUGAUCAUUUAUAUUUUAUUCAUCAAGUAAAAUUCAUAAAAGUAAACAAUGCAUUUGUCAUCAAACAAAAACUAAGCAAAGCUAAGUAAGAUUAUGUUGUCUUUAAUGGUAUGGAUAUUUCAAUGACUUAAUGCUUGAAAAACUAACAAAUGCAUGUAAAAUUCGUUUAACGAAAUUAAUCUUCUCUUGUAUACGUUUCACGAAAUAGUAAAAAGGUACUUUAUUCGCCUUAAAUUAAAUUAAUUACUUGACAUAUUAGUUUUGUACAAUUCUUAAGUAGAAAUUAAUAAGAAAUGCAAAUCGAUUAAUAUAAUAAUCUUAAUUUGAUGAAUUUUCUUCAAUUAAGAUAGUAUAGUUAAAAAAAUAAUUAAUUAUUGUUGUUACAUUUUAAUAUUAUUGUAUUGUAUUAAAGUGUGAUUUAAUACACUGGCAGUAAGUGGCCUUAAUAAACUAUUCACUUUUUUUAGGGUUUAUCUGUCUUUAUUAUUAUUAUAUUGAUUAGACACAUAUUAAGAAACAAUAAAUACCGUAAAGUUGAAGUAUGUCAUAACAAAUUUGAUCAUAGUUUAGGAGGAUACUAGAUGCUUUACUCUUUAUUUUUACUUUUUAUAUUUAGACUUGUCUCAACCAUUAAAAAUAAUGAUUGACAUGAUUAUUUUUAUUUUACUACUUAUAUUAAUUAAUAUUUAAUACUUCUUUUUAGAGAUAGGCAUAAAAUACCAAAAAUGAAUUACUGAAUCAAUAAAACAAAUUUGACAGUGGUAUUUGAGAAGUAGGUAUUUGAUAGGUAUUUGAGAGUAAAAAUUCUAAAAUUAUGAUAUUUGAUUCGAUUUACUACAAGAUAUUAAUAUCAUUUAAUAAUUGAUAUUAACAGAAUAUCGAAUUAUUAUUAAAUAAAGAUCCACCCCAUACACACGUACAUAUAUAAUAUUUAAUUGAUUCAUUGUUAGCCAAAGAAGCUCAAAGGUCAAGAGAAUCACUCUCCGUUCUUUACUUCUACCUUAAAAGAUCAUUAGUCAAAAGCUCUGAUCGGAUCAAUCCUAUUUACUUGGAUAUAUUUGUAGCUGCCUUCGAAAUGAGUAGGUUGUUUUUUCAAAAAUUCAGUUAGACAAAAUAAAAAUAUGACAUUACUAAAUACUAUAUCAUAGUUUAAUUUAUAUUACUGAAUCAAAGAUUAAAAAUAUGAUAUUUGAUAUCUACUUUUAAUUAUCGGUUAUUGAAUUACUGAAAUCGUUUACCGAUAUUGUAUCAUCAAACCGUAUACCAAAUGCUCACUCCUGCUCCCCCCAAUAAAAAAUAAUUUAGCAAAUAAAUAAUUAAUUUCAAGGAUUAAAUAUGAAAAAGAACUAAUUAUUUUUCUUAAUAUGUUACAAGUAACAAAUAAAAGUGAAAAUCUAUUUUUAAAAUGUUGGUCAAAGAAAAAAUAUCAGAGCAAGUACUUCCUACAUUUCAUUUGUUUAGCCUACUUUUUUUAAUUCAUCUAAAAAAGUCUAACCUAUUUUCUACUUUAGCACUUCUUUAAUUUCAAUUUUUCACAAGUAGUAUUUAAAUAAAUUUAAAAAGUAUUUUGUUACAUUUGACAUAUCUUUAUCUUUAAUUUAAAAUUCAAAAUCUAUUUAAAUUUUUACACUUCAUGUCAAGUCAAAAUAGACCAAAAAUAUUGAAAUGGACAAAGUAAAAAUAAUUUCAUUAUAUCAUUAUUUGAAUAUAAUAAAUUUAAUAUUUUAAAAAUUGCAUCUGAUAAUGAAUACUACACUAUAGCAGCAAGGUAAAAUGGAUAGAAAUAAUAACUUAUCUCUUUAAUUUUUUAAAUUAGACAAGUAAAAUUAAACAUUUAUUAUUAAUACAACAAACAUACAAAGAUGGAUAAAGUAAGUAGAGAAAAUUGAAGGAAAUGUGUCUUUUAAGUCUUGAAUGAAAGAUUGGUGACAUUGACCAAUUUAAAGGGUCACACAUAAUUAAAAAACUUGAUUAGGUUAAUUGUAGACUUGAUUAAUAUUUUCUAAACUUUUUAAUCUUUUCAAAAAUACAAAUUAACCCACACCCAUAAAACUUUCCUCCCUUUGCAAAUCAAUCUCUCUCUCUUCUCUCUUUUUUUCUAUAGUUUCUCUCUCUAACUUCUCCCAACCAACAACUUUUCAAAUUUGUCCCUUCAAUUUUGUGCAACUUCAACCUCUGACAACAAAUAGUUUUGAGUUCUUACCCGUUCCUUUUUUACUUUCAACUGUCGAUCGACGUGACAACAUUCUCCGGCGACAACAACUUCGAGUUUUUCAUCGUUUCUUUUCGAUUUUCACAAGUAAAAAAUUAGGGCUUUUAAGUUAUGACAAAAUGAGGAACUUGAUUUGUUGGUUUUUGUUAUUUUUUUAUGUUUUUAAAUUUUUUUUAAUGUUUGUUAUUUUUUAGUUGAAUUUCUCAUCUUGAUGUAUCUGCUGCUGCUGUUUUUUAAUAAUGGAUAAAACAUGUAACGUGAAUUCAAUAGAUGAGUAUUUGUUGCAACAUAUAUGACUAAUAUGUUGCACAGAUUAGUAAUAUAUUGCAACAUAUAAGACUAAUUUGUUGCAACAUAUAUGACUAAUUUNNNNNNNNNNNNNNNNNNNNNNNAGUAAUAUGUUGCAACAUAUAUGACUAAUCUAAUUCAACAGAUUACUCAUCUAUUAGAUUUGUUUUAUAGUGUUGUAAUAUGAAUCCAACAUAUGGGUCAUCUGUUGCAACAUAUUAGUCAUAUAUUGUAACAGAUUACUCAUUUAUUGCAAUAGAUGACUCAUAUGUUGGAUUCAUGUUGCAGGUUCUAUCCAUUGUAGCAGUAGCAGAUACACCAAAUAAGAAAUUCAACAAAUAUUAUAAUUUUACUUACAAAAUAAGCUAUGAAGUAAUGUCCAAGAGAUAUACGAACAAAAUUUGACCUAAUUUUUUUUUUUAAUUUUUUCAACAGGGGCACAACGAAUAAGUAAAACAAAUGAAAAAUUUUAUGAAACAGGUAAAGAAGACAAAAAUAAUAUACCAUACAUCAAAUGCAAAAGGAUCAAGGGGACAAACAUUUGAGUUCUCCUAAAAACGUAAGUUCCCUAGUAUUUUAAUUACUUUCUAAUAGUCGACUCAUCUGUUACAAUAGAUUUUCUAUCUGUUUGAUAAUUUCCAACAGAUGAAUCAUCUGAUGCAACAUGCUAGUCAUCUGUUGAUUCAAAUUAAGCAAUUAUUAGUAAUAACUAAAUUGAUUUAGCUAAAAUUAAAGACGUCUCUACGACAAUGGGACAAACAUUUGUGUUCUCCUAAAAAUAUUUGAGUUCCCUAGUAUUUUAAUUAUUUUUCAACAGGUUAUCUAUUUAUUACAACAAGUUAGUCAUCUAUUGCAACAGAUGUUUAUAACAGGUUAGUCCUUUGUUUAUUCAAAUUAAGUAAUUAUUAAUAAUAACUAAAUUAAGUUAAUUAAAGUUAAAGAAGAGUCUUUAAUACAAGACCUUAGACAAGGAGACAAAUGUUUGAGUUCUCCUAAAGACAUUUGAGCUUUAGUAUUUUAAAUUACUUUUCAACAUAUAUUGAACUCGAAACCAAAAUGAGUCACGGAAUUAAAAAAGUGACCAAAAUAGGCCACCUAUUUAAAAAGUUACCAAAAUAGGCUAAACGUAAUAAUUUAUUACGUUUUAUACUUUUUUUUUAACGGUCAACUAAUGGAGUUGACUUUUACAAAAAAACGUAAGAAUUUCUUACAUUUUACAUUUUUUUGUAAAACGUAAGAAAUUCUUACGUUUUAUAAAAAAAUUAUAAAACGCAAGAAUUUCUUAUGUUUUACAUGAUAACCAAAGAAUAAAAUACAAUGAAUUGUCAAAUCAAUUAAAAAGGUACUAAAAAAAAGAGUUGUUCAACGUAAUAAAAAGUUACGUUCUUAACUUUUUUAUAGCAGUGGUCCCCCANNNNNNNNNNNNNNNNNNNNNNNNNNNNNNNNNNNNNNNNNNNNNNNNNNNNNNNNNNNNNNNNNNNNNNNNNNNNNNNNNNNNNNNNNNNNNNNNNNUAUUAGUUAAAUUUAUUUAUAUUUUACAUGUAGUUCAAAUAAUUUAUUUUUUCUAAUAAAUUUUUUACGUUUUACAUAAAAAAAAAUAAAAAAAGAAGUAUCAAUUACCUCAUUAACUUAACAAUUUUUUCAUAUUUAUUUUAUAUCAAAAAAUAAUCAUUUCUAUCCUUAAUUAUCCGAUUUUUCUUUAAAAAAAAUUAUACUCUUGAGUUUUUCUCUACUCCAAAAUAGUGAAAUGUUGAAUUAUCGUCGAUUAAAUAUGCUACUAUAUACAAGAAUUAUAUUUUUUUAGGAGUGUUCCUAAAAAAAUAUAUUUUCUUAUAUUAAUUUAGGAGUGUUCCUAAAUUAACCUGUAAUUUUUUACUCCACUAAUUAUAAUAUGAAAUGUAUUUGUGCAUGUGAGUCUCUUCAAUAUCCUAAUCGAAAUACUAUUUGAAAACUAUGAUGAUCACUAUCCGAAAAAAUUAAUUUCAUAUUUUCAACACACCAAAAAAAUAUAAUUCUUGUAUAUAGUAGAAUAUUUUAUCGAUGAUAAUUCAAUAUUUCACUAUUUUGGAGUAGAGCAAAACUCAAAAGUAUAUAUUUUUUUUAGAGAGAAUCGAAUAAUUAAGGAUAGAAGUGAUUAUUUUUUUAUAUAGAAUAAAUAUAAGAAAAUUGUUAAGUUAAUGAGGUAAUUGAUACUUCUAUUUUUUAAAUUUUUUUAUGUAAAACGUAAAAAUUUAUUACAUAGAGGAAAAAAUAAAUUAUUUGAACUACAUGUAAAAUAUAAAUAAAUUUAACUAAUCAAAAAAUUCAUAAUUAUCAUAUGUAAAAGAGGAAAAAGUAGAAGUGAUGGGACAUUUGUGGAAAAAGGAAUUGUGGGUGGGGGACCACUGUUAUAAAAAAGUUUAAAACGUAACUUUUUGUUAUGUUGAACAACUCAUUUUUUAGUAUCUUUUUAAUUGAUUUGAUAAUUCACUAUAUUUUUUCCUCGAUCAUCGUGUAAAACGUAAGAAAUUCUUACAUUUUAUAUAUUUUUUUUAUAAAAUGUAAGAAUUUCUUACGUUUUACAAAAAAAAUGUAAAACGUAAGAAAUUCUUACGUUUUUGUAAAAGUCAACUCCGUUAGUUGAUCGUUAAGAAAAUAGAAAACGUAAUAAAUUAUUACGUUUAGUCUAUUUUGGUAACUUUUUAAAUAGAUGACCUAUUUUGGUCACUUUUUAAAUUUUGUGGCUCAUUUUGGUUCUGCGUUCACAUAUAUCUUGUCUAUUUAAUAAUUUCCAAUAAAUGAGUCAUAUGUUGCAACAAUUUAGUCAUCUGUUGCAACAUAUGUCUAUAUUUGUUGGAUAAUUUCCAAUAGAUGAGUUAGCUAUUGCCACAGGUUAGUCAUUUGUUGCAACAAAUGUCUAUAUAUAUUUGGUUAUUUUCAACAAAUGUCAUUAACUGUUUGGUCUUUUCCAGCAGACUACUCAUCUAUUGCAACAUGUUAAUUGAAAUCGUAAUUGAACUUAUCAAUUCAUCUUUAAUUUUAGUUAAAUCAAUGUUGUUAUUACUAAUAAUGUCUUAAUUUAAUUCAUUUCAAAUAAAAUUGGUCAAUUAACAUUUACUCAAAACGAAUACACUUAGAUGAUCAUGUAAUUACUAUGAGAUUAAUUGAAAUCGUAAUUACAUUAUCAAUUCAUCUUUAAUUUUAGUUAAAUCAAUUUAGUUAUUACUAAUAAUUNNNNNNNNNNNNNNNNNNNNNNNNNNNNNNNNNNNNNNNNNNNNNNNNNNNNNNNNNNNNNNNNNNNNNNNNNNNNNNNNNNNNNNNNNNNNNNNNNNNNNNNNNNNNNNNNNNNNNNNNNUAAUUCAUCUUUAAUUUUAGUUAAAUCAAUAUAGUUAUUUCUAAUUAUGGAUUGGUUUGAAUCAUUUCGAAUAAAAUUGGUCAAUUGAUCACUCUACUCAGGACGACACACUUAGUUGAUUGUGUAAUUACCAUGAGAUUAAUUGAAAAAUUGAACUUAUAAAUACUAGUUAAAUCAAUUUAGUUAUUACUAAUAUAAUGACUUGAUAUGAAUCAAUAGAUGACUAAGAUGUUGCAAAAGAUGAGCAAUCUGUUGAAAAUGACCAAACAAAUAAAGACAUCUGUAGCAACAGAUUAGUCACCUAUUGCAACAAAUUAGUAAUCUGUUGGAAAUAACAAACAGAUAAAGUCAUAUGUUGCAACAGAUUGGUCAUCUGUUGGAAAUGACCAACAGAUAAAGACAUUUGUUACAACAGAUGACUAAUCUAUGGCAACAUAUGUGUAUAUCUGUUUGAUAAUUUGAAACAAAUGACUCAUCUGUUGCAACAGAUUAAAUCUGUUGCAAUAGGUUAUACACUUAAAUGAUCAUAUAAUUACUAUGAGAUUAAUUGGAAUUGUAAUUAUUAAAUUAAUUUGGCUAUUACUACUAAUGGCUUAAUUUGAAUCAUUUCAAAUAAAAUUAGUCAAUUGAUCACUCUGCUCAAAACGAACACACUAAGAUGAUCGUGUAAUUAAAAUGAGAAUAAUUGAAAUUGUAAUUGAACUUAUCAAUUCAUCUUUAAUUUUAAUUAUAUCAAUGUAGUUAUUACUAAUAAUAUCUUAAUUUGAAUCAUUUCAAAUAAAAUUAGUCAAUUGAUCACUCUGCUCAAAACGAACACACUAAGAUGAUCGUGUAAUUAAAAUGAGAAUAAUUGAAAUUGUAAUUGAACUUAUCAAUUCAUCUUUAAUUUUAAUUAUAUCAAUGUAGUUAUUACUAAUAAUAUCUUAAUUUGAAUCAUUUCAAAUAAAAUUAGUCAAUUGAUCAUUCUACUUAAGACGAAAUACUUAGUUGAUCAUGUAAUUACUAUAAAAUUAAUUCAAAUUGUUAGUCAACUUACUAAUUCAUCCUUAAUUUUAGUUAAAUCAAUUUAGUUAUUUCUAAUUAUGGUUUGGUUUUAAUUAUUUCAAAUAAAAUUAAUCAAUUGAUCACUCUACUCAGGACGAACACACUUAGUUGAUAGUGUAAUUACCAUGAGAUUAAUUGAAACUGUAAUUGAACUUAUUAAUUCAUGUUUANNNNNNNNNNNNNNNNNNNNNNNNNNNNNNNNNNNNNNNNNNNNNNNNNNNNNNNNNNNNNNNNNNNAAACAGAUAAAGACAUCUGUUGGAAAUGACCAAACAAAUAAAGACAUUUGUUGGAAAUGACCAAACAAAUAUAGACAUAUGUUGCAACAGAUGACUAACCUGUUGCUAUAAAUGACUCAUCUAUUGAAAAUUAUCAAACAUAUAGGAUAUAUAUUGAAAAAUAAUUUAAAAUACUAAAGCUCAGAUGUUUUUAAGAGAGCUCAAAUGUUUGUCCCCUUAUCUAAGGUCUUGUCUUUAAUUUUAGUUAAAUCAAUUUAGUUAUUACUAAUAAUUGCUUAAUUUGAAUCAUUUUAAAUAAAAUUUAUUAAUUGAUCAUUUUAUUAAGAACGAAUACAUUAAUUAAAAUUGUAAGUGGACUUAUCAAUUCAUCUUUAAUUUAGUCAAAAUUAAUUAUUUAUUACUAAUAAUGACUUAAUUUGAAUCACUUGAAAUAAAAUUGGUCGAUUGAUCACUCUCCUUGAGACGAAUACACAUAGUUGAUCAUGUAAUUACUAUGAGAUUAAUUGAAAUUGUAAGUGAACUUAUCAAUUCAUCUUUAAUUUUAGUUAUAUCAAUUUAGUUAUUACGAAUAAUGGCUUAAUUUGAUUCAUUUCAAAUAAAAUUGGUCAAUUGAUCACUCUAAUCAUGAUGAAUACACUUAGUUGAUAAUUUAAUUACUAUGAGAUUAAUUAAAAUUAUAAGUUUAUCUUUAAUUUUAGUUAAAUAAAUUUAGUUAUUUCUAAUAAUAGCUUAAUUUGAAUUUAUUUCAAAUAAAAUUAGUCGCUUGAUCACUCUACUCGGGAUGAAUACACUUAGUUAAUCAUGUAAUUACGAUGAGAUUAAUUGAAAUUGUAAGUGAACUCAUUAAUUCAUCUUUAAUUUUAGUUAAAUCAACAUAGUUAUUACAAAUAAUGACUUAAUUUGAAUCAUUUAAAAUAAAAUUGAUCAAUUAAUUAUUCUACUAAGGAUGAAACACUUAAUUGAUCAUUUAAUUACUGAGAUUAAUUAAAAUCGUAAUUGAACUUACUAAUUCAUCUUUAAUUUUAGUUAAAUCAAUGUAGUUAUUUCUAAUAAUGGUUUAAUUUGAAUUAUUUCACAUAAAAUUUGUCAAUUAAUCAUUCUACUCAGUACGAAACACUUAAUUGAUCAUGUAAUUACUAUGAAAUUAAUUGAAAUCGUAAUUGAACUUACUAAUUCAUCUUUAGUUUUAGUUAAAUCAAUAUAGUUAUUUCUAAUGAUGACUUAGUUUGAAUCAUUUCAAAUAAAAUUGGUCAAUUGAUCACUCUACUCAGGACGAACAUACUUAGUUGAUCGUGUAAUUACCGUGAGAUUAAUUGAAACUGUAAUUGAACUUAUUAAUUCAUAUUUUAUUUUAGUAAUCAAUUUAGUUAUUACUAAUAAUGACUUAAUGUAAAUCAAUAGAUGACUAACAUGUUGCGACAGAUGAGUAAUCUGUUGGAAAUGAUCAAACAAAUAAAAAUAUCUGUUGAAAAUGACCAAACAGAUACAGACAUCUGUUGCAACAAAUGACUCACUUGUUGCAACAACUAAUUCAUCUAUUGAAAAUUAUCAAACAGAUAUAGACAUCUGUUGCAACAGAUGACUAAGUUGUUGCAACAUAUGACUCAUCUGUUGAAAAUUACUAAAUAGACAAAAUAUGUGUUGAAAAACAAUUUAAAAUACUAAAACUUAAAUGUUUUUUAGGAGAACUCAAAUGUUUUACCCCUUGUCUAAGGUCUUGUCUUCAAUUUUAGUUAAUUUAAUUUAAUUAUUAUUAAUAAUUGCUUAAUUUGAAUCAACAAAUGACUAACCUGUUAUAAGCAUUUAUUGCAACAGAUGACUAACUUGUUGCAAUAAAUAGGUGAUNNNNNNNNNNNNNNNNNNNNNNNNNNNNNNNNNNNNNNNNNNNNNNNNNNNNNNNNNNNNNNNNNNAUUUUUAGGAGAACUCAAAUGUUUGUCCCAUUGUCUUAAAGACUUGUCUUUAAUUUUAGCUAAAUCAAUUUAGUUAUUACUAAUAAUUGCUUAAUUUGAAUCAACAGAUGACUGAUAUGUUGCAACAGAUGAUUCAUCUGUUGGAAAUUAUCAAACAGAUAGAAAAUCUGUUAUAAUAGAUGGGCUAUCCAUUAGAAAACAAUUAAAAUACUAGGGAACUUAAAUAUUUUUAGGAGAACUCAAACGUUUGUCCCCUCGAUCCUUUUGCAUUUGAUGUAUGAUACACUAUUUUUGUCUUCUUUACCUGUUUCAUGAAAUUUUUCAUGUGUUUCACUUAUUCGUUGUGCCCUUGUUUAAAUUUUUAGAAUUUUUUUAGGUCAAAUUUUGUUCGUAUAUCACUUGGACAUUACUUCAUAGGUGAUUUUGUAAGUAUGAUUAUGAUUUCUGUUGAAUUUUUUAUUUGGUGUAUUUACUACUGCUACAAUGGAUAGAACCUGCAACAUGAAUUCAACAUAUGAGUCAUUUAUUGCAAUAAGUGAGUAAUAUGUUGCAACAGAUGACCCAUAUGUUGAAUUCAUGUUACAACAUUAUAAUACAAAUCCAACAGAUGAGUAAUCUGUUGCAACAGAUUAGUCAUAUAUAUAAUCUGUUGCAACAGAUUAGUUAAUAUGUUGCAACAGAUUAGUCAAUAUGUUGCAACAGAUUACUCAUCUGUUGCUCAUCUGUUGGAUUCACGUUAUAUGUUUUAUCUACUGUUGAAAAAACAGCAGUAACAGAUACCCCCAGAUGAGAAAUUCAACUAAAAAUUAUAAUUUUACUUACUAAAAUCACGUAUAAGUAAUUCCCAAGUGAUAUACGAAUAAAAUUUGACCUAAAAAAAUUUGAUCAAGUAGCAAUAGUAGCGGUAACAACAAUGUUCAACAACAAGAAGAUGAUGAUCAUGAACAUGAAAAGAUGAUAAUGAAGAACAAGAUGAUGAUAAUGAAGAAGAAGAUGAUGAAUAAAGCAGCAACAACAAUAAUGAACAACAAAAAUCACGAAGAAAGAAAAACUCCAAUAAAUGAGAAGAGAGAGAAACGUGUCUUUUUUCCCUCCAUUUCUAGUUAUAUUAGGUUUUACAUUGUACCAAAGUGUAAAUCAAAAAACUUGUGGGUUAUUUUCAAAUUUUUCUUACUUUCUUAAUUCUUAAUAAGUAUUUUUCACCUUCACUCAAUUAUUAAGACUUGUGUCACCCACAAUUCAUUUUAAAACUCUUUUAUCACCUAGAGCCUAAAACCCCAUGUAAGUAGCUUGUAAUGCAGCUACCACUAAAGUCUAGCGGCCUAUAUUUGUGAGCGGUUGAAAACAUAUUUGAAAAGUAAAUAAAAAAGAAACAAAAAAGUGCAAAGUUGGCCUACCAGUUUUUCUGUAAAGGAAAUUGUGUAAUAAAUUAAAUCAUUUCUUGCCAAGUGCUUCGAAACAGUUUUUCACAUCACACGUACUACCAUUGUGGAUAAAUACAACAUUAGUAAGCUCAGUGACUAACAGAGAAGUGCCCCCUGCUCACAAAUCUGUCUAUAGAUACAGCAGCACUACUUGCAAUCACACCAUCCUACAAAUCACAGAUUAAAAAGUUACCCAUCACUUGGAAUUUUGAGAAUAAGAUAUAAAGUCACUCUUGCUGAGGAGCCAUGUAAUUAUUUCCAAAUGUAUUUUGAGAAAGACUACGAUACUUGGCUAUAUUAGUUACUUUCUCUAAGCUUGCACAAAAAUGACAGAGCUUGAUUAGCAAUAGAUCCCAAUGCUAAAGUAUCGGAAGGCAAUCUAAAGGAAUAUAGGAGUAAUUUAAUUUACAGAGAGAAACAUUAAGAAUCGUGAAAAGAAAAAAGAUGCACCUGAUACAGAAAAUAUGUGACAGGCGGCUCAAUGUCGUCUCCUCUUUGAUCUCAACCAAAUAACACUGCCUCUGUUAAGACAGUAAGACGCCAAAUACUGAUACAUUUUCCACUUCAUAAAUUCAUGCAAGCAAAUUUGACACUUGUGCUUCAUGAAUAUAUCCCAUUUUUUCAACAAUGUGUGACAUAGCCCAACAUUGAGACAAGGAGAGUUGGUGCAUCUUAGUAUUUAACUAUCAUAUCUGAAACUAAAUAAGAUACAAUUUACCAAGGUUUAUAGCCUAGCAGUAACAGUGGGAGUCACCAACAUAGUAGCUACUAGGUGUGAUAUUAAUUUUUUUCAUUGUUUCUCCCUGCUUCCCCUUUCAGAAGAACUUGGUACCCAAUAAAAGUAAGAUAGGAAAUUUUGAGGGAAAAAACAAAAUUAGAGUACUAAUAUAUCAAGUUAAUUGCUCUAUAUUAACUUCCUAUGCAGAGGUAUUAUGAUAGGGAGAUACUUUUGAGUAUAUGUUGCUUAUUCUUUUACUAAUCACUGGCAAUUCAUCCUACCCAGGGACUGACCUUUUCAAGUAAACCAAAUACAAGAGCAGAAGGAAAAGGAAAAGGAAACCAAAUGCUAAUUAGGUAAAAGCUGGUGAAUUACUAUCAGUUAAGGAUAGAAAGCAAGAAUUGUCCAUUGAGAAUAGGGUAGAAAGAGAGAAAGAAAAUUAAUGAAAUGGAGAAAUACACAUGACUACAAGAUGUGCAAAGUAUAGUAUUUCUUUGCAAAUAAAGGAAGGAGGUGACAGAUAUGUAAGAUUGAACGAUGUAGAAGCCAAAAAAUGAAAUACAGAGGGAAAUGCAGAAAAGGCCAAAACAUGAUCACCCUAGAAGCAGAAAUUUGGAGAUGUUGAACAAUCACGAUCACUAAUUCAAAUUGCAGAAUAUGUGAAAAGGUUAUGUCACUAAAAGUUUAUUGUUUUAUUUCGCAUAUCUUGUCAAAUGAAAGGACAUUUGACUAGUACAAUGUUAUCAACAAGAUAAAUGUACAUGCACUAACAAGAACUUGUCAUGUUGAAAUUGUAAAAUUCCAACUUUGGAAAUUUUCUGGUAGUUUUAUCAUAUAAGAUCCGAAAGUAAGCCUCCAUUUUAUCCGCCCUACACCAAUCUGAUGAGUGAUCCUCGUCAAUUUCUCCAUUCUCCUAAAUCAUAGACCCCAAAUACUUUAAACUAUCUCUCUUUUGGAUGGAAUGAGUAUAAAGCUUUACAACCACAUUAGACUCAUGUGACACUUCGCUGAACUUAAACACAAAAUAUUUCAUCUUGAACCUACUCAACUUAAAUCCAGUCAUAAUCCCUCGAAGAAGACCCUAUGUGCCUAUUGAAAUCUCCUCCUACAAAAAGCUUCUCAUUGCUGGGGACACCCCUCACCGUCUCAUCCAAAGCCUCCCAAAGCUCUUUUUCUCUUCCUCAUCCAAGCCUAUUGUGGGGUAUACGCACUAAUAAUAUUCCAAGAAGACCCUCCAAUAACUAAUUUAAUCGACAUCAUUCUAUCAUUGUCCCUCCUAACCUCUACCACUUGCUCCCUCAGCUCAUCAUAUAAAAUAAAGCAGCCUUUCCAACCGCUGACCGCUAGACUUUCCAACAUCUUAAUUCUCGAAUAUUAGCAGCCUUUUAGUAUUUUUUUUUGGAUGACAGUACACUUAGGGAUCGUUUGGUACGAAGGUAAGUAAUGUAGGAAUUAGCAAUGCGGGAAUUAGUAAUGUAGGGAUUGUAGUGCUUGGGUUAUUUUUUAUCAAAUAUUUGAUUCAUUGUAUUAAAAACUAGAUAUACCAUGUAUUGUGUUUGAUUUUAAAUGCUAUAAAAAUCUCCUUUGCAACUUUACCCUUGAAUUUUUGUGGAAUUUUCUAUUUUAUUAAAUUAGUCAAGUUAAAAAUUAAAAUAUGAAUAAAAACUUGUUACUAAUUUUUAGGUAUGAUGUUCCACUAUCGAAAUCCUUGAUAGCACGGUGUACCCUCGAUAUUCGUCUAUUCGAUUGAUAUUGGAUUUUAUUUACAAAGGACACUUUCUAAAUAAUAAAAUUUGUAAAUGAAUUUAUUUAAAUAAAUUUAUUAGUACAAAUAUACAAAAUAAAAUCAAGAAAAUAAAAAAAUAUGCUUAAAAGAAUUUGAGGGAUAUUUUUGUCUUACACAUAUUAGUCUCAUGGUAUUAAAACUCAUGUAUUAUUAAUACUAUCAAAUGAGAUGUAUUAGUUAUACGCCCUGUAAUACCAUGUAGGGUGUAUAACUCAUACAUGUAUUAAUUAUAUAUUGAUUCAAAAUCCAACCAAACAUCUAUAUCUAUAAUCUAUAUCUAUCUAUAAUAUAUUAAAAGAUCUAUCUAUAAUCUAUAAUCUAUAAUCUAUAUUUAUAAUAUAUUAAAAGUGUAAAAACUCUUAGAAAAGUGAUUUAAACUUUUUGCCCUUUAUUAAAACACUUCGAAAUAGACAAAAUCGUCUUUUCACCAUUUUUCUUCAAUUAUUGUCAUUUAAUAAUUUUCCAUAAAUUAAGAUGUUGAAAUUAACUAAAGUCCUUAUUUGAUUAGGUAAAAAAUCAUAAUAUUUAACAUUCUAUAUCAAUUAAAAUUUUACCAUAUAUAUAGAAAGAAAUUCUAUAAAUCAAUUUAAUUAUACGGUUUUUUCUACAUACAAACAUAUGACUUAUUGGUUUCUUACUAUAAUUAAAUUCCUAAGUUUAUGGAGUUUUUAUUUUAGGUAAAAAAUCACUUUCUUAUAGAUUUAGGACUCUAUAUACGUCACUUUCUAUUUAAUUUGGUUCCCAUACAAACACAAAUAGGUUAGAAUUAAUUAUUUCUUCUUUUCUAUAUUUAAAUUUUAAAAAGAAUAUCCCCAAUAUAAAUCUUUAUAAAUUUACACAGAAACACAAAUAUGGAGUUUUGGUGCUCUCCAAUUAUGACUUUUUAUUUUACUAUUGAAAGAUAAAUUAUUCUAGGGUAGUUCGAUUUCGCACUUUAUACCUUAGAGCGGAUUCUUUUUAGGUUAGGUUAAUUUAGUUUGUCCCAUUUCUGUCUUUUAUUUGGUUUGUUCAUGCUCUCUUCUAUAUAAACUUGUGGUUUUUCAUUGUUCAUGUUGAUUUUUCACUGUCCAUCAUUUAUAUUAUUUGUUAUGCCAGCUUAAAUUGCUUAGUUUAAUUUAGCUUAAUGCGUACAUUAACUUACUUAGAUUGAGGCGUACAUUACUAUACUUUGGAGAAUAGUUGUUGAAUGUCUGAAUCAGUAUAUUGACUACGUUGCUCAAAUUUUAUUACCUUUUAAUACAUUGGUUUGCAGUCACUUACGUAUUUUUAAUGCAGAUUUGAUGUUGUUAUCCGUUGUGCUAAAGUUGGUGAAAGUGCUGAGAAAACUCUGAUGUACUAUGACAACAACCUUAUUGGAACAAUUACUCUCUUGAAAGUCAUGUCAUCUCAUGGAUGCAAAAUUUGUCACACUUUGGUGAACUUUUAUGAUGCGUUUCUUUUCUUGUAAGUCACUAUCUUAACUGAUUUCCUUUUCUGCUUCUCCAACUUGUGUUUUCAUCAUCAGUUACUGGUUAGGGUUUGUCGAAAGAGGUUCCUUAUACUGAGGAAUUCCACGAGUGUUGCAAAUCCCUAUGAACGGACAAAGAUAUUGUCAAUUAUUGUUUCAUCUCACAUUUUUAGCGCUCAACUUAUUGAAGUCCAAAAUUGACAUGUAGCCUCAUUUGACUGCUUUCCUGUCUAGCUUGCUCAUAUGAGCCAAAUCCCUUUCCCUUCUUUUUGCAGUUUUACUUCUUGGUUCUUGUUGGUUCCGUCUCUAGAUAUUAGAACACUUCUCUUGAACGUAGAUAUGACUAAACCUUUUCGUUUUCUUUCAUCGUGACCUUUAGUUUGUUACCAUAUAUACUUUAUCAUAAUGCUUUCUUUUUGUUAUUAUUAAAUUUAUUUCAAGUAAUCGUAUUAAAUUAUUAUACUUAUGUGAAGUAAUAUACUUUGCUUUCCAUUUUCUUGAAAUCUUCUCUUUGGAACCUUGGUUUGGGGAGUGUUCUCUCUCUUUUGUGUCAACGAAGGUUAGAAUAUUCGUUGUUGAAGAAUGACGACAAGACCUUUUCGUUUUCUUAAUUUCAUCAUAAUUUCUAGGUUGUCAUAUUUGCUUUAUCAUAAUCCAUUUUGUUAUUGUUAAAUUUGUUACAAGUAAGUAUUAUAUUAUUAUGUUCAUAGUUAAUACAUUUCAUUUUUUUGUUUACUUUAUUGUUUAGUGUAUUUACCUGUAUCAAAAUCAACAUAAUUUUGAAAUCGAAAGUUCUAAUGUUCGGUGGACUAAUGGACAAGAAGUUCCUUAUUGACAUUGGUGUGUGAUCCUUUCCUAAUCAACUACUUCCUCGAUUUAAAUAUCUAUAAAGCCUUCUAAUAGGGAUGUGUUCCUCCGUUUUUUCUGAGACAAAGUUUAAGAAAUUAAGGAAUACUUUUGAAUCUUAUCAUCUUAUAUUAAAGAUACGUAAUGAAAGUAAGAUCACAUUCACUUUACCCCUCUCAUACCCUACUUUAUGGGGAUAUAUUAUUAUACAUGUUUUUUGUACCUUUCAUCCAUGAGUAACUUUUAUGUUUGUAUGUGGGUGUCUUGUGCCUAAUUACUUUAACUUCUCUUAGAGUGAAAAUGAGAUAGACAACAAAAUGAAAUAUCUGCUUGAUUUGGAGAAGAUCAAGAGUGGAGAAAAUGCUAGGAGUAAUUUAAUACUUAAAAACAUCCCAAACAAGUAAGAGUCAUGUAAAAUUUUUAAUUAUCAAAUUUUGAGUUUGUUUGAUUAUUCAAUACUUAAUAAUUUGUAUUCUUCCAUUUGUUUAGGGUAUACCUUAAAGAUGCUACUUAUAGCAAUUGACGAGACUCAUAAGAAACAUAUGAUUUUCACUAUUUGUCUAUUAAUUUCAACAUACUACAAUAUAUGGGGCCUUGAAUCUGUAGCUAGGAAUAUUCGUGUGUUCGAGUGAAACCAAUCUUUAAGGAGGUAGUCAUACUCUUUUAUGUUUUUUUUUUUGUUAUUAGAUAGAACAACGACUUAACUUCCAUUUGACCUCAUGAAAGUAAAGUUUUAGGGAUUUAAGGUUCUUCAUUUUGUCCUAUUUUGUUCUUGGGUAAUAAUAGAUUAAUUUUUUCGAUUCUUGUAGUAUGCAUGAAAUAUUCGUUUUCUGGGAUCUAAUUUAAUUUUCAUUAUGUUGUUCAUUUUAUUGUUUUGCAUGUCCUGUCAUAAUCAUUUUUUUUCAAUAGAAGGCUUAUGUGUUUUCAUGUACCCUUCAUUAAUAUUAUUGUCUGUUUGAUUGUAUUAACAUCACAAAAUUCAUAUAAUCAUCAAUUGAGUUUUGAUACAAUAACGUUCUUGUAGAUGAACGAACCAAUAAAAAGUACUUAUAAACUUUCAAAUCUAUUCAUAUCUUUUUCUAUUGACCUCUAAAAUCACAUGCUUAUUUUUAUGCUUAUGAAAUCUAUAACAUAAAAGGUACACACUUUGGGGUUAGAGAGAUUAUUAACAAUCUCUGUGCAGAUGUGUUCUAUUGUUGGGGAAUUAAGAAUGCAAAUGCAAACAACGAAAAAAAAAAUAGGAUUUGACCUUUGUAAAGGGUGUUAUAAAAGCUCUUCAAAGCUCUCAGGCAAAUUUAAUCAAUCACAUACAUGAGAACACCAAUUUGAGUUAAUACAACCACUUCAAGUCAGAUACAAGGUAUUAACGGAUGAGAAUUUAAACAAAAGAAAGUUUAAUCUAUGCUCUAGGUGUUAUUCAUGUGAAGAAGAACUGGAAAUAGUAAACCAUCUCUUUUUACAUUGAAAUUGGACAGCUCAACUAUGACAGAUGUUCAUCCACAAGAGAAAGAUCCAAUGGGUGAAAUCUGAAAGAAUUACAGAAGUGUUAAAGUGCUGGAAUAGAGAUGGCAAUACAACAAAAAAAGAGGAGAGACGAAGAAUUAUCCUAGCUUGCAUCUCACAAGAGAAAGAUCCAAUGGGUGAAAUCUGAAAGAAUUACAGAAGUGUUAAAGUGCUGGAAUAGAGAUGGCAAUGCAGCAAAAAAAGAGGAGAGAUGAAGAAUUAUCCUAGCUUGCAUCUAGUGGACUAUUGGAGAGAAAGAAAUCAUAGAUGCUUUGAAGAAAGACAAAGCAGCAUGUAAAAGCUAAAGAUAGAUGGCCUAAGCCUUUAUUAUGUUUGAUGUAAACGUAUAAUGUAGGCAAUACAGUAGAUGUUCUUAAUGCUAUUGACGGAUAGUAACUAGGAGAUCCUAGGUGUUGUAAGGAAAACUUUAAGUAGACGGAGAAAACAAGGAUAAUAUUCGUGAGAAGCAACAUUAUCUUCUGGAGUUCAGGCAAGGUACAAAUAAUAUUUAUUUACUUUUCUAUUUGAUUUUCAUUUAUCUUUUUCUUUUUAAAAAUUGUUGGGCCUUUGCAGAUUGUGGGCCAUAUUUUUAUUUUUUUCAUCUUUAAAAUGCAUGUUUAUAACCAAAAUUUUUGCUUACAUUAUCUCAAAUUUAUAUCAUUCACUUUCAUUUAUAGUUAAUCUCAAGAAGAUGACAUAUUUCUAAAUUUAAAUAUAGGGUAUAGGUAAAAAAUAAUUGAAUUUCCAUGAACACGUAAUUCUCUUCAAGAUCUGUUUCUCCUUUUCAGUACUCGAUAUUCAUACUAAAGUCAAACUCUAAAUGUAUACCACGUAAGAUUCAUUUAAGAGGAAGCAUUCCCUAUCAAAAAAAGUUUUUAAAAUUGUUACCAUUUAUGUUUUUAAUUAAAUUAUAUGUUAUCUGUUGUUAUAAAUCAUCUCAUUAGGAAUGAAAUAGACUAUGGUUAUUGUAACUAAAUACACAAUGUCAAGUUAGUUUAGAUUUAAAAAAAAUAAAAAUGUGCCAUAUAAUUAAACAAUGGGAAUAGAAUAUUAUAGAUCAAAUUAUAAUUAUCUAAGAAAUUAUAUAUAGAAAAUGAAUUUCAGAGAAUGGUGAUGAAAAUAAACUAUGUAUAGAAAUUGUUUUAAGGAAAACUACAUUUUACAUAGAAUACAAAUAUAUAAAAUAUUUAUAUUUGAAUUAAUCGUCAAUACAUCAAUAUCUUCGUAUGCACCCAUCAAAUGUUAUAUAAAUUAUAUAGUUUAAAUACAUAAAUAACUUUUUUCUUAUCAGAACUCACGCCCCGUAACAUGUUAUAGAUUUAUAAUCAUCUAAAAUAUCCAAAAAAUUUAUAAUAAUAAAAAUAAUGCUUCAUAACGUAUAUAGAAUUAAUAUUUUUUAUAUACGUUUAUCUUAAUUAAUAUUUUAAUACACGUGCAAUGCACGUACACUAAUCUAGUAGCACUAAAUAAUACCACACUUACUACAUGAACUAUUUCUAAUAAUACACCCUACCAAACGUCCCGUUAAAGGUUACAUUAAUUUUAUCAUUCUUUUUUGAAACUACAUUAGUUAAUUUUAUAUGUAUUAUAAGCUGAAGAUUCUAAAACAUAAGAGAAAUCUAAACAUUAAAGCCUUGUUCACAUCGAAGCUUCAAGUUCAACUCUGAAUCAUCGCCAUCAACAAAAAGACAACUCCUUAAUGUAAAUUCUGCUAACCUACUAUUUUUUGUUUUGUUUUACCAUCCCGUGUCUCAUACUCGCUUUGGAGUCUCACUAAUCACGAUUUGCACCGAAAAGUCCCACUUUGUGGGUAAAUCGUUGUCUCUCAAAUACAACUCUAUUCCUAAAGGAACGAACCCAAAACCUUAGGUUAAGGAUGGAGAAAUGCUUACUACCCUAUCACAAACUUUGGUGAUGCCUAAAGAACUGUGUUUAAAUUUCUGAAACACUUAUUGCUACCUUUCAUAUUAAUUAAAUCCUUAAUUGUAAUACUAUUUAACAAGGAAGAAGAACUAUUAUGCUUUAGUUUGAAGAAUUGUUAUACUAUUAGAUUACCCGUUGAAGAUCAGUACCAGCUACUGUAUUUUGAAUAGGUUACUACAAAAUAAUGAGACUACAGUCUCAAGAAUAAUAUGCGAUUUAAAAUGUAACCAUUAUAUUGGUAUAUUCAUCUAAUUUGAAGUUUUAGUUAUCUGAUUAACUCUUAUAUUUUCUAAACCUAUUAAUUGCCAUGUACUUAUAAUUUUAAUUUCAAAAUUGAUCUUAUUAAUUCUAUGAUUCUGAGUAAAUGUUAUUUUUGUCUAAUCAUUUCCAACAUUUAAACCGAAUGCUUCGUAGCAGUGAAAUAAAAUUGUUAAUCUAACCAUAUUCGAAUUAUUAAGCUCUAGUAACAAAUAAGAGGCAUUUCGAGUUACAUUAAACUAUUUCUCAAGUGAUCCCUUCAGAAUCCCAGCAGCAUAUCCAGAGCUAAUUUAGUCUUUUUUUCAACAUUGAUUAACUCUAAAGGCUCAUUUUGUUUGCACUGAAUGAAGGUCUGAAUCUGAACGGUUCAGAUUUCAGACCAUUAAGUGCAUUUUAUUUUUUAUUAAGAUUUUAGCUCUUAAUAAGUCUUAAUCAUUCAGAUCUAGAAUUAAGUCUUAAUAUGUCUGAAAAGGAAUUUUGGUGUUGAAUAAUAUUCACCGCCACUCUAUUCAUAAUCAUCCAUCACCACCACUAACCACCUCUGCCACCGCCACCAUUGUCAACCACCACCCACCUCCACCACCACAACCACCAUUGACAACAGAUAUUGCUACCAACCACUAUUGUCAACCGCUACUACACUUACUACCUCUAUUAUUCUAAUUAUAUUCACCGUCAUCAACACCACAACCAUCAUCAACCAUUACCAAUCAAUCCCUACUAUCGACCAACUCAUCUAGCACAGUAACCACAUCUUCUUUCCUUUUUCCUCUAAGGAAGCAUGCAAUAUGAAGAAACAUAUUCUUGUAGUCGUCAUCUAAUGCAUCUAGACUUAAGCUGAGUAACCUAACAAUCUUCCCAUCUCUGAAAUCUUUGCCUCUAUAUAAGGCAUUUAUGUGCUCUUCUGUACCUUGUUUGUAGAGAAAAGAACCCAAUACCCCUAGAGCUAAGGGUAAGCCUUUAGCAUAAUCUACUACACAACACGAGAGCUCUUCAAAGCCUUCAACCGGAGUUCCUUGUUGAAAGGCGUGCCAACUAAAAAGUUCUAAAGCCUCAUGGUUAGUCAGUUCUGGAACACGAUAUAGCACAUCAUGCUUGCUAAGUAAAUCCAAGUUUCUAGUUGUUGUAAUGACCUUAGUGCCAUCACCAAACCAAUCACGCUUUCCAACUAAAUAUUCCAGUUGCUGGCUGUCAUCCAUAUCAUCAAGAACAAUUAGAACCUUCUUGAAGCGAAGCAUUUGGCUUAUCAUUUCGUCUCCUGUGGCAAAAUGUGGUACAUUCACGGAGUCUUUCUUCAAGAUCUGUGAAAGAAGCUUCUGUUGCAAAUGUUGUAGGACUUCCAGCCCGCUCUUUUUGACACUCCUAACAUUUGCAAGAAAACAAGAUCCUUCAAAUUGAGAAGAGAUCUCAUCAAAAAUUCCACUUGCAAUGGUUGUCUUCCCUACCCCACCCAACCCCCAUAACCCGACAAAAUAAACACCGCCAGAUUCAACAUUCAACAAUGAUUUUACUUUCUCUAUACGAGGUUUGAUUCCCACGUGAUAUUUUGCAAUACUUGGAACAACAGAAAUCUUGUCAAGAAUUUCCUCAAAAAAUUCUUUGAUAAUCAGUGCUAUCAAAGGCAUGCUUAAGCCCUAAAGCAAGACUCAAAACGUGUUGAGCGCUUCACCUCUCUUUUACGUGCACUUCACUCUCGUCAUCAAGUUUCUAAGGCAUACUUUUCCUUGCUAAUAGGUCUCUUCUGAAGAGGCGACACUAUACAUUUGAUAUUUCACUUUAUCGUAAUUGUUUUUCAAUUUCUUUGCUCAUAUAUUUGUCAUUCAUGAUUAUAAUUAUUAGUCUUCAACUAACAUAAAUAUUUGUACAAUUUCUGCUUUGCGCCUUUUUUUAUUAAGCCCAUGCUUUUAUUUGCGCUUAAAGCCCCAGCAGACCUUAAACCUUUUUUGUGCUUUUCGUUUUGACAACACUGAUGAUAAUUGAUAAAAGCAAAAGGCAUUACCCAUGUCCCAGAAAAUGCAACAUUAAAAUUUCACUAAGUCAACAAGGAGCAACACCUCAAAUUGACAACUAUCUUGUCAAAUAUCUUAGCUGGAGUAGUUGUCUUCUCUAUGCCACCCAAAAGUGUUUUAUUAAAGACCUUCAAAUUCGUAACCCCUAGUCCUCCCCACAUUUUAGGCUAUGCCACGGUCUUCCAAUGAAUGAAAUGAAAUUUCUUUGUCCCAUCCGCCACAUUCGAAAGGAGAUUUUUUUGAAACCUUUCAACUUGCCUAUCACGAAGGUCGGUGCAUUGAACAAGGACAUGCAAUAAGGAUACUCAAUGUCUUAAUAAGCACUUUCUUGCCUCCUUUAGACAAGUAUUUUUUCUGCCAAUCUGCUAACCUCUUCUCUACCCUAUGAACGGCCGAAUUCCAAACACCAAUAUCCGUGUUCGAAGAGCCUAGAGGUAAUUCCAGAUAGCAGGUAGGGGGAACCCCUACCCUUCAUUGCAUAACUUGGGAAAACCAGUCAAUAUUAUCCAUUAUACCUAAAGUAUGAUCGCAUAUUUUCUAAGUUUGAUUUUCAGUAUGACACCACCGGGAACCAAGACUUGCCCCGGAAAGUCCAACUGAGUACAUCAGCAUCACAAAACACAAAGUACCGUCUGCCUCAAACUGUUGUAAAAUUGUUUUGUCCAUCAAUCUGCUCAAAGUUUCCAUCACCAAGAUAAAGAGCAUAGGAGAUAAAGGAUCUCCCUGCCUCAAACUCCUUGAACUACCAAGGAAACCACAGGGAUUGCCAUUCACCAACACCGAAUAUCUCACUAAAGAGAAGCAAAAAUUGAUUCACUUCCUCUAUUUCUUACCAAAACUCAUCUUCAACAACUUGAAAUCUAGGAAUUUCCUAUUAACAUGAUCAUUAGCCUUCUCGAUAUCCAGCUUGCCCAACACACCUGGCUCCCCUUGUUUCUUCCUCGAAUCUACUACUUCAUUAGUUACUAAAGUUGUAUCCAAAAUCUGUCUUCCUUUGACAAAUACAUUUUGCGAAAAAAGAUAGUCUCAUCCAGAACUCUCUUAAGUUUAUUAAAAAGCAACUUGGAAAUAAUCCGGUAGAUGUUCCCCACUAGACUAAUAGAUAUGUGAUCCCAAUGCCAGUAGCUCCUUCCUUCUAAGUGAUAAUGACAAUAAAAGAAUCAUCUAAGCUUCUUUCCAAUUCACCCCUCCUAGAACUCAUCAAUAGUACUCAUAAUAUCUUACUUGAUUGUGCUCCAACAAUGUUGAAAGAAAGCCAAAGUGAAGCUAUCCAACCAUGGAGCCCUGUCACCCACGCAAUACUCUACCACCUUCUCCUCUCUAGCCACCCACUAUUCUCCCCUCCAAUCUGACUGAACUUUAUCCCACCCAAAUUUGGCCUCCACUCAACUUCCUCUAUGAAAAACCGUUCGUAGAAACAAACAAUUGUUCCCUCCAAUUCCGCCUCUCCCUAUUAAGUCUCGUCCCCAACCUCCACAGACUAUCAAUCCUACUCCUAUUUGCAACUGCUACCCUAUGGAAAAACUCAGCAUUAGAAUACCCCCUCUUCCAACCACAAUGCUCUUGAUUUUUGUCUCCAACUAGUCUCUUGAGCCAAAGUCAAAGAAGCUAGCUACCCUCUUAGAACUUCUUUUUUCUCCGGUUCUCUCUCAUCUAACUCCCUUCCCACCUCUAUUCUUUCUGAACUUCUUUCUUCUCCUUCUCUUUCAUCUUACUCCCACCACCUCUAUUAUUUCUAGCUCCCACACUUCAUUUAUAAUGUCCCUUAUUUUCUCCUCUAACCUCCCAACACUUUCUUAUUCCACACCCUUAUGUCAUUCUUAAGCAACUUCAAUUUUUAGCAAGUCUGAAAGAUGGUCUCCCUUCCAGUGCAUAACUGCUCCACCACCGUAUCUCCCAAAUAAGUCGCUCGCAGCCAAGUCAUCCUAGUGCAACAAUAAACAGAAGUACCAAACAAUCGGUUACCCGUCAAAGAAACAGUUUAGAUAGGACCAUAGGAAGAUUUAGGAUUUAUGGAACAUGGUGCAAUAUUAGAUAAGGAGGAAAAAAGGGAAGUAUUAAAUGGGAAUUGAUCCCUAUUCUUCUAGAUAAAGAACUUAACAUCUAACAAAGUGCACCAUACAACCCCUUUGGAGCAUGGAGAGCAGCGGAAAAUAUCAGAUUAAUUCUUUUUUUCUUUGCAUUGGCAACUGUAUAUUACAUCAAUGAACCAAAAUGGUAUUUAGGUAGUACUGAAACCAUAUUUGCAUGAAAGCUCCGAAAAUCUACUAUUCUCUAUCUCUAGCGAGUCUAAAAUAUGAAUGACAGAGAUAAUAUCAUUAGAGUAAAUCUCAUCACAAAGUAAAUCUCAUUACACCAAAAACAUAACAGUAAGAUGAAGUUCAACUUGAUCUUCUGUACAUCAUCCUCUAUAGUCUUAAAAUAUUUGGAGUUUCUUUUCUUCCAAAUUUUCCACCAAACGCAUGCUGGGGCAAUUCUCCAUCUACUCUUGUACUUUGCCAGUGAACCUAUUUCCUCUCGGACUACUGAGAGCUUCUGAAACCUUUUUCUGGCAUAGUCCAGUAUAUGCCUUAGAGGUUUAAGACACCACUCUACAGCUGAGCUGUAAAUGGACAAAGGUGCACAACCAACAUGAUAUAAAUGCCGCCAAAUAUGUGUCAGUCCUAUGUUCAUAUUUCACUCCAAGUUUGGAAAACGUAGCAUCAUCUGAACUUAACCAUUUCGCUGCUUUCGGAAUAGUCCCUGUUGGGUUAUGGGUUGACUUCAAACGAGCUGAUUUUUUCUCUUUCCUCAGUGGAGCUGACUUGAAUCUUAAUAUCCUCUUGCACCAAAACUUUAUCCACUUGCUUAGAGGAACUCUCGGAUUAGAAGCUUCUCCUUCUUGAAGAUGUUGGAAAGCUACAAACAAGAAUUCACAAGAACAAGGGAUAAAUCUCUCAUGCUUUUCAUCAACACUUGUAAGCUCAAUUGCGUUAGGCACUACUUCUUCAUAAGGAAGACCUCUGAUGGACAGAACUCCGAUCUUGUAUAAGUCCCAAAGGGAUAUGGAUAGCUCUCCAGCUGAAGUAAGCAAUGUAUUAGUAGUUGGACACCAAGCCUCAAGGAAUGCCUGUAAUAUGUUUGGGUUUCGGUCAUAUGUAAACAAUGAAGCAUAAACGGCAUCAUAUAUUUUUGCUGCCUUCAAGGUUUGUGCACUUCCUGCCAAGAUGUCCUCAGCCCAUUCUCAAUAUCCUUGAGUAUGACGAUAUUCACCAGCUACCUCCAUAGUGUUUCCCCAACGUAUAUCUCCUUUGAGUAUUCGAUGUCCUAAGCAAGGAAGGGUGCUCGCAAUAUUCAAUUGACGUUAGUUGGGAGUUUGAAGAAGCCAUACUUUAAUCGAUCGAUUAACACCAAUGUCAUGUUCCGAAGUUCAAACUGACAUAUGGAGAGAAUUUUGCAAGGGUGGCCACGGGUCUGCACAUUUGCCUGUUGUUGGAGUUUCAGUCAAUAGCCUAGUUAAAAUCGUGCCGUCAUCAGCCUCAAUUAGAAGAUACUUGUUUUUAGAGGAUGGAGAUAUGUAGUCUCUAAAGUGGACCAUUUCUGCAAGCUGUAUAAACAAAAGAAUCUUGGUCAAACACAGUGUCAAGAUUUAGAGAAAAGAUACCUUCAAUAAAUAAAUAAAUAAAUAAAUAAAGGGGUCCUUCAUUUUUUUUUGGCUUAAGUGAAAUAUAGUCAUGUAUACUUCAAGCAAAAUUGGUCGGGUUUUAAGAUGACGAAGGUGAAGUUAAACUCUCGCACCUUAAGCUGGCCACUUACGGGUUUAUCCUUAAAAGAAUCUCAAAAUUUCCAUGCCUUAAGGUAGACAAAAUUUGUCCCUUUGCACCUUAAGCGGACCGCUUACGGAUUUAUCCUUAAAAGGAUCUCAAAAGUUCCAUGCCUUAAGGUGGACAAAAUUUAUCUCUUUGCACCUUAAGCUGGCCUAUCACGGAAUUAUCCUUAAAAGAAUAUCGAAAUUUCCAUGCCUUAAGGUAGACAAGAUUUGUCCCUUUGCACUUAAGCUGACAUUCUGAUGGAUUUGUUAUGUAAAGGGACCGGCUUCAAGUAAAAUUGGUCGGGUCUUGAGGUGACGAAGCCUCGCACACCUUAAGCCGACGUCCACCGUCUUCAGCAAAAUUAGUUGAGUCUUGAGGUGACGAAGCCUCGAAGAUCUUAUGCCGACGGACACCAUUUUCAAGCAAUGCAAUUAUUGUAUAUUGCUAUUUGUUUUAAGCCCACGAAAAGAAAACAAAAAAAAAAGGAAAAGAACAAGAAAAAAAAAGUAAAAGCAUAAAACGAAGAAGAAAGUAAUUACCUGUUUCUGAUUUAUCAAGAAACUGUUGCUGAGAAGUCUCACGAGGUUAAUAAUUUGAUGCUUUGCAUGAAAAAAAUAAUAAUAAUAUAUGGGUAUUUAUAGGAGUUGUUGGUCAGUGUAUACUCCCUAAUCCUUGAUAAAUUUGGAGAAUACAUCUACCAGUUUUGAUAAAAGACGGACUGCCAACACAAUGAAGGUUAAAGACGGCGGAGGUCUUUACUAAUUCAAAAGGAAAUUGAAUAAGGUCAUUUAUUUUGAAAAAGGAUAAGUCUGUGAGACCCAUAAAAAAAAAAAAAGAGAAAAAGGAAAGAAAGAGUGGUGCACGUUAAUGGCAUUAAAUACCAAAACAAAAAUUAUAAUAUACUACUAUUUGUUUUUCCACUUUCAGUGGCAAAAGAAAAAGUUAAUAUAUUUGUGUUACACUUUCACAAGCACCAAGGAUUAAAAUAUACUAAAUGUAUAUUACAAUUUUACAGGGCCCAUAUGAUUAUGACAUGUUUUAUGUUCGAAUUUGGUCCAUCAUAAUUUUAUUUGCACGUAAAUUUGUGUAAUUAAAAAAAAAAAAAUAUAUCAAGUUUAUACUUCGAGACUAGUCUCCGAAAGAUCUCGACAACUCUCAAAGUAGGGGUAUUAUGUGGAUAAUGAAAUUUUAUUAAAUUUAAAUCCGUACGAAAUUCGGAUUAUAUUAAAUUCAAAAUAUAUUAGUCCCAAAUAAAUAUUGCGGAUUAAUUAUUUAAGUCCAAACAUAUAUGGAUUUAAUUAAAGUUUAAUUUUUAUUGGGCUAACUCAUUAAUUUGGGCUACAAAUGAUGAACCCACUUUGCUAAGCCCAAAAUAUUAUCAUAUUCUAGAGGCCCAAAUAAGCGCCACGCAUCAAAUGACGUGGCAUGCCAAGCCAAGGCAAUGAUUCAAUAGAAUCAUGCCACAUGUCAAAAUGAUGCAGCAAACCCAUGAAAUCAAGGCCCAUAAAAGGUGAUAUGUCACUCAAAUCUGAUUGGUCAAAGAAAGUCCAUCUUCAUCAUGACUCUCUCUUUUCCACAACUAUAAAUAAGGGUCUCAUAAUUCAGAAAAAGGAGCCCCAGGACUCUAACAAGUAGCAUGAGUUCAUCAAGAUCAAGACCGCAAUAUUCAAGAACAAGAACAAGCUCAAAAGCCCUUGAAGUUCAUCAAGAUUCAAGAACAAGCUCAAAAGCCCUUGAAUUCAAGCAUAAGUCAAGAUCAAAUCUCUCAAGUCCAUCAAAUCAAGUUCAAAUUCAAGAUUAAGCAUUAAGACCUUGAAUUUAUAUUUGAAAACCAUCAAAUCAAGUUCAAAUUCAAGAUUAAGCAUUAAGACCUUGAAUUUAUAUUUGAAAAGGCGAAUCAGAGGAUUCAUAGAGAUUGUAACACUCGCAUUGAAAUAAAUAAAUUGAUUGUUGCAAUAUUUUUCUUGUCUCGAAUUAUUUAUUUUCGGCCUCAAAAAUUUUAUUGUCCAACAACAAGCAUUAUUAAUACAUCAUAUUUUGCAUUAUUCUUAUACAAUCUAUUAAACACCCGUUAGUGUUGAAAUUAUUUAAAAUUUUUAGGAGGCAACUUUGCUGACUUUUCAAAUGCACUUUUCUCAAAUUCCACCCUAACCAUAUAAAAUAGCACCAAAAAAUCAAAUGACAUCCACUUUCUGGGGCCGAUGGAAAAAUAUUGUAGUUUCUCAGAAAUUGACAUAGUCGUCGGCCAACCUCAAGAAUUGUCUUGUCCCUCCGUACGUUCUUAAACAAUAUCCUAAUAUUAUAGUUGAAUCAUCAAAAAUUUUAAGAAAAUAUAUUGUUUUAGUACUUCAUGCUCGGAACCCCAACAAGGUGAUACAGGGCUUCAAUGAUGAGAAUAUGAUAAGGAAAACAUGCAUUAUCAUCUAUUCGAAAGGCCUUUUACAAGGAUUAGAUUCCUUCAGCUAUCCCUCAUGGCUUGAUUAGUGCUUCCUCCUUCAUGUUUAAGCAAAAUCACAACUUUGCAUUUCUGUAAAAAAUGACGAUAAUUAAUUUGAUUAGUCAACACACACACAUAAUGAAUUUAAGCAAUUAGGCUUAACAUUUAAUUCCUAAAGUCAGACUUUAUAUAGAAUUCUGAUGAACCAAAGGCGAAUGAGAUUGUAAAAAAGCCAUGCUGGUAUCUGUAGGAUCCUAGCCCUCACAUAAGGCAAGAAGGCUAUGAUCUAAAAAAUUAUGCACUAUCAAAGAAUGAUAACAAUGAUCAAGUUUGGAAUCUUCUAUGGUAUGUAAACACCCUCGUUUUAUGACUCGUGAGCAAGUUUUGUAUAUAUGCACUGGUAACGAUGAAGAAGUGAAUUAAAUAUGGGCUGGGGUAAAAUUAAAAGCACACGUAAGAGUAGCACGAUAAAUAAAGAUGACAAUGAGUGAAGAACAUCGUUAAUUAAUAGUGAGAAUAAACAUAUAGAAUAAAUCAUCAUUUAUAGUGUAUUCCCUAAAUGGUUGUCUGUUACUCAUGCAUAUUAAUUUCAUUCUUACAGGGCACUUCUUUAAGUUUCAAAAUAAUCAAACUGCAGUUAUUGGACAUAAGCAUAUGCCGUGAAGAAAUAGAACAAUACCUUUUAAAUAAUAUAACCUGACACAAUUUAUUCCAUCAUGAAUCUUCAUCUUUACGCCUAUUUAUCUAAAAGAACAGAGACAUUGGUAAAUGGAUAAUUAAUUGAUUAACCGUAAUAGUAUAUAGUAUUGCAUGCUACCAAAAAUCAUAAAUGCACAAUAAUAAUAUCAAAGAAGUAGAAGAAUAUAGUACCUCAUGUGUAAAUGAACCAUUAGAAAUUUCAAGAAUGAUCUUAGGCCCUGAUUUUGCAAUCCUCUAAAUCUCUACUACAAUGUGAUGGGUACCUUUUUGAUUAUUAUCAUAUUAUUAUCAUUAUCCUUACAACUUUCUUAAAAAGUAGCACUAAGUGUUGCACCCCUUAUGCUGCUUUAUGGGAUCAUUCUGUUUUAGCACCAUUCAGUGUCUAAAGAUAGGAAUAUCUUUAACUUCCACAAUGUCGUCUGGUGAAUUCUCAUGAUUUCAUUACAUUCUUUUUUGCAACCAUUCCUUCAAUAUAAACAAGAAGGCAUGCAUGGCAAGAGCAGUAUACAGAGAAACGCGAAAGAACAAGAAAUAAAACUGAGAAUUCAUAUAUUAUUAAAGAGAGUUUAAUAGUUGAAGGGAGGUGUUAUUUGUGUGGAGCUUUGAACUCAAUUCUAGUCCAGGGUAUUUAGUUAUAUUGUGUAGGCUGUUGUAUCCUGGAGGGGACAGGCCAAUAAGUAUUACUGCUGGACCGGAGAAAUAAUUAUCGCAGUGGGCUUGAAUCUCCUUAAAGAGAGCGAGAUAUUCGCGCCUCAGCCGUAUAAGAAGAAAUAAUAUUUUUCUUUAUUCAUUUGUAAUUUUUAGUUAUAAAUCAGUUGUAAUAUCACUGCAAUUUAUUGAGAUUUUCACCAACAAUUUUUAAGGAGAAUUCAAUAUGGCAACAACUGAAAAUUCCGCGGAUGUCAAGAUGGGAGAUCUCAACAAGCCAUUCUGGUUCAACGGUACUACUUCAAGAGGUGGAAGGGUAAAGUGUUUUUCUACUUAAGUCUUCUCAAUGUUUUUUAUGUGUUAACUGCGAAGAACCCAAAUAAAGUAGAUAACUCUUCCAUGACUGACAACGAACUUAUCUCUCUUAAAGAGAAAGUUGAAAAAUACAACAAUGUGUAAGACCCCGCAAAAAUUGUUGCGUCCGAAUUCAACUCUCUUGGCUUUACAAGCCUCAAGACUUAGCAAAUUUUCAUAAGUGUUCAACACUUAGUCUCAUUUUAGACCUCCAAACUUCGGGGAUUUAUUUGACGACCUUUCCGACAUUCAUUUUUCGAUUUUCAAGUUGCGUUGUGAUGGAGCAAGGUUGUAGUACAUCCCGGGUAAGUUUCAGAAUUUUUGAACUCCGUUUAGGGCAUGUUUGGAUUUGAAACCAGUAGCUCUCUGCGAUUAGGGGGCGCCGCCCAUCUUAGAGAGCCUCUCUAAGCAAGGCACCACCUUACUUAGAGAGGGGGGAGAGCAAGGCGCCGCCCUGCCAGUCCGGUGGGUACCCAGCUUUCAGCAUUCAACCUCCGCAUUUAAAGGGUAUUUUGGACAUUUUUCCUACCCUGUAUAUUGUCUUAAACACGGGAUUAAACUCAUUUUUCACCAAAAUAUUGUGUUUUCAUCAAUUUUCUCUUAAGAACACCCAAGAGCAAGUCUAGGGUUCAAUUGGGGGUUUCCAAUUACAAGCUUAAUUCAGUAUAAUCUUCACAGAUUAUCAUUCUAAGGUAUGCGUAGUGUUCAUCUAUGGAUUCAAUUCAUUCAUAGAGCUCAAGAAUCAUGCUUCUAAAUGUUAUUUUGUAAACUUUUUAUGGUGAUAUGAAUAUGUAUUGAUGAUGAUUGUUGUUUAAGUUUCAAGAUGAUAUCUAAGGAUGUUUUCAUGGAAUAUAUGUGGUGGUUGGUUGAAAAUCAUGAACUUUGGGUGGUUUGAAAUAAUGCAAGUAUGAAAUCCACCUAUGCCUUAGAGAAUACAUGUAAGAUGUUUGAUAAAAUGCCUAGGAUGCUAGAAGUUCAUAUGUACAUGAUUUCAUGAUAUCUAAAUGAUAAGUCCAUGUUAGCUAUACACUUCAAUAUGAAUGUCCAUGCUAUUUAUUUAUUCUUAUGGUGAUGGCAUGAAGCAUGUAUGAUGAUGAAAAUAUGAAUUAUGUGUGCGAAUUAUAUCCAUGCUUUCCCUACCAUGUUUGAGGUGUUGAGUAAAUACAUGAAGUAUACUAUCCCCUACUUAUGAUAUAGUGAAUUAUGGACUCCAAUCUUGUGAUCAAGUCAUGUCAUGUGUGUCAGUUUCCUUCUAUCGAGUCCUGGGGGUAUUCGUACCCGAAAAAUAUAGCUGUGUGCCUAGAUCCAUGUCAUGUUGUCACGAUAAACUCGGUCAAGCUAUAAUCUAUAAAAAUUAGUCAGUCAUGUGACUCAGGAAACAUCAGAAAUCUCAUGAUCUCAGUUAACUCUCAGAUAAUAGUAUUACUCCGUCAGUCAACGUAUGUCAGUUAUUCAACCUAUGUACAGUCAGUCGAAUCAUGUUCAGUCCCUUCAGAUGGGAGUAGAAGUUAGCACCGAGUGAACCCAAUGAUGGGAACUCCCUUAUCAGUUUAGGGUGUGAUUCUUAGCAUUCAUCCUUGUGUUUCAGAACUACGUAGCCAGCGUAGGUUGAGACAUCUUAACCUGCCAGAUUAGGGUUGAUGAGGUGGCUUAACCUGUCAGUUUAGGGUCCCACCGUUCUCACUAUUGAGUACCUGCUAGAUAAGGGUCACUCACAACUGUCCUUACCAGUGGCACGGUAUUGACACCCCUCUAGUUGGGGCAGAUAUUGGACCCCAACUUAGCCAUAAUGGCAUACAUGGGGCAUGUCGGUUAAACAACUACUUCCCACAAUUUUAGUAUCAGUCUCAAUAAAAGAACUCAGACAAUUCUUCAGAUAUCAGUAUACUAGGACUGUUAGAUACAGUCAUCUCAGGGCUGUCAGACACAGUCAUCUAUGUUAUCAGAAUUACGGUUCUAUCCAUGUAUUAGUGUACAGAUUUAGCUAUUUCGUACUCACGAUCUUAGUUACUAUGUAUGCAUAUUUGUACUCUUAGGUUCAUAUCAUUCAGUCAGUAGCAUUAUUCAUGCAUGUAAACCCUUUGCAUUAGACUACUUCACUCGUAUACUCAGUACUCCAAUUGUACUGACGCAUUUGCGCUAUGGUGCUUUCUUUUCAUGUUACACCAUAGGUUCAGAGACACGAGGCCCAGACCAGCAGUAACAGUCGCAUUCAACAUACAGAGUUGCAGUAAGUCCUCUUCAUGCGAGGACGACAUUAUUUGAUUUAUUCACUUAUUUCUUCAAUUCAGUUUUACGGAGUUAGUUGGAGACAUGUUCCUUCAACUCCUUAUUCAGAAAAGACUUAGAGGCUUUCAGAUUUAGUCAAAUUUAGUUAUUAGAUUCAGUAUUCAGUUUUAUAUUCAGUUGUUUUGGGUAUUCUUUACCCCAUGAAUGUUAUUAUAUCUCUUCAGUUGAACCUUAUUGCCUACAUGUUCAUGUUUUCCACGUAUUGUAUAUAUAUUAUGCAGUGUACAGGUACAAAUAUCAGUUAUGGGUUAGUUUGUGGUCCCUCGGGGUCAUAAACACCGUGUAGCAUUCCGGUUCAGAAAAUCGAGGCAUUACACAAUGACUCCUACAAGUGUCAUUAUUUUUUACUUAUUAGUCUAUCGAAUAAUUUUGUAGUGCAAAGAAAAUUUGGAAAGUCUUGCAGAGUAAGUAUGAAACUGAGGAGGUGAGAGCAAAAAAAUAUGCGGCUAGAGGCCAAGAUGCACUCAUGCAAACUGAAGAGAACAACAUCACAUUGAAGGUAAAUUUAUCUUCAUAUAAUACUACCCUUGUAAAUAAUAAAAAUACUACUUUGAAGCUUAAGAAGAAAAUAUUAAAGAAAAAUAAUGGUAGACAUCCAAUAAUAAUAAUGGUGGAAAUAUCCAAGAAAAAAAUCAACAUGUACGAGAAAAGGGACUGUGCUUUGUCUGUGGCAAAAGUGGGCAUAUUGCUCGACCUUGCAGAUAUCGAAAACGUGGACCUACAUCUAGGCAAACAUUACCGAAGAUCCAUUUAUGGCGGUAAUAACAGACAUAAAUAUGGUGGUGAAUGUUGAUGGAUGAUGGGCUGACUCUGGUGCAAACCGUCAUGUCUUUUAUGACAAAGAAUGGUUUAAAAAUUAUAAAAAUUUCAAGGAGCCCAAAACCAUCAUGCUUGAAGAUUCACACACAAAUCAAGUAGUUAGAGUGGAGGAUGCUGAGUUGAGAUUUACUUCUGGAAGGGUAUUAAUCUUAAAAGAUGUACUUUAUACUCCUUCCAUAAAGAAAAAAUUAUUGUAUAGUUUUCUUCUUAAUAAAGCAGGCUUCAAACAGAUUAUUGAAUCUGAUUAGUAUAUAAUUAUGAAAAAUAAUAUUUUUGUGGGAAAAGGGUAUGCAUGUGAUGGUAUGUUCAAACUGAGUGUUGCAAUGCAUAAAACAUUUACUUCUGUUUAUAUGUGUUUUUCUACUAAUUUUUGGUAUGCUUGUUUGUGUCAUAUAAAUGAACGUUACGUGGGAACCAUGAGUAGUUUAGGAUUAAUUUCAAUGAUCAAAAAGAAUUUUGAAAAAUGUGAAGCUUGUAGUAAAGCUAAAAUCACAAAAAGGCCUCUCUUCCAUGUUGAAAGAAAAAUUGGUUUAUUAGAAUUAGUUCAUAGUGAUAUUUGUGAACUUGGUAAAAUUUUAACUCGUGGAGGAAAUAGAUAUUUUAUCACUUUCAUUGAUUAUUUUUCUAAGUUUACAUAUGUUUACUUAAUGAAAAAUAAAAGUGAUGCAUUUGAGAAUUUUAAAAUUUUCCUCCAUGAAGUUGAAGAUCGGUUUAAUAGAAAAAUAAAAAGAAUAAGAAGUGAUAGAGGCCGCGAAUAUGAGUUACUUGAGUUCAAUUCUUUUGUAAGAUCAUUGGGUAUAAUUGAUGAAACUACUCCUCCUUAUUCUCCUGCAUCGGACGGGGUAGCGGAAAGGAAGAAUAGAACUUUGGUUGAGUUAACUAAUGCCAUGUUAAUUGAGUCUUGUGCACCUUUAAGUUUUUGGGGUGAAGUUCUUUUGACUGCUUGUUAUGUGUUGAAUCGUGUGCCUAAUAAAAAGAACAAAUUAACUCCUUUUGAAUUGUGGAAAUGUCAUAAGCCAAAUUUGGGAUAUCUAAGAGUUUGGAGUUGUUUAGCCUAUGUGAGGUUAAUGGAUCCUAAAAUCUCUAAGUUGGGUAAAAAAGUUACUACUUGUGCUUUUCUUGGUUAUGCUUCAAAUAGUACAGCCUAUAGAUUUUUUAAUCUUGAAGAUAGCAUGAUAAUAGAAUCAGGUGAUGCUAUUUUUCAUAAAAAUAAAUUUCCUUUUUAUUCUAAUUAAAAAUAGUGGGGGUCCAAGGACCGAAGAAAACAUUUUGACACUACCUAGUUCUUCUACUUCUACUUUAAAUAAUAAUAAAAAUGAUGAUUUUGAGUUAAGAAGAAGUAAACGAGCUAGAGUAGAAAAAGACUUUGGUCCUGAUUAUUACGUUUUUAACGUUGCAGAAGACAAUCACUUUAAAAGAAGUUUUAUCUUCAAAUGAUGCUAUUUUCUGGAAAGAGGCUGUAAAUGAUAAAAUGAAAUCGCUAAUUUCUAAUAAAACUUGAAAGUUAGUUGAUUUACCACCGGGUUGUAAAACAAUUGAAUGUAAAUGGGUCUUACGUAAAAAAUUAAAGCCGGAUGGAUCUGUUGAAAAAUAUAAAGCUAGGCUUGUGAAAAAAGGUUUUAAACAACUUGAAGGCCUAGAAUUUUUUGAUACUUUUUCACCGGUAAUGAGAAUUACAUCCAUUAGACUUUUAAUUGCUAUUGUGGCAAUUUUUUAUUUACAAAUUCAUGAAAUGGAUGUAAAAAUUACUUUUUUAAAUAGAGACCUAAAUGAGGAGAUUUACAUGGAACAACUCGAAGGUUUUGUUGAGGCUGGCCAAGAAAGCAAAGUAUAUAAACUUAAUAAAUCCUUAUAUGGCUUGAAACAGGCACCGAAGCAAUGGCAUGAAAAGUUUGAGUCCUGCAUGAUUGAAAAUGGGUUUAAAACAAACGAGUAUGAUAAGUGCAUAUAUCAUAAGUCUUGAAAUAAUUCGCAUGUUAUUAUUUGCCUAUAUGUUGAUGAUUUAUUGAUCUUUGGCUCUAACAUGAAUAUUAUUGAUGAGACUAAAAAUAUUCUUAGAAGCCAUUUUGAAAUGAAAGAUCUUGGUGAGGCAAAUUUUAUUCUAGGAAUAAAAAUUACUAGAACAUGUGAUGAAAUUUUCCUUGACUAGUCACAGUAUGUUGAGAAAAUAUUGAAAAAAAUAUAAUUUUCUUGAUUGCAAGCAUGUUGUAGCUCCAUUUGAUUCUAGUAUUCACCUGGUUUAUGUUGAGAGUAAAACAGAAGUAAUAAAUCAAAAGAAAUAUGCGAGCAUAAUUGGAAGUUUGAGAUAUGUGACUGCUUGCACUAGGCCUGAUAUUGCAUAUGCAGUAGGAGUACUUAGCAGGUUUACUAGCAAUCCAGGUAAUGAACAUUGACAUGCUAUAGACAAAGUAAUGAGAUAUUUAAUUGGAACAAAAAAUUGUGGUUUGUUCUAUACAAAAUAUCUUCUUGUACUUGAAGGCUUUUGUGAUGCGAAUUAGAACACUUUAUCAGGUGAUUCCUUAUCCACGACUGGUUAUAUUUUUAUUUUGGGUGGUGGUGCUAUUUGUUAGAAGUCUAAAAAUCAAGCAAUAAUUGCGAACUCUACCAUGGAGGCUGAACUAAUUGCUUUAGUUUCAGCUAGUGAGGAAGCGAAUUGGUUAAGAGAUUUGUUAUUUCAAAUACCUUAUUUUAAAAAACCAAUUCCUCCUAUUUUAAUUCAUUGUGAUAGCACUGCUGCAAUUGGUAGAGCUCAAAAUCGUUAUUACAACGGUAAAUCUAGACCUAUACGGAGAAAGCACAGUAAUGUGAGAUUAUAUUUGACAAAUGGUACCAUUAAUGUUGAUUAUGUCAAAUCUUGUGAUAAUCUUGCAGAUACGUUGACCAAGGCCUUGGCAAGAGAAAAUGUCUAGAGUACAUCGAGGGGAAUGGGAUUGAAGCCUAUUAAAUCAUCAGUCAUAUGUGAGGAAACCCAACCUGGGGACUAGGGAUCCUAUAACCAUGUUCAAUAGGAAAAAUGAAUCACCUGAUGACUUGUUGUGAAAAAUGCACUAUUUAUCCCUACCUAUGAUGUAAGUGCAUUUGCCUGUAAUGAUUAUGAGAUUGAGUUUAUUAAACUCUUAAUGAAUAUCUAUAGCUCUUAUGAGUGGGGUGCUAAAUUGCAGGAGCACUCUAGAUGGAUUUCACCUAUGUGAGUGUGGAGAUAGGCCGCUCCCUAUUGAUAAUUAGGCUAAUUCUCUAAAGACACUCAUUAAAAUCGGAAUAACACAAGACCGUAACGUUCUGGCUAAAAAUCUCAUUUCAACACUUUGACCAUUAUGUGUAAGCAGUAACUUUUUAUUUUCCUAAAGCAGUCAUAGUUCAAGUCUGAGACCACUACGACUCUAGAGUAAAAAUUACUAUUUUACUAAGUGGAGGUUCAAUGCAGAGCAUGUUAAGAAAUGGACCUUGGUCCUAACUCAACCUCAAAAGCUAGAUCGGGAGGUGAGGAUUACCCAAGUCUAUAUAAACAAACCACUAGUCCAUUCCCCAACCAAUGUGGGACUUUUACCCACUCUAACACCCCCCUCACGCCUAGGCCCAACUGGCCGUGACACAUGGACCGGGAGCCCAAAAUGGGGAUGAACCUGAAUCUGAUACCAUGAUAAAGAAAUGGACUAUGUCAAUAAUGGACCUUGGGCCUAACUCAACCUCAAAAGCUAGCUCAUCCUCUUGACCACCCGACUUAUCGGCAUAUCCCCUUCUCUACCUCAGCCUAGACUCUUUCAUGGCUGACAACCCUGGCUUGUUGCUUUGCACGAACAAACUAUUUGACUGACAAGCUUCUGAUUUACUCCACCAACCUUGCUUGAUGUCCUCUUCAAGUCCAUGCUCUCUUCUGACCAUAGUUGCCAACAUAUCGCUAACAGAGUUUCUGACGAACUGAUGGUUCCCCACAAUCAAGGAUAUUUGAGUAACAACUAUUCGAUUGUCCAACUUUGUAGUUCCACUCAAACAGCAUCGCACGAUGACCACACCUAUUGGCCUAGCGUACCUCUAUAGAAUCCCUCUGCAUACGGUAUCCACUGACUUGAAGUCAUCCCUUGAAGAGAUCUUAAUCACUCUCGGAUGCUUUGAAGAUGAAUCAACCCGUAAAGAUGAAAGCGGAAUCAAUGGCUGUGACAUGGCGUGAUUCUGAAAUGAUGGGCCUUGGUUGACAUCGCUAACUCAAGCAUCUCAACGUACAACCAAUUCCCUUUAUAAGGUAGCAUUGUCUCAAAAGAUCUUCAUGAGCACAAUGAAUGUCAAUCUAUGCUUUGACGUGAUCACUGCAAUGACAUCCACAAUCUGCUCUCAAUUCUAUGCUCUGAUACCACUUGUCAUGGGCUUAUUUGUCACUGUGUCAGCGGCAUAAAAUUUUGUCCGUGCGGUGCCCAUGGUUCCCCCAACUAUGGGCCAACCUUCCUUAUUUCCUAAGUUUUUAGCACAAUCCUGUGCUUGUAAAAAGCCUGCCUCAGAGGUUUGCUCCCUUUGGUGCCGCUCUAUCAACAUGUUGGCUGACAUGCCAACGUAUAAGCAACUCUUGUGGCGCACCUUCAAUCCUUGGAUCUCAUCUAUAUGUGCUUCAGGGGAUGACUACGGACAUACUCGUCCCUCAACUGGACCUGAUCAUUGCUAUAGCAUGCACAGUCUUAUCCUCAAGCUUGACAUCGCUUGGCCUUUGCUUCGCCCGAGUAGGGCAACCUUCAAUCCUUGACCUUUGUCUCAAGCGUCUUUCUUAGACAUGCCCUCUCUUGUCUUAUGGCAUAGCCAAACAUAGCCACGCAACUUGCAUCCAACUUCCAUAGCGCAGUGUCGCCCCAUAACUGCGCGUCUAAGCCAACGGACCCUUGCUCGCUUGGCUGAACCUUGGCCAAGCUCACAAGUCAGCUCAUGAGUCUCUUGGGGAGAUUAUCUCGAUUGCUCUAUCAGCUUGGAGGCAUCCUUCUAUUAUUUAGACAGCACGCGGGACAUGUUGGUUCAUAUAACCAACCUCUAGCCUUGUUGGGGCGCCCAACGCUGGUCCACCCGACCCUGCAUUGCCCAUAGGGUUCUCGAACCAUAUGAGUACCUUGCGCAUUCCUUUGAUAUGCCAAAGCAGGCCCUUGAGAUUAUCCCUCAAGGCAACACACUUGAGGCGGCCAUCUAUCGACACACCCGGGGGAGGCUGGUAGGCUGUCACCAUGUAUACCCCUUUUAUAUAUGCUUAAAAUAAAUAAUCCCAAUGUCUGGCACUAGACAUCAUUCUGCCCGAGAAUCAUACUGGGGCUUAGACUAUCCAUCCGACCUCCAAAUUGGGUACCGUUCGUUCCUAAUCCUUUUUCUUGACUUCCUUCACACCUCCAUGAAGUUCACCCCAUUCUCAUACACAUGAAACAAGUUAUGGCCUUCGGACUAAUCAGAAAAUUAUGACAAUACCACUGUACUUUGUCCAAUUCAAGCCCCUAUUUAAACGAACUCCAAAUUCCCCCAAAUUUGGUAAGCAUAAAUAAGGUACUAUUAAUAUCAACACUUUAAACCAGAAUCCUUAGAUUCUACUUGUAGCUCAAAAUGGUACGGUGCUGACAUCGAACAUCGCACACGAUCCUCACCAUGCCUCCGCCCCCUUGGGCUCACACCAAUCCCUCUCCAAAUCACCUUGACACUCUUAGGACAUGUCAUGCAACAUAUAUAGAUGCUUGUUGCCUCAUGUUAUGCCCCUUUGCCCCAUCUUCGACUUUAGUAUAUUCCCUCAGAACAUGCCGCCUGCAUAGCUGACAUGGUUGCAGCCUAGUUGGCACGCACAAUCCUGCCGGGUGACAGGCCCCAAAACUUUGAGGCUUCACACCCUCACACACGCCUUGAUACCAUGUCAAGAAUGGACCUUAGGCCUAACUCAACCUCAAAAGCUAGCUCAUCCUCUUGACCACCCGACUUAUCGGCAUAUCCUCUUCUCUACCUCAGCCUAGACUCUUUCAUGGCUAACAACCCUGGCUUGUUACUUUGCACGAACAAACUAUUUGACUGACAAGCUUCUGAAGCACUCCACCAACCUUGCUUGAUGUCCUCAUCAAGUCUAUGCUCUCUUCUUACCAUAGUUGCCAACAUACCGCUUACAGAGUUUCUGACGAACUGAUGGUUCCCCACAAUCAAGGACAUUUGAGCAACAGCUAUCCGAUUGUCCAACUUUGUGGUUUCACUCAAACAACAUCGCACGAUGACCACACCUAUUGGCCCAACGUGCCUCUAUAGAAUCCCUCUGUAUACGGUACCCACUGACUUGAAGUCAUCCCUUGAAGAUAUCUCAAUCACUCUUGGAUGCUUCGAAGGUGAAUCAACCCACACAGACGAAGGCGGAAUCAACGGUUGUGACAUGGCGAGAUUUUGAAAUGAUGGGCCUUGGUUGACAUAGAUAACUCAAGAAUCUCACAAGGUAGCAUCGUCUCAAACGAUCUUCAUGAGCACGACGAAUGUCAAUCUAUACUUUGACGUGAUCGCUGCAAUGACAUCCACAAUCUGCUCUAAAUUCUACGCUCUAAUACCAUGUUAAGAAAUGAACCUUGGGCCUAAAAAUAAACCUCAAAAGCUAGCUUGAGAGGUGAGGAUUACCCAAGUCCAUAUAAACAAACCACUAGUCCAUUCCCCAACCAAUGUGGGACUUUUACCCACUCUAACAGAGCACACCUCCAUUAUGUAUAAUAGUCUUCCUUCUAUUACUGGACUCUCUUGAUAAUAUUAAAAAAAUGAAUGGGGGAUUGAUGGGUACAUUUUUUAUUAUUAUCAUAUUAUUAUCAUUAGCCUUACAACUUUUUUAAAAAGUAGCACUAAGUGUUGCACCCCUUAUGCUGCUUUAUGGGAUCAUUCUGUUUUAGUACCAUUCAGUGUCUAAAGAUAGGAAUAUCUUUAACGUCCACAAUGUCUUGUCUGGUGCAUUCUCAUGAUUUCAUUACAUUCUUUUUUGCAAGCAUUCCUUCAAUAUAAACAAGAAGGCAUGCACGGCAAGAGCAGUAUACAGAGCCAUGCUAGUAGCGGACUCAGCUUUUCAAGGUUGUGGGUGCUCAAAAAAUUUUAUAUAAAGUAGUGUGUAGCUUAAGGGAAUCGAACCCAAAACCCUGGACAUGGAAGUCAUACCUCAAGCAAUUGCACCCAGCCAUGCGUUUGUUCACUGGGUGCAUUUUAAUAUAUUAUAUCAUUUAUUCUGUAUUUCUUAUAUAAUUACACCUAAUCUACGUCGAGUUUAGUGGGUGACGGAGCACCCAAAAAAUACACGUGGAUCCUUCUCUGAGCCACGCGAAAGAACAAGAAAUAAAACUGAGAAUUCAUAAAUUAUUAAAGAGAGUUUAAUAGUUGAAGGGAGGUGUUAUUUGUGUGGAGCUUUGAACUCAAUUCUAGUCCAGAGUAUUGAGUUAUAUUGUGUAGGUUGUUGUAUCCUGGAGGAGACAGGACAAUAAGUAUUACUGCUGGACCGGAGAAAUAAUUAUCGCAGUGGGCUUGAAUCUCCUUAAAGAGAGCGAGAUAUCCGCGCCUCAUCCGUAUAAGAAGAAAUAAUAUUUUUCUUUAUUCAUUUGUAAUUUUCAGUUGUAAAUCAAUUGUAAUAUUGCAGCAAUUUAUUGAGAUUUUCACCAACACAAUGUUAUACAUAAUCACAACACAAGAGGGAAUAACAAAUUAUUUAAGUUGAGUGUUUCACUACAAUAACUAAACAAAUUUUAGAAGUGCAGUUGAAGAAGAAAGCACAAAUUAUUGAAUGAGAGAAUCAAUAGUUAUUGGAGCGAUCGCUGGAACCUAGAAAGAGGAAUCCAUCGCGAGAAAUUAGGCAAACCCCAAGUUUCAUUUUAUACUUGACUACAACUCCAUUCCUCUAAACUUCAAAUUUUGCAUUUCAACUAUGAUAAACUUGCUAACUAUAAAUUAUUUGAAGUAAACCCCCAAUAUUAUUUUUUCGUUUGAUUUUCAUUGCAUUGCGAUUCAAAUUCUAGUCACUCCUACCACUUGAGAUUGGAUUCCGUGUUCUCAUUCCCUAAGGAUUCAACCCCGAUUCUUAUUGGGUAAAAUAUAUUGACAAAGAUCGCUUAUACCUUCAAGUAUAUUCGUAGUGUUUAUUUUACCUUAUUUGUUGUUUUUGUUCUCUCUUAGGCGACGACAGAAGUCUCUACGAUAUCAGAGCCAAAAUGGUAGCAAUACCGCUACUUUUGAUGGACAUCUAGAGGACGAGGAUCACCUUGGAGAUGCGGGUCGAGCUAGCACCAUUCAUACACCACCGGUGGAAGGGAAUGGAGUGUUUCACGUUACUAGCGUAAUGCUUUAUUUGCUUCAGAUGAAGAGACUGUUUAGGGUUCAAGCCCAUGAAGACACCAACCUUCAUUUGAAUAAUUUCAUUAAUGUGUGUCGUUCGUUUUCUAUAGCCCAUAUGUCUCGAGAAUCAAUCCGCUUGCGACUUUUUUCAUUCUCAUUAAUGAGAAAAGUGGUAUUAUAGUUGAGGGAGUUGCCCGCAGGUUCUAUCACCUCAUGGGUUGAAUUGAUGGAAGCAUUCUUGGAUCGGUUCUUUCCUCCAUCAUGAAUAUUGCAAUUAAGGGAUGAAAUCAUUAACUUUCGUCAAUUAAGUGGAGAAUCAUUACAUGAGGCGUGACAAAGGUUCAACAAGACAAGAAGUUAUUGCAAUGCCUAAAUCAUGAGGCCUUGGAUAAAAUGCUCCUUCAAAUCUUCUAUAAGGCAUUGAAUCAAUUGAACAAUACGGUAGUCGAUAAUGCAGCCAGCGGUUUUAUAGUGAAACAAUCUUAUGGUAUUGCGGUGGCUUAAUUGGAUCAAGUAAAUAAGUAAAAUUGAGGUUGGCAUACAAGAGAUAUCAAAGUGGCCGGGGGGCUCCCUCCAUAUUUUUUGUAAGUCAAGAACAAAGGAAAAAUGAUGAAGAGAGAUGAGAAUAUGGCUAAAGUAAUGACACAAUUGGAUCUUUUGAUGGGCGUAACUCCAAAGGCAUUAAUGUCGUUGCUUCUAAUAGUACCAAAGCUUAUGAUGAUGAUGAUACUGAAUCUCUUGAUACAGAAAUUCGAUUCAUGUCAAACCAAACGGAGGGGUUUCCGACCUACCUAUUAAAGGCAAGGCGGGAAUCGAGGUUGGAAGAAAAGGGGUCGUGAAUGGAAAAAUUGUGAAAGAAAGGACCAUGAACGAGAUACAGAUUGGAGAGAUAAGAAAAGAGAUAGUGAUCGCGAUUAGAGAGAUUCAUGACCAUGAUCGAUACAUUCCUCCACCUGAUUGGGCUAAAGGUAAAGAGACAACCUUCAUUAAUUCAAAAAUUUUAAAGAAUAAAGAUGUCCUUGCUCGUAACCUUAUGGGAUUUAAUUUGAGGGAAGUGCUAGGAUGUUGAGGGAUAUGAAUAGUGAUUUUUCACAAUUCAAUCAAAUGGUCACCUCACAUUCGACCUCUAUCAAGCAACUUGAACUCAAAUGGAUCAAAUCCCGACUCAUCUAAAUGCAAGGUAAAAGGGUGGACUACCUAGUGACAUUGUCGCUAAUCCAAAAAAUGAUGUUCAUAUCAUGACAAUCGUCACUAAGAGUGGUAGGACUCUUGGUAAUGAUAUGGUGAAUCUUGAUGAAGACCCCAAUGAAAGGGGAAGUGAUGACUAAGCUAGUGGAAAGAGAAAGCGUCUAGAUAAGUCAAAUGAAAAUGUCACUAAUCUUAAUGAGACCGGUGUUAAUACAUCAAGAGUAGUGAAAGAAAAGGUUGAAAAUGAAGAAGCACCACAGUGGUUGACAGUAAUACUUCAAAAUCGGAUGAAAGUUCGGUUGUCUUAAGGCCACAAAUCAAAAUCCCUCCUCCAUUCCCGCAAAGGCUUAAGAAGAAAGAAGAUGAUUCUAAGUUCUAGAAGUUUCUUGCAAAAUUUAGCAACAUAUCAUUAAACAUACCAUUGUUAGAAGUUUUACAAGAGAUGUCCGAAUAUGCUAAAUUCAUAAAGGACUUGGUCACAAAGAAAUGAAUCAUGGAUUUUGAAUCAAUUGUAGUGACGCAUAAUUAUAGUCUAGCACAAUGAUUGUGAAGAAAUAGGAUUCAGGCGCAUUGACCAUUUCUUGCACUAUUAGAGUGUACAAGUUUGGAAAGACAUUAUGUAACCUUGGGGUGAGUAUUAAUUUGACGUCAUUUCCCAUAUUUUGGAAGCUAGGUUUGGUGCUCCUAAGCUGACUACAAUGAGAAUUUUAAUAGUCGAUCGAUCUAUCAAGAAACUCAUAAUUGUGUUGUAUGACAUACUUGGGAAGGUGGACCGCUUUAUUUUUUGGCUGACUUUAUCAUUUUAGAUUAUAAAAUUGAUCAUGAGGUCCUUAUUAUUCUUGGUAGGCAAUUUUUGGCUAUUGUACGAGCCUUAGUUGAUGUUAAGUGUGGUGAAAUAAAAUUUUGGGUAAACAAUGAGGAGGUGUCCUUAAACAACCUAUGGAUUUGCAAGUUAUUUCUGUGAUCGAUGUGAUGAAGUGCCUAGUCCUACGAAAGUAAAUUUUGUAAGUGAUCCUUUGGUGGGUGUCUUGUGGAACUUGGGGAGCAAGGAAAUUAAGGAAUAUGAUGACGUAGUUGCAUCAUUGAUGGGUCUUAGAUCCUAUACUAAGAAUCAUUGCAAGUUGGAUCUUGACUUAAAGAAUAGAGAACGCCCCUAGCCAAACCUUAUAUUGCUGAACCACCUUAACUUGAACUUAAGUCGUUGCCUUCACAUCUUCAUUAUAUCUUCUUGGGUGAGUGUAAUAUUUUGAUAAUCAUUGUUGCGGAAGAUCUAUUGCCUUGGCAACUGGAGGUCGUGAAAUCUAUUGUGAAGAAGUUCAUUCGAGCCAUAGAGUGGACCAUAACAGACAUCAUCAGAAUUGCUCUUAAUAUUUACAGCCACAAAAUUAAGUUAGAGGUUGAUCAUGUGCCUAGUGUGCAAUACUAACGAAGACUAAACUCACCAAUGCAAGAGGUGGUCAAGAAGGAUAUCAUCAAGUAGUUUGAUGCGGUUGUUGUAUAAUCGAUUUCGAAUAGUAUGUGGGUUAGUCUAGUCCAAUGCAUUUAUAAGAAGGAUGGUAUGAGAGCCAUCCCAAAUGAAAAUAAUAAUCUUGUGUUCGUCUGUCCGGUCAAGGGUUGGUGGGUGUGUAAGAGUUGCCAAAAAUUGAAUUCUUGGAUCGACAGAGACCACUUUCCUAUGUUAUUCAUGGACGAAAUUCUAGAUUUAUUGGUCGGGAGUGAGUGAUAUUGUUUUCUUGAUGGAUUCUCCGGUUAUAAUCAGAUUUGUAUUACUUCUGAAAAUCAAGAAAAAACUUCUUUUACUUGCCCUUAUGGGACCUUUGGCUUUGAACGUAUACCCUUUGGGCUAUGCAAUGAACCCACCACCUUUCAACAGUGUAUGUUGUCUAUAUUCUCGGAUAUGAUCGAGGAUACCAUGAAACUGUUCAUGGACGAUUUUUCCAUUGUUGGUGACUCAUUUGAAUCAUGCCUCAAACAUUUGAGCAAGGUCCUUGAGCGGUGUGUGGAGACAAAUUUUGUUUUAAAUUGAAUAAAUGUCAUUUUAUGGUUAAAAAGAUAUCAUGCUUGGCCUCAAGAUCUCGGGUAAAUGCAUCCAAGUCGAUCAAGCAAAGAUAGAAGUGAUUGCUAAAUUACCCCCUCCCAUUUCCGUAAUGGUGUUAGAACUUUUCUUGGCCACACCGGGUUCUAUAGACGAUUUAUUAAAGAUUUUUCUAAAUUACACAAAGGAUGAUUGCUCAUCAUCUGGGUAAGCUUUUCGAAAAGGAAGUGAAGUUUGAAUUUGAUGGCAAUUGUUUGAGUGUGUUUAAUUGUCUCAAGGAGCUACUUGUGUCGGUUCCUAUCAUCGUGGCUCCAAAUUGGGCAAUGCCUUUUGAAGUGGUGUGUGAUACGAUAAGCUGUUCAUCCAAUCUACUAUGCUAGCAAAUAGUUGAAUGAUGCCCAACACAACUAACAUGGUUAUAAAGCAAGAGUUGCUUUCGAUGGUAUAUGCUUUUGAAAAAUUUCGAACCUAUUUGUGGGGUACAAAAUUGUUGUGCACGCCGACCAUGCAGCUCUUAGGUGUUUGAUGGCGAAAAAGGAAGCGAAACCUCGGUUGAUUAGAUGGAUAUUGCUCCUCCAAAACUCAUGUACAUCUUUAAAGACCUAAAUCAUUCAUUUGCUCGUAAACAAAGUCACAGAAGGUAAGAUACAUACCGUCCUGUCACUGAACACACUUCCCUCCAUCAAACCGAGGGGCUUUAUACCACCAAAUGAUUCUCUCUCCUGCGUAACUCUUGUAACAAAAACAUAGUUUUGUAAAGUGUAAGCAUAUUUCUGUGGAUCAGCAUAAAUGAGUCUAAUACGUUAAAGUGAUCUGACUCAAUACCCUGCCACUUGACAAUAGACUCAGGAACUAUUUCAACAAGAUCUUGCAACUUAUGUGUCUCCUUAGCUAUUCUCUGCAGAAAAGUUGUUUUCCGGACACUAAUAUUCCCUUCAACAUAAAACAUAAUUCUUCUCUUUUUGGGAUGACUUCACACCAGCAUCCAAGUUUUUAUUAUUCAACUCUUCCAUCCACACCCUUCUUCAUAAACGUGGCGAUACUCUUAGCAUGGUUUCUAUGUGUGAUUCCAACUGACCUCUGCAAGAACUCGACCAUCUUCUCACUGGAUUUCCAAAAGAACUGUGAAUAAGCCAUAUAUCACCUUCAUUAUUAAUCAAGUAUCAGGACUAAAUAAAUUGGAUAAUUUUCUUGAAAUCACCCAUAUUGAAAAUUACAUCUUUCAUGCCAAGUACCAUAUAAUGAUUAAUAACUGCAAAAGAUAGAAAGUUGACUAUCCAUAAUCAUCCAAAAUGGUGAAGUGAACAAUAAAAUCAGAUUUUGAUAAGAUGCAAUAUGCUGAGCAAGUUCUGAAAUCCCAACUUUGCUUUAAACAGAGUUGUUCACGCCACGUGCAAAAAUGAGCAAGCUCUGCGCCAAGAAGCCUAUACAUAAUUCUAUAUAGUGCAUUCUAUAUGUAAAUAUAUACACACAAAUAUAUACAUAAAAACACAUCACAUCUGCACUAAACUAGAUAGGUCGUGUUAAGAAAAUAUACUUUGGGUCAAACUUAACCAUAGCAACUAGCUCAUGAGAUCAGGAUAGGCAAAGAUCAUAUAAAUAAACAAUAGUCCAUUCUUAAACCAGCAUAGGACACUUAGGCCACCUUUGUUUUCACUUAAUAAAGGUAUAAUCUUAAUCAUUCAAAUCUCAAUCAUUAAAUUAUUUGUUUUUUAGGUUUGAAUCUUAAUUAUUUAGAUCUUAACCAUUAAUCAUUCAAAUCUCAAUCAUUAAAUUAUUUGUUUUUUAGGUUUGAAUCUUAAUUAUGUAGAUCUUAACCAUCAAGUGUGUGUGUUUUCUGAAUAUAUCUGAAUGAUUUAGAUUUAUAACAAAGUCUUUUAUUUUUUGGUGAAGUAAUUGUUUCAUUGAUGGAAUCCAGUAGAUGAAGAAAAUGAAGAGUACAAAGUGUUAAAGAAUAUAUAUCAACUCCCUACAGAGAAUCAGUUUAAAGAUUUAGGGAGCUAAUAAAGUCUAAAAGGGACUAUCUUGGAGGGUUACUGGGAACAUAUUAUGUCAACUAAAAUGGUUUAACAUACACCUAGCCUUUGCAGAGUGAAUGGGAAUUCAUACCCCAACAAAGCAUCUUGUUUAUUUUCUGUCCAAAUACACCAAAUAAUGCUGGCUGGUAUUGUCCUCCAGAUCUUCCUGAUGGUUUUAUCAACUUUCCACAAGCUCCAACUUUCAUCGGCGUCCUUGAUGUUCUUAGGUACGACCCAAGAUAGACAAGAGAGAAAAACAUAUUCCAAAUAUCCAUGGAUGCUGGACAGUGUAGGAAGAGAUAAAUGUUAGACUCCAAAAAUUGAUGAAAAAUAUAACAUCUGUUCACUAUCUGGAUUUUCUUUUAUUUACGUCAUGCCAUGUUGGGCAUGAAUCAUAUAUUGUUUUCCAGGUGAAACAACUGAUAUUUGGAGGUAGGUUUGUGCCCUAAAUUAGCUUCUAAGGCCACUGUGUGGCAUUCACCGAUUGAGGUAGUGAUGGAUGAUAACUUGACUUCACUGCGUAUGCAUUUCUGAUUGUGCUCCCCACAAGUUAUUUUGUCCCGACACUAAUUGAUGCCCAAAAAUGCUUUUUAAAUUUAUCGGCAAAACACAAACUACUUCUCACCAAAACCACUUUUUUCUAAAAACACUUUUGGAAAAAAAAAAAAAACACUUCCAAAAUAAAUUGAUCUUAAAAGGUUGGCCAAAUAGGCUUUUAGACCAAGCUCUGACCACUAGACUUUCCAACAUCUUAAUUCCUGAAUAUUACCAGCCUUUUAGUUACUUUCUUUUUGGAUAGGGGUAAACUUAAAGGUUACAUUUAUUACCUAUUAUAAGCUGAAGAUUCUAAAACAUAAGAGAAAUCAAAAUAUUGAAGUCUUAAUCACAUCCAAGCUUAAAUUUCAACUCCUAAUAAUCGCCAUCAAUAAAAUACAACUCCUGAUAAAUAAUUCAGCUAACAUACUACUUUCUUUUGGUUUACCAUCAGGUGUCUGAUACCCACUUUGGAACCCGACUACUAAUCAGAAUUUGCGCUAAAAAGUCCCACUUUGGGGAUAAAGUGCUGCCUACCAAAGGCGACUCCAUUCCUUGGGCACGACACCAAGACCUCAGGUUAAUGGAGGAGGGAUUCUUACCACCCUAUCACAACCUUUGGUCAUACAUACUACUGUGUUCAGUUUCCUAAAACACUUACUACUAGGAGGUACGCUAAAGCUAACCCGGACUCAAUGGUCAUUAGAAAAAAAUCUUAAUUGUAGUUUUAUUAAAAAAAAUUAUCAAGGAAGAAGAACAGUUACGCCUUUAAGUUUUGAAGACUUGUUACACAACUAUCUCUACUAUUAGAUUACAGCUUGUAGGUACUGAUAGAUCAACUACUUUAUAUCAAAUAGGUUACUACAAAAUAAUGACAAUGUACAAACUCAAAAAUAAUAUGCAAUUUAAAAUGUACCUAUUAUAUUGAUAUAAUUUCAUCUAAUUUUAUGUUUAUUUGAUUGACUGUUAUAUGUAAUCCUAUUAAUUGCCGUGUAUUUAUAAUGUUAAUUGCAUUAUUUAUUCAUUAAUUCAAAGUAAAUACUAAUUUUGCCUAAUCUUUUCCAACAUCCUAACACUUAGCCGCAUUGAAAUAAAAUUGUUACUCUAAACCAUAUUAAAACUAUUGAACUCUAGUAACAAAUAAGAGGCAUUUCAAGUUACCUAAAACUUUUUCUUGGUAAUGCCCUCAAUAUCCCAGCAUAUAGAGCUAAUUUGGCCUCUUUUCAGCUUCUGUCGACUCAGAGCAAUCCUUCUCAGUCUGCGCUUUGAAAAUAUUCACUCAUCCUCAUAGAUCAAAUGAACUCCCCACUGUCUAGCAAUGCAACCGUGGAUAGAUGCCUCAAAUAGGCUAUACCGGUUAAUGUCUCCACCAUAUGUGCCGGACACCUGCAGUGAAGAAUACAAUGGAAUGUAGGCAAAGCAAACACACCAGCCAUACGUUCUAGAUGCUGUGCCCACUUUACAUUCUUUUUCUAUCACUCUAAGGUCUUUCAAAUGAUCACUGCAUAGCAAUUUGGCUUUGAUGAAAGUAUAGUCAUACUUUUCAGAUAGCAUUGCAUCAGCACGACAGACACCUGCCCCCAUGAAAGUCACACAGCAUAUAGCAAAGCCUUUGAACUUAUCAUUAUACCAAUUAAUGGGCAGUUUGAACAAGAUCUUUUCAUCAACAAUCUGAUGCUUAAACCACAUGGGAAUUGCACGUUCAGGAAAGACAAUGGAACAAGUCACUCUAUGAUCAUAGUUAAGAGAGGGGUGGAUCACAUCAUCCAUAUUGUUUGAUAGAAGCAAACUCAGAAUCUCAUCCGAAAAGGAGCUACCAUUGCUGUCCUCUGUAUAAGAUUGUUGAUCAAAACUAUAAUUGGUGAAUGAGACCAAAUUCAACCUUGGAUACAUUCGUAGCUUCGCAAUACAUUCUUUUGCCAAAAAAUCUUCUACAUAUAAUUCCUCUAUACUCGGAGGAAGUUUGGGGAGUUCCUUAAGUUUCUGACAGUGUGUUAUAUUGAGAUAGCGAAGGUGAGAAAGUUGACUGAAGAUAUUAGGUAAAUAAAUAAACUCAUUUCUGCUCAGAUUCAGUUCCAAUAAAGAAGUUAAGUUCUGAAGAGCAGCAACUUGGUUAUCGCAUAAAUUACAUCCACUGAGAUUUAAGCUCUUCAACUCCCUCAAUCCAUGAAACACCCAGGGUACUAAUAUCAAACUGCGAGCAGAUUGACGCUUUACCUUCCGCCCUUUUCUUAAUGAUAGGAUCUUGAGUUUACUUAAGUUUCCAAUAGAAUCUGGUAGUUUCCAAAUGGCAGUGUUGCCAGCAUAAAGCUCCUCCAACUGGUUUAGAUCACCUAGAUUUUCAGGUAAAAUUGCAAGUCUUGAGCAGCCUUUCAGAAUCAAAAUUUUCAGUUUUCUCAUCUCAGAGACACUGGCAGGGAGUCUUACAAGGUUUUCACAUGAACGCAAAUCAAGCAAGCUGAUACCACUAAGCUGCCCUAUUGAUGAGGAAAAUUCCCAAAUUGCAGUACGUGCCAGAAGAAGCUCCGAGAGCAACUCCAUAUUCCCUCGAAUUUCUGGAAAAUUCUCUAAUUUCUCACAACCUGAGAGGUUGAAGCCUUCAAGAGAUUCCAUUUGAAUAUUUCUUGGUAAACACUUCAGAUUAUUGCAGUUCUCCAUAUUCAAAAAGAUGAGUUUUUUCAGAUUUCCAAUGGAUGGAUGAAUUUCAACCAAGCGUACACAACUUUUCAGUAUAAUCCUCUGCAGGUUUGGAGUCUCACAAAAAUUGGGUGUUCGGAGUAAACUUCCUGAAAAACUUAAAUUGAGGAUCGUCAAGUUGUCAAAUGCCUGUUCAUAAAAAAAAGAAGUAAUAGAAACAUCAGAUUUAACUGUCAUUUCUUUUCUUUAAAUAUGAUUCUUUUUUGAAGGAGAUCAGCAAUACCUUUGAUUCCUUGAAGAUUUCCACAAGAGAACUAAAAGUCAUGUUGAGCCCAACAAGGUUUCCUGGUUCAAAAUCUGCUGGUAAAGAUGGAAAACUGUAGUAUGACCAAUCAAGCCAUUUCAAGUUACUGGGAAGAUACUUAAUAGGGUCACAAAUAGGGUCGUGGUGUCGGACCUCCUCCCCUUUGACAAUGAGUAACCUAAGACACGGCAUUUUGCUGAAAGAUUUGCUCCACUUGCAUAUAUGACGGUCUGAGCCAAUUGGCACCAUUACGCCUUUAAUAGAAUCUGUCCUCUGGAAAGAAAUUAAAGUAAAUUUGCUAAACAGAUCAUACUUCCAAGCUUAGAACCUAUUCUCCUUGAAUAUACUAAAGUUAAUAACAUUUUUUGUUGGAAUUAAUACUACUAGUAUAGGAUUUAUAUCUGGCUUUGCAUCACAAGUUCAGUCAAAUAGUUUCACGAAUUAAUUAAGAACUUCAAAUAUUCUCAUUUCCACUCCUUUCUAUAAUUACUGACAAAAUUGAGCAUGGAGGUUCAAUUCUCCAUUGAUGGAACACUGAGGGAAACAGAGAAAUGCAGAGAGAAAAAAUAGAAGAAAAAUGUUUAUUGAAUUUUCGGAAUAACUAACUACAAAAUUUCCUAGUGCUCACCAUUUAGAUACAAUCCUACACCUCUCUCAAAAUUAUUUUCUAACCAACUCAACAAACUUCUCAACUGACAGCUAUGCACAGUAAAAACAGAAAUCAGGAAAACAGUAAAAGCAGUUCAAUGAAACAGUAAAACUGUUUCAUCCCUAACUCACUGCAUCUUUCAAUAAUUACCUAAUAACAAAUCCAUUCUCCAAUCAAUAUAAGGAUGUUUACAUUAGGACUUCUUUCACUAUUAAGAGAAAAAGCUAAAAUUUGAACUUACAAAAGAACAUUUUUUUAAAAAACUGAAAAAAUGAAUAAUUUUGCUAAUUAAAGGGCCUUGGAUAUUCUUAUCAAAUAAUUUUUGAACUAUAUUAGUGAAUGGAUAUUGAGUAAGCUACUCUAGUUAAAAUCUUCAGAAAAGCACAUCUAGUAAUCUAUGAAACAAAAUAUGCAACUAACCUUCUUAAUUGGUGGCUACAGGAGACAACCUUGAGUGCAGAGUAAUAUGGAAGUACAAUUCAAAGCUACAAGGCUAUACUUGUUGCCAAGAUAUUGCAUGAAUUAAUUAAGAAACUACCCCAUGAGCUACAGUUUACAUUGAGAAAAAUGUACUAGUGCUAAAGUAAGUUUAAAAACUUAGGGGUCGUUUGGUAGAGUGUAUAAGAAUAAUGCUGAAUAAGGUGUAUUAGUAAUGCUUGCAUUACUAACACAAAUAUUAGUAAUGCUGGUAUUAGUUAUGCAAACAUUAUUUCUUACACAGUGUUUGGUUUGAUGUAUUAAAAAUAAUAUAUAUUUGUAUAAUUUUUAUAGAAAGAUGUUUAUUUACCAAAAUACCCCUUUUAUACACUACUAUCUUUUCAAGCUUAAAGGAAAGUAGCAUCAACACCUUUGUGGAUUUCAAUUCUAUGGUAAAACCCACAUUUUCUAACAUAAUUUUUUUUUAAAAGAAUGAGAUCUGUUUGUUUGGCAUUCAAAUCAAAAGGAAUGAGCAUCCAUGUUCGAAAAAUGAGAGAGUACCAGCGGCAAUACAAAGUCAAAAAAAAAUAAAAUAUGGAAGCAACCACCACUGUUGUACCCAAAUACCCAGUUUCUAUUUGCUCAAUUUCAUUGAAAAAAGAAAUUUAAGGAAGGUAUGCAAUCUUGAAAAUCCAAUUUUUACUUCCUCUCUAAACCCACUUUUCUUUGAAAACUCAAUUUUCACAUAUUCUCCAUAUCCAAAAGGCAUGAGAAUGAAAUUGACAGAAUUUGAACGGAACAAAGAGAAAGAAAUUGAAAAACAAGAAGAUGUUUGAUUAAGAAGGAAGAAGAUGUGGAGAAAUGGAGGGAAAAGAAGUUGGAUAUUUUGAGAGGUAAAUUUGUAAUUUAAUAAGUUAAUACAUGUAUUGAAAUGUGUUGUAUUACUAAUACAUUAGAAAAGAGAGGUAUUAGUAAUACAUAGCCCAAUACCCAAUAUAUUAGUUAUACAUAGACCAAAAAAUAUACCAAACAAUGCACUAAUAAUACACAAGAAUAAUGCAUGCAUUAUUUUUGUUAACACAACCUACCAAACGACCCCUUAGAUGUCCACUUCCAGUGAGGGCAAAUAAUGCAAAAGAGAAGAUGGAUAUCUCCCGCAGAGGACAUGCUUACCUGAUUUGCAGAAAAAACAGUUUUUAUAUCUUGUUCAUUCCAUAGUCUACUGUGAUUCCAUGGCCUGUCCUGAUCAACAUUGCGCGCUGCUUGCUGACCCAUUUGUUCUAUCAAAUCAUGCAUCUCAACCAUUCCUUCAGAAAUAUAUAAGAGUGAUUUUUGGAUGAGGACAUGUAUUCCAAUCUCUGAUCGGAAGCCAAAACUGUUUAGUAUUGUUAUCACAUCAUCUCUCUUUCUUCCUCUAAAGAAGCAUGCAAUAUCAAGGAAUAUAUUCUUUUCUUCAUGGUUCAAUCCAUCUAGACUUAAACUGAGCUGCUUAACAAUUUUUUCAUAUCCAGUAUCUCUGAGUCUAUCUAAUGCACUUCUCCACUCAGUUAUGCCUCGCUUGUAAAGAAAAGAACCCAAGACCUUAAGAGCUAACGGUAAGCCUUUAGCAUAAUCUACUACAGACUUGGAGAGUUUCAAAAACUCUUUAUCAGGAGUCUGUUUCUGAAAAGCGUGCCAACUAAAAACUUCAACAGCCUCAUCUUUAGCCAAUUCAGGAACAGAAUAUAGUUGGUCAUGACAACGUAGUAAAUCUUGGUUUCUAGUUGUUGUAAUGAUUUUGCUGCCAUCACCAAACCAGUCGUGAUUUCCAACUAAAUAUUCUAAUUGCUGUUCCUCAUUGACAUCAUCAAAAACAAUUAAAACUUUCCUGUGGCAAAGCCUUCUUUUUAUCAUAUCGGCUCCCUCAUAAAAACUUGAUAUAUUCAUUGAUUUUUCUUUUAAGAGUCUCGAAAGAAGUGUCUUUUGCAAGUACAUCAGCCCAUACUUCUUUGAUUCUUCUCUAAUAUUCGCAAGAAAACAAGACCCUUGAAAUUGAUGAGAAACCUUGUCAAAAUAUUUUCUUGCAACAGUUGUCUUCCCGAUGCCUCCAAUCCCCCAUAUUCCAACAAAACAGACAUCACCUGAUCGAAAUUUCAGUAAUGAUUCUAUUUCACCCAUACGAGAUUCAAUUCCCACUAGAUAUUUUUCAGUGGCUGAAACAGUGUGGUGCAUAUUUCGGAAGUUAUCAUUUAUAAUCUUGUCAAUAGAUUCAGCUUCAUUCCUACAUUCAGUACAAAUAUAAUGGUUAGAGUGGGAUACACAUUUGUUGGGAAAUGGACUACAACAACAACAACAACAAACCCAGUAUAUUCCCACAUAGUGGAGUCUGGGGAGGGUAAAAUGUACGCAGUCCAUACCACUACCCCCGAAGGAGUAGAGAGGCUGUUUACUCAUAUGGACAUGGGCAAUGCUCCCCUCAUGAGCUUGCGUUUGGGCUUAAGUUAGGCCUAGGUGCCAAUCUUUACAAUAAUAAUAAAAAAUGCAACAUAGAAACACAGGAAAUGUUAAAGUAGCUCUACCAAUAGCAUCUAAAUGCAACCCUCCCAACCACCUGUUGGACCACAAUUGCUGGAACAAAUUGGCUUCAAUGUUUGUUAGUUUUGUUUCCACAAGAACAAUGAUAUUAUCCCCCACUGUAAUAGUAGAUUUCUUACUAAACUUCUUUUAUUCUCCCUGUUUAAAUCCCUUACAUUCCAUGAAAGAAUUUUGAUCUUCAUUGAUUCUUGACUGGUAUAACUUAUUAUCCCUCUGUCUCUUGUGUUUUCAUGCUGUUCUUUUUCGAUGGCGUGAUAAUUUUAUUGAAUUUUUACGGCAACAUGCCCUUAUACAAGAAGUAUGCCAGAAGGUAGAGAACCUACGAAUGUUUUCAUGCUAUUCUUGAAAGCAUGUUUAUUCCAAAGACUAUGGAACCAUUACCGUGGGUAGAAUUUUCCAUGUAUAUCCCAAUAAUUAAGUGAAAACUCAAGGGUUCUUGAACUACUCACCCAUUAGCAGUUUUACGAAUAUCGAGUCCUGCUAUUCCAGCAGCUCUAUGUAGAGCAACCUUCCAUCGCUGCACCUUCUCCAAAUGAUCCUUGAGAUUUUUCUUGUCUUGUUCUCCAAGAGCAAGAUCAGUUUUGUGGGCCACCUUCUGCCAACCACACUUGAAAUCUGCCUUAUGUUUGGUUACCAACUUCUCAGAAUUAGCGUUGAAAUCUUCCACGUGUUUUUCCAACGCUUUAGCAAAGCUGCUUCCCUCUCCUUCACAGAGAGCUAAAAAUUCUUAUUUCAGAUAUGUAUUUAUUAGUUAUAGAAGAGAGAAUAUUAUUUUAAUGAUUAGAAAAGUUGUCUUGGAAGAAAUUUUAAGUUUGAUUAGUUAUACAAGUCAGAACAGAAAAUAAUAUCUGAUGAUUUACCUUUCAUGCGUAUAUCUGAUGGAUCGACGUUAUAGAAGACAGGAUAUGCUUUUUGUUCCUUCUUGUCAACACACUCCAUGAUCAUUGUAAGUUCCUCCAAGCACCAGGUGGAUGAAGCAUAGUCCUCUGAGAAGAUAAUAAUGGCAGUUCUUGAUUCCUCAAUAGCUUUCAAGAGUUCUGUUGAAAUGAACUUUCCUCUUUCAAGUUUCACAUCAUCUUUGAAUAUGUUGAUUCCUAUGUCUUCCAGACGUUUAUAAAGAUGGGCAACAAAGUUAUUGCGCGUAUCAUCUCCUCUAAAACUCAGAAAGGCAUCAUAUUUCCAUUUUUGAAUCGAUUCAUUUUGGGGAGCCAUAGGAAAAGUAAGAGUUUUGGAGAUCUACAAAUACAAGCAGAAUGAGGUAAACACCUGAGUUAGAGCCCAGAAUUGAAAAUAAAUAAUAAGAUAGAAGAAAAGAGAAUCUCCAUGAAGGAUGACAAAACAAUGAUUCACACAAUAACAGAGAAAAGGAAGAGGCUUGCAUGCCAACUUUGCACUCUCUGAAACAUAAAGUAGAUGACAAAAUUGUUACGUUCCAAUCUCAAACUAAUUGGGGUCAGCUAUAUGAGCUCAAAUUUAUUCCGCCUAUUCUAAUCCCAAACUAAUUGGGGUCAACUAUACGAACGCUCAAAUUUAUUCCAUCGGAUUUGGACUAGUUUCUAUAUGUUUUUUAAAUGGUAAGGUGGGUCUCUAUUAUUUCUCUACUCACAUACAAACAAGUGUAUCAGCACGACGAAACCUUGGACUGACUAGUUCCUAUAACCUACUCAAAUUGACAUCUACCUUUUUAAACGAAAAAUAAUGCACAAGAGAAAAAAUAAUGUCCCCCGAAUUCUCAACCGUUAGAGGACCACACACCUGAUUUGCACAAAAAACAUUUUCCAUGUCUUUCUCAUGCCAUAGUCUACUGCAAUUCCAUGGCUUGACCCACUCAGCAUCACGAGCCAUCUGCUGACCUAUUUGGGCUAUCGAAUCAUGCAUCUCAACUUUUCCUUCUGAGAUAUACAAAAAUGAUCUUCUAAGGACAUCUAAUCCAUUUACAGACUUGAAGCCAAGUCCAGCCAGUACAGUAAUCACAUGUUCUUUCUUUUUUCCUCUAAGGAAGCAUGCAAUAUGAAGAAACAUAUUCUUGUAUUCAUCGCCCAAUGCAUCUAGACUUAAGCUGAGUAACCUAACAAUCUUCCCAUCCCUGAAAUCUUUGUCUCUAUAUAAGGCAUUUAUGUGCUCUUCUGUACCUUGUUUGUAGAGAAAAGAACCCAAGACCUCUAGAGCUAAGGGUAAGCCUUUAGCAUAAUCUACUACACAACAUGAGAGCUCUUCAAAGCCUUCAACCGGAGUUCCUCGUUGAAAGGCGUGCCAACUAAAAAGUUCUAAAGCCUCAUGGUUAGUCAGUUCUGGAACACGAUAUAGCACAUCAUGCUUGCUAAGUAAAUCGAAGUUUCUAGUUGUUGUAAUGACCCUAGUGCCAUCACCAAACCAAUCACUCUUUC